GGCGGUCUCAUGUAUGUGUGUGUAUGUCUACUCCAAUGGAUGAGGGACGUGGCAUAUGAUGAUUGGGAAUUAUAUAGACGGCUAUGAUUGGGGGAUUUAGAUUAGUUUAGUCAAGAUCCAACGGUUUGUAUUUAUUUGUAAGUCAACUACAAGUAAUUUUUACUCAUAAAUUUAAAGUAUAAUUUACAUGUAUUUAUAUUCAAACCCAUGUAUAUAUUUCACAUGAAUAUCAUUACAAAACAUAAGUAUUGACAGUGACAUACGAAAUCCCAUGUUUGAUUCCCCUCCUUUCCAACACCAACAUCAUUACUAAAAAACAUACAAAACAUAAGUAGGAAAUCUUAUUUCCAAAUUUCAAUUGAUCAGCUCCACCUAUCACAAUUAUUAGAAGAAAUGGGGAAACUUUAUGUUAAUUUUGUUCUUUGUUACUUGUUAAGGCUAUAUUGUUUUUGAUCUAUUGAUAUUAAGAUCUCUUGGAAUAUGGUGCUUGCUUAGUCAAUUUGCACACAAGAUGCUCUUAUUGCUAUCAAUCCUUUUCCUUUCAUUUUCAUAAUCAAUUUGAAGAAGGUAACCAAUAAAUACCACAGCACUCAGUGGAGAACUGUCUGGGGACCCUGGGGUCCUGAACCAAGCUAUCAAUGACCUCUUGAAUUUGUAUCACAUCCAAACUUUUAUCAAGUCCUUAGAGCUUUAGAGUAAAAUUUUUAAUGAAACAAACAAAUGCAAUGCUCUAAAUCAACAUGUCAACUCAGUUCUCAGUACACAAAAUGGCUGAAGAAAUUAGACACAAUGUUGUGAAAAUUUUAUUUCCCUUGUGUGGCAGUGUAGAUGAUGUGGUUUAGCCUUUGCCAUCAAACACUGCCUUCUUUGACUUGCUCUUGCUCUUACUCUUACUGCGGCUUAUCUUUACGAGAGCACCAAGCAUCAAUGGUAUGCAAAUUCGUCGAGACGUGUCUACUUGAUGCCUUGUAGAGACAUCAGAAUGUGAACCCUUAAUGGAAUUCCUGUCAUGUUCUUCGAAGCAAAUUGAAUUUGGGUAGUACAAGCGUCCUCUAUCCCCCGUUCGAAACCCUAUUAGCCGGCCUAGUGACAUGCUGUGGUCUUGGAAGAAGGAUGCUGUGGACUGUUGAUUGCAGAAUAUAUAGCAGCAACACCAAUACAUCAGAACUAUAUAAAAGUUAUAACAAAUGCAUACCAUAUUUCAUGAGAAGGGAACAAUUUUGCAAUGUGGGCAACCAAGCACUUGAGAUCAAGUCAGUUAAAAGUUUAAAUUACCUCAGUGUCAAGGUUGGAGGAUGAAAAAGAGGUGAAACUAGCAGAGGGUAUGUGCAAAGGACGGUGUCCUACAACAGCAGCCGGUAAGCUCUCCACCACUCUAAGUCUCAUGUUCAUGAUCUCAAGCCCAAGGGGCCAUCCAUGGGGCAUUUCAUGAUCCUGGGGAGUUACCAAUUCAAACAUCACCACAUAAAAUCUUCAAUUCAUCAAUGUUUUUAGCCAAUCACAUCUUACUAAUAUUAUAACAUAUAUGCGCUCAGCCUCAGUCAAUAUAUAGGAAAAAAUACAACAGAAAAUGCAGGUCUUGGUUUAAAAAAUAUUAAAGCUAAUUCAUAGGGCGUUGACAUUUAAGUGUAAAAGUGACUUUGUUUAGGUCUACCUGCUCACUCUGUCUGCAGCUCAACCAAUUUGUAAUGAAAUGAUUGUAAAAAUGCUCAUCUAGUCUUUCUAUAUAAUUCAUUUCUCCACAGAGAGAAUGACAAUGAUGCAUAUUUUAUUCUCCUAAAAAUGACUUUACAUCAACACGCUACUUUGAACUUUGAAUCGGUACCCUGCUAAAAACUAACUUUGAAUCGGUACCCUGCUAAAAACUAUGUUUCUUUGACAAUUUCUAAUUAAUCAUCUUGCAGAUUCCAACCAGACGAAAUCUUAGUAUCAAUAUAACAUACAGCCAAUAAUUUUGUCAAAUUACAUGUUAGGAAGAAAAACGCAGAUGUAAUCGCAAUUAUGUUUCAGAAAGAACAUUCUAAGUCAUGGAGCCAUUGAUUUGUGGCAACUUAAAGUCUUAAAUCAUGACCUAAAAAGCCGAGAGCCAGAGAAGAACACUUUUUCUUCAAUAAGAUAAAGUUCUUAGAUUUUCCACAAUAAAUUUUCUUCUUCCUCCUUUUCCUGAUAUUGAAGUGAUGGAUCAAAGCAGCAUUUGUCUGAGACAAAAGGUGAUCAUGAAGGAUUUUGUCAUUGAUGAAGGAUGAAUACUCACACAUACAUGACACCAAAAAUAUGAUACUACAAGCAUGCAUGUUCCAUUUCUGCUCUCUUAAGAACCCCAUAAGCCAAAACAAAAGAAAUUGUUUUAAACAUUGAAAAUUAAAAAGAGGCAGUGAAACUGAGGUAACUGUGAGGUAACUAUAAGCGUGACCAUAACCAGAGCCAGAGGCAAAGCAAGUUUCAAUUCUCAUCAAUCCUAUAAAAUCCUAUUCAAACACUGAAAACCCAGAAACAGAGAAGAAACCAGACCAUCAUUCAGAAAACAAUGGAACAACAAACACACACACACACACACACUAAGAAAUCCUAGAGAAUUAUAAGUACUUCAGUUAUAAGAGUUCCAAAUGUAAGGCUGAAAAUGUUACCUCCGUGGCCAUGGCGUGAACAGCCUGAGUAAAUGAAGAAAAGAGAAGCACAAGUCCUAGAGAAUUAUAAGUACUUCAGUUAUAAGAGUUCCAAAUGUAAGGCUGAAAAUGUUACCUCCGUGGCCAUGGCGUGAACAGCCUGAGUAAAUGAAGAAAAGAGAAGCACAAGAUUAUCACAGGAAGUCCACACACACAGAAAACGUUAUGGGGAAAACAAGGGUUGUUUAUAUUCUUCCUUAAAAAAGAUUACAUCAGGAGAUUAAAUGAGCUUGGGUCCCAUCUCGAUGUCUAGUUCAAAUCAAUUGAUGAUAUAACUGCAAAUUUACACAACCUCAGCCUGUUGUGUUUUUAAUUAACAUUUGAUAGUUACCAUGGCUCAGACAAACGUCAACAGUUUAACCACUAAUUCAAUUCCUUAAUUAAAAAUCUUAUCUGUGCCACAUAACCACCUAUUUAAGCAAAGGCUUAACAUCAUAAAUGUCUGGUCUUUUUAGUCUGUUCUUUGGUGCAGCCGUGCAGUAAUUGAAGUUGAAUGUUGUAAACCAUGUGGAAAUCAAAAGGGUUAGGUGGGUUCAUUUAGAAAUGAGAAAAUAUAUAUUUAUUAGGAAACAUUAGGCGGUUGAAGCUGUUGAGCAAUCUCUGCUGCCUUUUCAAGAGCUGACUGUGAUUGUUGAGGUACACUUGGACCUGAUGUGAAAUUACACUUGUAAAAUGGAUUAUACAACAGAACAGAAAGGGUUGUUUUUUGCAGUUUCCUUUUUGCUGCUUAAUUAUCCUUAAGUUUGAAACAACAUUAGUGAUCAUGACAUCUUAACCUUAACGUGGAAUUGCACUGUAGAUGUGACAACAGCGAUCGGAUAAUUAAUCAUGAUCAAGGUAGAAUUCAAUUUUGUGUUUAUGGUGCUGUUGUGAAAUUCAUGAAUUUCUGAUGCAGUAUCAUUGACAUUUCCAAGAGCUUUCUAACAGGUUGGCAUUUGUAGCCUUGUGGUGUAUAAUAUAUAUUGGAUCAAAUCAUGAAUAGUAUGGGAUGGGUGGGACAAGGCUCGUACUUGAAAUGGGGUUUUCACAAUGAAGCUGCAAAGCCUGUAAUGUAAUUGCUUUACAUAUUGUCUGUUUAACAGUACAUUUUGAGUUUCAGUUCUUUCUUAUCCAAAAAGAGCACGCCAUUGAUUUCAUCAUGUGCAUAAUGUUAUGUUCAUGUAUUCAGAAAUUGCAGCUUGGGAAGCUCUAAAAUCAAAUCACUGAAAACGCAUUAAUAACAGGUGAAAACAGCAAACUAAAGCAGGCAGCUGUAAAUUGUAAUCCGACAAAGCUAGCUUAGCUGUGUUUCUUGGCCUGCAGUGCAGCUGCUUUUCCCCUCCGCUUUUACUACAAGCACUGUCCACCAAUACCAAAAAUGGAUCUUUGGGGUUGAAACUUUUAGUGGGUCCAGUUUCUGGGUUGCUAAACUCAUUCACUUCAUACCCUUUUUUGCUAUAUAUAUGUCAUUCAUUUCAUGUCCUUGAAUUACACUUCAAGUUAAUUACUUGAAUCAACAAUUGGAAGAAGAAGGAAAAAGAUUGAAACUUUGAAUCUUUGAUCAAUCAAUUUGAACCAAGUUCCAACGAUUUAACCUUUUUCACAUGUCAACACUGACAUGCAACUAUGCAAGUCAGAGAGCAAUUUCUGUGCCCAUAUUCAUUAUUCACCAAGAACUCACGGCACAGAAAGUAGAAAGAGAAAAGUUAUGACGUGGGCACAUCUGAGAGGCUGAGGGAGGAAAGGAAGGAAAAUUUUCAGGUGAGAGAUUAAAGACACCAUUGAUGCUGGCAAGCAGCUAGAGUUGAGAUGAGACAAUGAAGGUGAAGGUUGAAAGUGAAUUGUCGCAAGGAAUGAUUAGUUGGGUAGGUCAGGUAGGGACCAAAAAGGUCAGGAUCAAUUUUCCAAAACGUGCCCAACACAGUUGCACGCAUAAAAUUAUUGUUUUGGUCGCUAGCAACCGGCAAACACCAGCCAAAGCUCGAGUGCCAAGACCCCCUCCACCAUCCUAGGAUUUUGAACGCCGACACCGUCCAUUUUCCCAUAUGUUAUCCCAACCCACACGGCACACUUUCAAUAUACUUAUAAGCCCUGCAAAUUUGGCAUUUUUUCAUUAAAGAAAAUGCUAAUCACAAUCGCAAAUCGUUAAUUAAAAUGAACCUCACUCUUAAUAGUGAGACAUAACAUAGUACAUUUACUAAUGCAUGCAUUGAAAGGUUGUAUAGCAAACCUCUAAAUUGAUUACGGAUUUUGUGUGAGUAAUUUCUUGUUAUUGAGGAAAUGCCAACUCCGCAUACAUCAAUGGUCUGAAAUCACUUACAAGAUCAGAAGUGACACACCGUAGCACAGCUCGUUGACCUUUUCUUUCUUCUUGUCAAAGUUCAAACUUUUUUAUAAUGGGUUUGCCAGCCCCUCCAGAUUGUUUGGUAUUUCUUCGAGCUCAUGCUUCAAGAAAGUUGGGCCAUAUUUUGGUAUUUCUGAAAAAUGUUGAACCACAACGUGUGGGCAACUACCCAUAACCCAUUACAAACAUGGGCUUAUUUUCUUCUGGUGGACCUUUAGAGCAGGUGGACUCUUAAGUUUAAUUGUAGGUCAACCUUAUUAACUAGGAAUUACAACGUUACAUCAAUCAAACUGAGGUUGGUAGCCAUUAAUUCCGGCCUAUAUUUGCAAUGCAAUGCAUAAAGUAAAGCUGCCUCAUGCAUGCCUAAAAAUUGAAUUACCUUCUAGACCAUUUCUUCGGCCGCCUAGAAGAAGAAGAAGCUUCAGCAGCAGCAGUCUCUUUUCGUCCAUUUUCCCUUGGCCUCUUUGAUGAAACUAGUGUAUGUGUAUGUGUACGCUGCUGCGCUUCCGCUUCAUGAUGAUGAUUUGAAGGACUGGUAAGUAUUGGCGUCGGCCACCAUGGGAGCACAAAAGGAAAGACUGGGAAUCUUCCUCCCCAUCUUAAACUGAAAGGUGUGAAUUGAGUGGUCCAAGUGGUCUCCUUUAACGUUCUUGCACCAAUGUUGUACAUGACAAUGCGACCAAACAAUUGUAGAUACAAGACAUUCUCAUUAUUUGGAUCAAAAGCUAGCACCAAAACCCUUUUUAUCCUCCCGUGGUGCCUCCUUGACUUGAACAUGACCUUUCCAAUCCCAAUCCCAAACACCAUGACCAUCGUCUUUCAACUCCCAAACACUCACAGCACCUAGAGUGUGAGCAGGAUCAUCAUGAUCUAAAUUGGUAGAGGAGAAGACGCACAUCCGCAGACACCCUUCUCCUCCUCCUCCACACUCACGUAGGAAGUCAAACCUUCCAGAUUCGAUUUCAGGCUUAUCAAUGUAACGAAAGACAUAUACUAUCACCAAGCUGGUCACGAGGAGAGUAGAGAUCCAACCCAACAGUCAAGCCCUCAACAUCACUCCACCAAUACAAGCUUCCAUUGUGAGCAACCCCGGGGUAGGCAGCCAAUUUGCUAAAACAAAACCUCCGUGCGGGCUAUUUACAAGUCCUUGUGUCCAUUGACCAGUCUCAGAAGAGAAGAUCUCCAGGUAGAAUUCGCUGGAAACCUCGGGAAAGUCCAAUUUAUCGUCAUUUAUUCGCACAACCUUGUACCUAUACUCAACAUUAAUAAGAUUAUGAUUAAGCUGAAUAUUGACACUCCUACUAGAUCUUUCUAGGUCUGCUGCUUGCUUUCGAUAGUAGGGAUCGCAUAUGAAUCCAACCAUUACGCACUUGUGGCAUCCUCCUGAUCCACGUCGAGGUCCACGUCGAGGGGGAGAGGGAGAGCAUCCCAUUGCUUGGUGUAUGGAUUGCAGAUGUAGUAAUCACGUUGAUAAUACGUGGUUGCACAACACAAAAUUAAAUCAUUAUCUGCUCCUAUCACAACCGGCUCACCUUUAUAAGGAUCAACAAUAUCAGCUUGGAAACAAGGGAGGAAACUCGGAGACAACUCAUGUUCAUGUGGUUGAUGAUCAGGCUCCGAUGACAUGGAAAAAUUUUUCCUUUCACAUGGUUCAUCUUCAUCAGGCUGCUCCGAUGAUGACGUGGAAAGAAAUUUACUUCUUCUUGUUGUACGCCUUCUAUCCGAGAUGAUUAUAGCACGUGCAAUGGUGGAGUUUUGGUUAUUAUCACUUUGGAUUUGGAAAUAGUGUUGAAAAAAAUACGGAUCAAAGAUGAGACUGAACCAACGUUUGGAGACACAUAUGCAUCGAGCCGCACACUUAGGAGGGAGUCGGGAAAGAAUUUCUAGCAAUACAAACACAGGGAGAUCAUCAAGACUAAAAUUCAUGGUCAUGGCUAACUCUUUCGAUAUUGGUUUUUCCACCUUUUUGAUCUUUUUAAUGGAGACUGAUGAUGAUCAGAGGCUUCUCCAAUAGGUUUGGAUUGGGAUAUUCUACUGCUCCAACUCCUUUUGGUAGCACGAGGUCUCAUCAUGGCGCCGAUCGAUCCGUGUGCAGUUUGCAGAGAGGAUUUGGGCCUUGAAACAUAUAUAGCUACUUACCCUACUUUUAAUCACUAUAUAUAUAUAUAUAUAUAGGGGUCCAAAAUGGGAAAAGAUAUCCAGAAAAAAAAAAAAGGCAAGCAAUCACUAAUUAUUAAUUUAUAAAUAGGAAAGAAAUCCUCGUACGAAUAGGAAUUAAUUUAUAAAGGAAAUAUAUAUAUAUAUAUAUAUAAUUUUUUUUUUGGGGUCGAAAAUAGGAAAAGAUAUCCAUAAAACAAAUAGGCAAGCAAUCACUAAUUAUUAAUUUAUAAACAGGAAAGAAAUCCCCAAUUGAAGUUGAAUGAUAUUUUGCUUUUUACCAACUAAUUACUCUUGUGGAACAUGCCGCCUGGCCUGGCCAUAUUGAAAACUUGAAAGCAACCUUGAUCUCAGUCUCCUUUCCUCUGUCUUUUACAAUAUGACUACGAGCCUGCUAGGAGCUAGCCUAGGGCUCAAGGCUUAGGUGAGCGUAGGUGAUGACCUUGUUAUGAACGAGCCUGGAUGAACAAAUAUGAACUAUUUUGCAGAAAUAAGACCAACCAACUUAGCAAAUUAAAGAGUUAAAAUAAGACAGAUGCUCGUAUAAGCAGAAGCUACCAUCAUAUACACUUUAUUGACUGUUUGUUUCAACUCAAGUCCACAAACUUCAGCUUUUUCAAAGCAUGAACAUUAAGCACUUAUGAAAAACCAGAGACAACAGAUACAUAAUUAAAUAAACAUUACAAAAACCCUUCAUAAAAUAUUCUAUUUUUCUUGUGUUUUUAACUCCCACUUGAAUAUAUGAUCUCAGGAUAAAUAUAUCAAACACAGCAAAGUGGUACUAAUCAAAACAAGUCUCAGCUUAUGGCACGAACUCAGCGCCUUCGCAGCACUGUAGUAGUCCUUUCCUUUCUUCAAAAACCUUGUGUCACUCGUGCCCUGCUUCUCAGCAUCGUAGUAGUUGUUGCUUUGGUAAUUGGUUGGGGUUGUGUAGCUGCUCUGUGUAAGCCUUGCAUCAUUCAAGCCCUGCUUCUCAGCAUUGUAGUUGUUGUGGUUGUUUUGGUAAUUGGUUGGGGUUGUGGUUGUGGUAUUGCUGCUCUGUGAGAACCUUGUGUCACUUGGGGGGGCCGGGCCGACAUGGUUGUUAAAGUUGUUCUUGCUGGGGAUUAAUUGGGCGUUGUAGGUCUGAGGGUACUUGUUGGUGUGCUGCUGCUCUUUCUCUGACUCAGCUGUAUAUGGCAGGUUGUUGUUGUUGGUGGUGAAUUGUGCACCAUUGGUAGUGGUGUAGGGUGCACCGGUGGUUGUGGUGGUGUAGGGUGCACCGGUGUUUGUGGUGGUGUAGUGUCCAACGGUGUUUGUGGGGGUGGGAGGCAGCUGGCCAGACCCAUGGCCAUAGAGACCAUCGAGACCAUAUCCACUUUGGGUCUCUGGAAUGAAGGCUGGCUCUUGCUCUUGCUUUUUCAAAGGGGUUUCUGCUAUGGGGAUCUCCUUCUCAUAGUUGUUGUGGUUGUUGACAUUGGCCACUUUGCUAAAGAAUUGGUUUUCUCUAGCUUGAGCUUGUUGAGAGAAGAGGAGAGAUGCAAGGAAGAAGAGGAAAGAGAACAAUUUUGCAGCAGAAGCCAUAGUGGCAAGUGAACUUGUUGGGAGGCAGCUGCUGUAAACUGAGUGUAUAUUGUGGGGGAGAGCUAGUGGUAGUCCAUUCUUUAUGUAGAGGACCAUUUUUCUUCUCACCCAAAAUUUUCAACUGAUUAGGUGCAAAUGGGCUGGAGGAUGGGUGAUGGUUUGUGGUCCUCAGUGGGGGCAGAACAACAACAAUAUUGAGCACUCUUUUUUUUCCUUUUUCCAGUUAAUUAGUUUAUUUUGUUUUGUUUUUUUUAAAAAAGAUAUGUAUAUACACAUUUUGGAUGCACUUCAUGCUUUCCAUGGAGGAAAACAACAUAAUUAUCUGCCAUUUUCUCUACUAAGAGCAUUUUUAGCAGUUAACCCCUUGCCAUGGCAAGAGGAGCUCCAAGACAGCUACUAUUCAUGUGAAUAGUAGCUGCCUUAGCCCCCAGCAAAGUGUGUUUCCAACAGUUGCCUUUUGCUAUGGCAAAUACUAUUCAUUUUUUUAUUUUUUUUUUCACAACUUUGUUUACUUAAACAAUUAACUUGGAUAAUAUUUUCGGAAUAGAUUUGGGUUCCUACGUGUCAAUACUAUUCAUAUCGGACAAGAUUUUCGGUUUCAAAUUUCAGAUACAUUUCAAAAUUCAAAUUUCAGAUAAAUUUCAAAUGUCAAAUUUCAGAUACAUUUCUAAAUUCAAAUUUCAGAUAAGAUUUUCACCCUCUAAGAUUGCGCCACGUGUCGUAUCUAUUUGCCUAAAUUUUUCUAUAAAACCAGAGGCUCAGCUCAUACCUUCCACACCAGAUCUUCUCUACAUUUCCAUUUCUCAGAUUUUAGAUUUCAUUCUCCAUUCUCAAUGGCAGACAUGCAAGAGGUUUUGGAGAGGCAAGAGCAAGAAACUAGAGAAAGAAUACGUAGACGAGAGCAAAAGGGCGCAGAGAGAACUAGAUGAGCAACUUGGCAUAGCAGUUGCUUUGCUGGAGGAAGAAAACCAGAGCCGCCGUGGUUCAUGAGAAGGCCGUGGCUCGAAUGUGGACAGACAUAGACAUUCUCGGGGUAAGAAUCUUCUGGAAGAUUAUUUUAUCACUACAAGGAAAAUUCCUUUUAGUGACGAAACAGGAUGGUCGCAAUAACAUCAAAGUUCGUCGCCAAAUAUAAAUAGCGACGAAUAUUUUUGGUUGCCAAGGUCGUCGUUGAAAGCUCGUGGCUAAAGAUACCAUGCGACGAAACAAAAUAUCGUCGCUGAAAUAUUUUAGCAACCAAUUUUGUCGUCGCUAAACAGAUCUAAGUUGGUCGCCUAUCGAGAGUGAGUUGCCGCCAAAAUACCAAAAAUUCCCGCGAACAUGGAACUAUUUGGCGACGAAAUAUUUGGUCGCUUGAACAUUUCAGCGACGAAUGUUUUGGUCGUGAAAGAUGUAGUUUAUUUGUAGCAUAUGUUAGUUGGUUUGGUUAUUUUCAGAAUGGGCGACGAAACAGAUUGGUCGCCAAAUCUGUAGAUAUUGGUAUUGUCAGUUGAGCGAUGAAAACUAAUUCGUCGCCAAAAAAGUAUUGAAUUUUUUUAUAAAUAAAAUAUUUAUUUAUAUUUCAAGCUUUGUAACAGAAUAUUAUUUAGUCCAUAAAGUUUUUGAAAAACAGUAAAUAGAUUAAAUGAAUAGAAAUAGCAUAAUUACUAUUCAAAAGAUACCAGUUGUUUAAGCACACAUCAAUAUAUGCUAGAUACAAAAACCCCCAAGAUAUCCUAGAUACAAAAACCAUCAAGUAGCUAGAUACAGAAGCCCCUAGAACCCCAAGGUAGGCUAGAUACAAAAACCAUCAAGUAUGUAGAUGUACACACAACCUAGUGACUAUUUCCAAUAUCAUCAAGAUCCGCAUAAACAUUACGUGAACCACCACUAUUACCUUGAUCAUCAUCACAAGGAGAAUCACCAACAUGCUGGGACAGAACACCUAAACAUGAGGGUAGAGGACCAUCAUGGGUUCGCAUCCACUCAAUGACAUCCAAAAGUUUACCCACUAUGCCCUGAAGCUCACUUACUGUGCCUUUCAACUCACCAACUGUGCCUUGAAGUUCCUCAACCUUUUGCUCUGUGGCAAAAGAAGAGGCAACUCCACCACUAUGCGCACUCUCCACUCGGAGACUAGAACCCAAGCCUCGAAUCCUCUUGCCCUUUACAACCCCAAGCUCUAUAAUCAUGAUCUCUAACUGUUGUGGGAUAGGGAGUGUGACUUGAUCUAGUGGAGUUCCUGAACUCUCUGCCACUUGUUGCUUGGCCUUCUCAUACUCUUCAUUCAUCUUCUUCUACAAAAAGAAGCAAAAUAAAGAUAUGUCAAUAUAUAUAAAUGCAUAAAAAGAAUGAGGUAAAUGGGAUGCCAGUACGAUCAAUUGUGUUCAUAAACUAGCAAUGCCAAUUAUCCUAAUCAAACAGUCACAAACAAAAAUUUCGUUUCAGCUUGAAGCAAAUAAUAAAAGUAAAUUUAGGUUUUACCCAUAAAAAAAUUUUCACUUUUGGAAAAAGCCAAAGCUUUUUCAAAAAAGACAGAAAAACCUCUCAACUUUCAAACCAAAGACAUGCAAAUGUAAAGGAUUCCUUAGGAAAUCAAAAAAUAAAUAAGGGCAAUUUUGUCCAUUUUGGCUUCUUUUAAAAUUUUUCUCUCUCCUUUGGGCUUUUCCAAAGUCUCCCAAUAAUAAAAGGAAAAGGCACAUAAAAAAAUGGAAUAGAUCUCUUUGGAUAUGCAGAUUGCAGAAAGUUAGAAAAUACUCACAGAUCUUAUAAGAUCUUUUUCUGCAUCUCCUGAAAGCAACGACAAUACAAACAAGAAACUUCCAAAAACAAGGAUUAUAAAUAUUUGCCCAGCAACAUGGCCCCCUUAUAAUUGGGCCUAAAUUUUAACUUCUAAGAGCACAACGGGUUAUUCGAACUGAAUUUGUUUAAUAGGAAUUUGGAAUUGGGCCUCCAAAGAGGAAUCGAAGUACAAUUGUAGCAGCUCUGUUUCAAAACAAUCUUAGCAUGCACUUUUUUUGGUCUUCAAUAUAUAAGAUAAUGGAAAAUUUAGAAAACUCAGACACAUCUUCAUUGUGUUUCUAAUUAAUUAGUUCUAUUUGCAAUGGAUAAAGCCAUUAUAUGAUGCUAAAACCAAAGUACACAAUUAGCAUCUAAAAUAAUAGGUCGUCAAAAACUUGCAUGACCAGUCAGCUGAUUUUUUGGAUUGCAUAAUAUGCAAGUCAUUAGUAAAUUGUCAGCAGGUUUAUGUAUUCCUUACCCCUUUAAUUUCAGCAACCUCAUUGAUCCACAUGCUCUUACUCUUAAGAAUAUGCAUGUUGUUCCAAUUGCUAAUGUAUGUAGGAUUUUCACCCUUCUACAUUUUCCCAACAAAAAGAAAAUGAGAAAUACUUGAAAGUAUUACAAUAUAAUAAAUAAAGAAACAUUUAAAGUGACCAAAAGUUAUAAACCUCUCUAGCAGCUUCCAUAUGUUUUAGGAAAGGACGUGACCCGCCUGUAUGAUCAAACUCUUUCUUUUUUCUGUUCUCAGCAUUGGUCUUGCAGCGUUUCUGUUUUGAUUAAAUACAUGAAUUGUUAUGUCUUUUUUUCUAUUUGAUACUUAGAAUAAGUUCCCAAUCAAAAAAUGAAAACUGCAGAUGUUACAUUAGAUACGUGAUAUUGCUCAUUUGUGUAGAACGUAUCAACCAAAUAAUGCCACUCUUCUAGAGUCCUUCGAGUACCAAAUAUCUUUUCAGGGGGAGGUGUUUCUCGUGCAAGAUCAGGGUUAGAAGCAUAUUGCUUAUAGUGUCUGUGGAGCUUUGCUUUCCAUUCUUUAUAAGUUGAGUGCAUAUAGUCAGUAAUAAAUUUCCAUAUAUCCGGAUCCGUUAAGUCCACAUGAAACAUGAACUAAUAUCAAUUAACCAUAAACAAAACAAGUAUUAAUUAUAAUUUUCAAUGCAAAUAGAAACAUUGAAGGACAAAUUUUUCAGUUCACACUAAAAUACAAUGAAGAAUUGAAAUAAAAAGAGAGCUAAAUGAACAAAAUUAAAUUAUAAUCAAUGAAGAAUUAGAUAAGAUUACCUGCAAACCCAAAGCCAUAUCUUUCUUCGUCUCCAAGCUCACUUUUUUCAUCCCUAAAAUAUUCAAGGGAGCUUUGUUGCGAGUGAUUAACCCAAUCUCAGAGACGAACAGUUUUUGAGCCUCAAUAGUCGCCACCAAUUUCUGGGAUGGAUCCAUCCGUAUUGGAAUCAAACUCUUCCUCUUUUUCACAACAUCACAAGUGCUAGCCCCCACAGUUCGGCCACGAGUGUUCUUCCUUUGUGAAGAAGUUUGAGUAUGCGUUCCUUCAUCUAGAAGAAAAACAAUUCUAAAAAUCAAUAACUUGAUUGCACAAAAUAAAAGUAUAAAAAUUAAGGGCACAAAAUAUGGUAUCAGUUACCUUGUUGGCAGGAACCCCCUCCUGAGGCUGAUGAAGCACCUUGUUGUGGCUGAGUUGAUUGUUGUUGUGGCAGUUGACAUGGUUGCUCAAGUGGCUGUGGUGGUAGUAGAGUUGAAGUUUUCUUCUUCUUAUUGUUAUUGUUGCUUAAGGUAGCAGCCCUCGUAAGUGUCAUUCUACACUUACAAACACAUAAACAAAGAGAGAAUACAACAAUAUACUACUAGAUCAUUCCUUGAUAAAAUAAAAAUAAAUGAUUGAACAUCAUACUUCAGCUGUAAUAACAUCAAUUUUCAUCACAAACGUGCUUGAGAUAAAGGAAUUAUUCAUUAAAAAAUGAUUGAACAUCAUACUUUAUCAAUAGGAAAGAAAAAUAACACUCACAUGCAUUUCAUUUACAUGGGAAGGACAUAUACAAACCUUAUCCGAAGAUAUUUCUUUAAUAUACAGACCUUACAGACCUUACCCCUUAAAACAGAUUAAGGAAAACAUAUAGUAACUUGAAGAUAAUUAAGAAACAUAUAGUGCCUAAACAAAAGACAACCUAACACUUCAAUCCAAUUCCAAAUCCUAUAAUCGUCAAUGUGAACACUACCUUCGUCAUCACCGAAAGGUAUUUGUUCAAUAUCAUCGUCAUCAAUAAAAUCUUCAUCCUCCAUAUAAUUUGGGACAUGCACGGACAUGGAGUCUCAUUCUUCUCAUCAACAUGUUGGCUUGCAACUUCCAUAAAUGACUCAAUACCAACACAAUAUUGAUUACUCAACCUGUUUUUAUUGUGUAUCCAAACCCUGUUCAUCUCUAACGCACCUUGUCUCCGUCUUCUUAUACCUCCUAUAAUGGGCCUUCUCCAAUUCAAUCGGUGAUGACUUGAAGCAGUUCCAAAAUUUCAUAACAUGAUUAGAUCGAACACUUAUAUAGAUACAAGCCAAUAACUCUUUCACAUAAUGAUAAGCUAAUAACUGUUUCACAUGAAAAUUAUAAAAAGAGGGAUUCCACAUUAAUUAUGCUUUUCAAGGGUAAGUAUCAAGGUAACAAUAUUUUUUUUUUACGAUUCUUUCAACAUUAUUUUGCAUAAUCUAGUUGAACCCAUGAAACCAGUGAAAAAAAAUGAAGGCAGGUGCAAGAUUUGCAGCUAUUCAUACCUCUAAAGCAAAUAUAGCCUCUUAAGCAAGUAUUUCAAACAACCUAUUGCCCAAAAAAAAAAAAUCAGUUAGACACAGUAAACCCAAGACACAUAGCCUCUUAAACAAAUAUAGCCUCUUAAGCAAGUAAUUCAAACACCCUACUGCAAAAAAGAAAAAGAUAAAAACAAAUCUGUUAGACACUAUUUUUGGAGGGCUUGAGUCCAAAUUAGUCUUCAAACUCAAAAUAGUAUAUGCCUUCGCCUCUAAGUUUCACCACUCAUCAUUAAACAAAAAAAUUAUUUUUCUGAGUUAACUCAAAACAGUAACAUAAUAAGACAUCACAGGAAGCACCAAAUAUCCAAGAUAAAAUUCUCAACAUAAAACCAAAUGGUUCAAAGUAAUAUUGUAAUCAACACAUCCACUUUAUACAGUGAUAACAUGUACAAUGAAUAAAGUCAGGCUUAAGGUCACAUGUCUCUCAUGUAGUAUAUGAAUUAUCCGAAAUUAAUAAUUAGGCUCUUCAUCUCAAUUCCAAAACAAAUUAUUAUUCUUUAUAGUUCUUAAUUAUAUAUGCCCUAAAUGAUUAUAAAAAUCAUUUCAAAUUAACAAAAAUUUACCCUUGAAGCUAAUUGAAUGACCUUGCGUAAAAUUCAAGCUACCAAUGAUCAUCACAUAAAGCCAAAAUGGUUUGUUAAAAAAGAAAAAAAUGUGGCUGGAAGAGCUUGAAAAGGAUUUCCAAAACAAUCAAACCAACAUUGAAGGAUGAUACUCCAUCAGUUAAAUUCUAUUGUCCAAUUAAGUGGUACUACACUUAGACACCAAUACUAAGGGAAAUAAAAAUAAUUGCUAAACUGACGAGUUAAUCUAUGGGAUGAUGAACCUGCAGCUAGCUUAUAUAUAAAAUAUAGAGACAACUCUGCAGCUAGCUUAAUCUAAACUAUAAAGAUAACUCAAUAAGCUACAUUGGCAAAAAAAAUCAAUAAUAAUAACCACACCAAAAAAAAAAAAAAAAAAAAAAAAGAAGAAGCUCAUAGACAAAGGCAAAGGAACCUUGAAACGAAUACACACCCACAUGACCAACUUCCAACUUCUAACUUUUUACUUCAAUUAUAUAAAUGAAUUGUUAUAUUCUUUCUUCCAACAGAUAGUAAAGAAAUUCAGAUUUAAUCCAGAAGUAUCAAGCAAACAUUCAAGACUUGGAAAAUAAUCAAUCAGACUCAAAGCAUUAAAACUAAAAAACUGAAUUAACUAUUGGGUACGUCUGCAAGUGAAACAUCUCAAAUUUGACACAGAACCCACAUCAAAUGCAAAACAAGGCAUUCAUAUCAGACACAAAACCCUACUCAAAUUUGACAUAGAACCCACAAUAACCACUUGAAAAAUAAACGUCAUUGUAUUCAGAAAACUUGAACAGUUGAAUGUUCAAGCAUUUAAGAUAUCAAAAAGGAAAAAUCAAGCACUGAAAUUCAGUUUCGAUUUAAAUUCCUGGGUAUCUAUUUCCGAUUUUCCUUGAUUAUUUUCUCAACAACCAAAUAGAAUCUACAACUGAAAAUCAGCGAUCAAAAGACAAUGAAUGUAAGCUAGACAAGGUAGACUCACCAGAAGCUUUCGUUGAAACACACAGUGAGGAGGACUUAGGAGAUGGAGUUUUCGUAUGGCCGUCGAUUCCUGACCGUGGUAGGGAAAGGCAUGCGAGAUGGAGGAUUGCUCUGCCGACGUCGGUGGAGGAUUGCUUUGCCAAUGUGAGAGCAGGGGAGAGUGGGUCUGCGAGGAACUAACGAGUAAGGAACUUUUUAUUUUUAUUUUUAUAUUUAUACUCUCUAGAUUAGCCCCAAAAACUGUUUGGUCGUCAUAUGCUAACAUACAUAAAACAACGUCGGUUUAUGGUUCAAGCACAAUGAUCUGCGACGAAAAACAAAUGGUCGCUGACCCCCGAAAUUUUUAAGCGCCAAUUAUAACUUAGCGACAACACAUUAAAACUUAGCGACCUAAUAUUUUCGUCGCCAAAACUUUUAGAGUUUCGCACGCACCCAAUUCAGUAAAUCGCGAUCAAAUAUAUGUUUGGUCGCCAAGUCCUUACCUAACCACCAAAAACUUUCGUUGCCUUUAGUUGAUAAAUUAGUCGCUAUUUUGUUGACUCAAGUCAUGAUAGGUGUCUAAAAAUCACGAACUUUUUGGUGACUAACUAGAAAAUUUUCAUAGCCGAUGCCCUUUUUGGCAACCAAAAUAUAGUGCGUCGCUAACAAUUUCGUCUCAAAAGAGGUUUUUCCUUGUAGUGUAUCCCACAUUCUCUAUACUCUGAUGUUCAUUUUCGAGCGAGAUAUAGAAUGCAAUCCCAUUUGUUCAAUAAAGUCAUGCAUAAUAUUUGCAAUUAUGAUGAAUACUUCGUUCAAAAGAAAAAUUGUGCUGGAAAUUUGGGACUUCUUCCCGAGCAAAAGUUCAUAGAUGUGAUACGAAUGUUGGCGUAUGAGUCAUCUGCUGAUCAGGUGGAUGAGGUUGCCCGGACAGGGAAGUCCAUUAUUUUGGAGAGUUUGGUGCGAUUUUGUGAUGCAGUGGAAACUCUGUACACUAGAGACUACCUGUGCAGACCUACGCCCAGGGACCUGUAAUGGCUUCUACAAAAAGCUGAGUCUCGUGGAUUUCCUGGAAUGAUUGGUAGCAUUGACUGCAUACAUUGGCAAUGGAAAAAUUGUCUAACUGCUUGGCAAGGGGAUUACGGAAAUAGGAAAGGGCAGAAAAGUAUCAUCUUGGAAGCAGUUGCUGGUUUCGAUACAUGGGUUUGGCACGCCUUCUUCGGAGUUGCCGAAUCUCAAAACGAUUUGAACGUCCUGGGUCAAUCCCCGGUGUUCAAUGAUGUUUUGAGAGGUGAAGCCCCAAAUAUCACAUAUGAAAUCAACAAUACCAUCUACCAGAACGGGUAUUAUCUAGCUAAUGGCAUCUACCCGAGGUGGAUAACAUUUGUGAAAUCAAUUCCACAUCCCCGAUCCCAUAAGUAAAUUUUUUUGCUGCCUAUCAAGAGGGAUACAGAAAAGAUGUGAAGAGGUGCUUUGGUAUCCUUCAAGCCCGGUCCGCUGUUAUUAGGGUCGCGGCGCGUCUAUUUGACGAGGAGGUGCUUAGGAGUAUAAUGAUGACUUGUAUCAUCCUCCACAACAUGAUUGUGGAAUAUGAGUAUGAUUACGAUGCUGAUGAAGUGUAUGACCAGAUCCCAUGGACACGGCCCUAACACGAAUUUAUGAAAAACCCAUAGGGCCAAAUGGAGAGCCAGUGCAGCAUGAACCGUUAGUUAGAGACGGUAGUUUCAUGCCCCGUAUAAUUGAUCGCUACACGGAUAUGCAAUCGUCGUAUAUUCAUGAACAUCGUCAAGUUGACUUGAUGGAGCAUUUAUGGGUAGUGAAAGACAAUAAAGGUGAAUGAAGUGAAGUGAAGAUGUUUUUUUAAUUUAUUAUGUUUAUGUUGUAUUUUUAGUUAUGCUUUAUUUUUUUUAUCCUUUAGUUGUGAUUUGUUUAUUUUUUUAUGCUUUGGUUGUGGUUUGCUUUUUAUGUAUGGAAUGUUUUGAAUAAAAAGUAAUUUUGUUGAAUAUUUUCUUUAUUCACUAAAAGAAAAUCAAUACAACUAAUAAAAUAAAUCAUCCUGUUCUAGAGCUAAAACCAUAGCUGUCCCAAAUUCAAACAUAAUUAUCAUUAAACUAAAACCAUACAGCUAUUAAGUUUUGAAUAGAGAACUUGAUCUGGAAAUGAGAAUUGACAUAGGAACAAGCUACAAGAAGGAAAAAUCUUAAAUUUAUUGAAUUUAUAAAUAUUACAACAGACAAAUUAAUUGAAUCAAUUCAAUAAGAAAUUGGACAGCUGAAAACAAGUCAAAAUGGUCCAGCUAUGACAUGAUACUAGUACAUAACACUUGUCACUCAAAUUGAUUCCACAAAUUGACUAAAGAAAGAUAAAUAAACAAAGGAGCUGAAAAUCUAUUGAGAAAAAUGCACGCAUAUUGCAUAAUAUGAACAACUAUUGAAAGCAACGUAUCUGAAAUUAUUGUUUAGAUAUCUGAAGGUAAGCCAUCUAAGUCUCUUUUUUUAUUGGGCAAAGAGAUUAUCCAUAAGAUGAAAGCAAACAAACAGUAUAAACAUGAAGCCCAAAGAAAGGCGGGAAACACCUCCUGCAACCAAACAGCCAAGAGAAAAAGACGGCUAUCUGAGUCUAUCCACUAAAUACAGAAGGAUCGAGUCUGGUUAAACCAAGCCCUUGUAAAGACAUGAGUACCUUGUUUAUCUUCAUUUGUUCAUCUUCCCCAAAAACAAAAAACGUGAGAAUCAGGCAUAGGAGGGUGGGAUUUUUUUAUGGGGUUUGGUAUUUAUAUCACCCACUCAAAAGUCUCACACAAUACACCAUUUAACGAAAUACCUCAAAAUCGAUAAGUUUUUUAAUACCAACGUACUUUUUCUAAUCUUUUAAAAGUCCUAAUUGAAUACCACAAGACUUGAAUUGAUUAUUUCAGAGUUUUUCUAUUUAAACCUCAUACUUUUUUUUGUUCACCUCAAUACUUAAAUCAUUAAGCUUUUAAGUUUUAUUAUUGUGUAAAAAGACAAAAAAGAACAUCCAACUUAUUAUUGUAUUUAAACCCCAUACUUUUCUUUGGUUGCUAAUUGCUCAAAUUAAGAACAUAAUUUACUGCUAUCAACAAAAAUAAAAAUAAAAACCACUGCGUGCAAAGUCCAGGUAAUCAACAAGCUCUCUCGUGACUGCUCUUCAUUUGUCAUUCAUGAAGACAUAAAGAUACCCACUUGUAAUUCUAUCGCCAUUAUCUUCUUGACUACUUGUCUUCUUCUUUUUCAAGGAGACUAAUCUUUUUAUUUGUCUUCUCUGAAUUUAUAAUUGUUUCCUUGAAGUUGCUGUUAUCUGGGUUUUUUUAUUUUUCUUUAUGGUAUAUAUUUGAAAGGAUCCUCUGCAGUUGGUUCAGUAUUUCUUUAAGUUUUGGUUACAUUUUCCUUUUCUUUGGGGUUCUUAUUAUCUGGGUUCUUGGUGAUUGUUAAUUGUAUUUGUGCAAAUGGGUUUCUAGAGGUUACGUUAAGUAUUUUUUAUUAUUUUUUCUUAUUGCAUUAGUUUUUAUUUUAUUUAUGUUCUUAAGGAUUCUAGUAAUUACUAACUUAGGUGCUUAAAUUCAUAGUGUUAAUUAUGCAAUUUGUUUUCAUUUGGUUCUGGACGACUAAGAUAAAAAUUGGUGGCUUGAGCCAAGUGUGGCUGUGGAAAUUGAUGGAAGCCUAAGAAAAGAAUGAGGAGAGUCGUUUCAGAAGAUGGACCAAGAAAAGACUGAGGUGCCUAAAACUCCUCCAGCACUAAACACCCGGAGAAGGGCUCCGGUUGCUUCUGGUCGACAUAACACCACACAGAAGGAGAAAGUGGGGUGUCAGGUUGUUGAAAUUUUUUUAAUUAUUUUUUCUCAUGGGUGUGUAUUUAGGGGUAGUUUGAGAAGACAUUGAGGUUUACUUAGAAAUUGUGAAAAUUUGAAUUAAAAAUGGGAGAUUUUGGAAAAGUCCAAAGGAGAGAGAAAAUUUUUAAAAGAAGCAAAAAUGGACAAAAUUGCCCUUAUUUAUUUUUUGAUUUCCUAAGAAAUCCUUUACAUUUGCAUGUCUUUGGUUUGAAAGUUGAGAGGUUAUUCCGUCUUUUUUCAAAAAGCUUUGGCUUUUUCCAAAAGUGAAAGUUUUUUUAUGAGUAAAACCUAAAUUUACUAUUAAAAAUUGGGGUGAACUUAGAAUAUGAGGAAAAGAGAAGUGCGAGGUUUAAAUAGAAAAACUCUUAUUUAAAAUUCUUAAUUGAAUACCACCAAAUUUUUAUUGAUUACAUAAAAAUCCUAAUUGGAUACCACUGAACUUUUAAGCUUCAAAACAAUCUAUUAAAAUCUCAAUUGAAUACACAUAAAUUGCAUAAUGGACAGAUAGAUAAAUACUUGAUACCAAUCUCAUUCGAUACAGGCAUAGAUACUUCACAAAAAUCUCAUCUGCUAAUAUGUAGAUGCCACCUAUGAUCCCAACUACUAGGUUGGUCCACUACUAAAUUAUGAAAUUUGUCAGCAGAGGAGAGAAAUAAUAAAGAUGAUAUUAUUGAAAUUUCCUGUUGGUUAGAUUCUGUUAAAUUUCCCAACUUCUGUCACAUUUAAUUUUUCUAGUGUAUGUGUAUGUGUACGCUGCUGCUCUUCCGCUUCAUGAUGAUGAUUUGCACGACUGGUAAGUAUCAGAUUGGUAAAAAAUAAUACUUCAUUCUUCUUAAUAUAUAACAAAUAGGAAGGUUAUAUAUACAGAGCCUAGGAAACUAUUCUAGGAAAGUAAUUAUGUUCCUAUAAUCUUGCAUAAUCAAAUAGUUGACUUAGACUAAUUAGGAAUGUACAGCUCAUUGACACUCCCCCUCAAGUUGGAGCAUAUAUGUCAUCAAUGCCCAACUUGCUAAGUGAGUUGUGAAAUACCCUGCCUGUGACUGCUUUGGUAAGGACAUCUGCAAGUUGAUCUUCGGAUUUAACAAAUGAUACCUUAAUGAUCUUUGCCUCGAGCUUCUCCUUGAUGAAAUGUCUGUCAACUUCAACAUGCUUGGUUCUAUCAUGUUGCACUGGAUUAUGUGCAAUGUCUAUUGCAGCUUUGUUGUCACAAUUCAGUUGCAUGGCAUGUUUAGGUUUGAACCCCAAUUCCUCCAACAAAUUCCUUAUCCAGAGUAGCUCACAUACUCCGUGUGCCAUACCUCGAUAUUCUGCUUCAGCACUUGAUCUUGACACUACUUUCUGUUUUUUACUUCGCCAAGAUACUAGAUUGCCUCCUACAAAGGUAAAGUAUCCCGACGUAGAUCGCCUGUUAGUAACAGAGCCCGCCCAGUCUGCAUCAGUGUGACCCUCAACAUCUAGAUGACCAUGUCGUGCGAACAUCAAUCCUCUUCCAGGAGAUGACUUCAAGUAUCUCAAAAUUCGGUUUACCGCAUCCAUGUGGGCUUCACUUGGUGCAUGCAUGAACUGACUCACCACACUUACAGCAUAUGCUAUAUCAGGUCUAGUGUGUCCUAGAUAGAUUAACUUACCCACAAGGCGUUGAUAUCUUUCUUUGUUGGUGGGUACUUGAUCAGGAUAUUCACCAAGCUGAUGAUUCAACUCCAUUGGCGUAUCUGCUGGUUUGCUGGCUAACAUUCCAGUGUCAGUCAAAAUGUCAAGGAUAUAUUUCCGUUGUGAUAGAAAUAUUCCUUGUUCUGAACGAGCCACUUCGAUGCCUAGGAAAUACUUCAGAGCACCAAGAUCUUUCAUUUCAAACUCACUUGCCAAGUGGUGCUGCAAUGCUGCCUUUUCUAUUGGGUCAUUCCCGGUAACUACCAUGUCAUCAACAUAUACAAUAAGGGCAGUGACUUUACCUUUCUUAUGUUUCAGGAAAAGAGUAUGAUCUGAGUUACUUUGCUUGUAUCCAAAAUCCUUCAUUGAUUUGCUGAACUUUCCAAACCAUGCUCUGGGUGACUGCUUCAAGCCAUAAAGAGACUUUCUCAGUUUACACACCAUGUUGCUAGUAUUGGGCCCCAUCUUGCAUCCUGGAGGGGAAUCCAUAUAGACUUCUUCUUCUAGGUCGCCAUGCAGGAAGGCAUUUUUGACAUCAAACUGGUGUAAUGGCCAGUUUAGGUUUGCUGCCAGAGAAAGAAGUACCCGAAUUGUGUUUAUCUUGGCUACAGGGGCAAAUGUCUCCCCAUAGUCAAUCCCAUAAGUCUGAGUAUAACCUUUCGCCACCAGUCUUGCUUUGUAUCGUUCAAUGGUGCCAUCUGCCUUGAACUUUACUGUAUAUAUCCAUCUACAACCCACUGUUCUCUUCCCUUUGGGAAGGAUAGUCAUCUUCCAAGUGGAAUUCUUCUGGAGGGCCUCCAUUUCAUCAUUCAUCGCUUGAGUCCACUUGGGAUCUUUCAGAGCUUCCUGCACAUUACUUGGAAUAGAUACAGUGGAUAAUUGACAUACAAAUGAUGCACAUGACGGAGACAACCUAUGUAGGGACACAUGAUUAGCAAUAGGGUAUUUAACUUUUGUUUUUGGGUCCGGGUCAUACUGUUGUCUAGGAAUCCCUCUAGUGGUACGAAUAGGUAACUGAUAACCUGUGUUUCCUGUAUGACUCGACUCAUGUAAAGUGCUUAAGUUGGAGUUUAAAUGCUCAGUUACCUGCGCGGAAUCUUCAGGACCUGAUUGGAUGAUUGGUGAUGGUACUGUAGUAGGAGGGAAAUUAUCUGAACCAUCAUAUGGAGUUUCCAGUAACUCUUGAUCUUGUUGUACUACUGUAGCUGGUUGCUCGGACACUGACUGCUCUAAAACAGUUUGUUGAAUUUGGAUGCUCUGAGUAUCUUCUGCAAAGAUAGAGCUCUCCCCCUGCAGAGGAUGCUCAGAAACUCCCCCUGAGUAAUAGAACUCACUCUCGUGGAAAGUCACAUCGGCGGUAACAUGCAUGGUCUGAGUAGGAGGAUGGAAACACUUAUAGCCCUUCUGAGUGUCAGCAUAACCCACAAAGACACAACGCAGUGCACACGGAUCAAGCUUGCCACGCUGAUGUGGAUACACCUGAACAUAAGCAACACAACCAAAGACACGUGGUUCGAGAUUUGGUGUGGAUGGCAUGGUGAGGAGAGUGGUCAAUGUCUGAAAUGGAGUUUGAUACUGAAGAGUGCUAGAUGGUGUUCUAUUAAUGAGGUAAGCAGCAGAACAAAGAGCCUCCCCCCAAAAAUGAUGAGGCAUACGGGCCUCAAAUAAAGAGGCACGAACAACCUCCAAGAGAUGACGAUUCUUACGCUCUGCGACGCCAUUCUGUUGUGGUGUAUAGGCACAUGUGGUUUGAUGAACAAUUCCAUGUUGACUUAAAAAAUUAUGUAGGUCAUGGUUGACGUACUCUCCUCCAUUGUCAGACCGAAGCGUAGUGAUUUUCUUGUCAAAUUGAGUAGCAACAUAUUGAUAAAAUAACUUGAAUUUGGCGGUGACAUCACUUUUCUGCUUUAAGGGAAAAACCCAGGUCAUCCGGGUGCAAUCAUCAAUAAAUGUCAUAAACCACUUAAAACCGCUAAUAGUGGGAACUCGUGAUGGUCCCCAAACAUCAGAAUGGACAAUCAUGAAAGGCAAAGAACUUUUAUUCAAUCUUAAUGGGUAAGAAAUACGAUGACUUUUGGCCAAAAUGCAAGUUUCACAAUGAAAGUCUGAUUCAGCAAACUGGGAAAACAAAUCUGGAAAUAAAAGUUUCAGAUAACCAAAAGAAGCAUGACCUAAUCGUCUAUGCCAUAGCCAAAUUUUCUUCAUCCUGAUAGACUCAUCUCCUCUCACAUGAUGUGUCUGACUCAAUCUUGUACUGCUGUCUUCUGUCAAGUCCAGAUAAUACAACUUUCCCCUCCUAGUACCACAUCCAAUCACGGUCCUGGUGAGAAGAUCCUGAAAUAGACAAUACAAUGGCCAAAAACACACGGUACAAUUAAGGGAAUCAAUGAUUUGAGGAACAGAUAACAAGUCAUAGUCGAGUGAAGGGACAACUAAGACAUGAUCAAGACUUAAUGAAGAUGUAAGAGAUAAAGACCCUUCUCCCAUAACUUGGGAGGUGGUUCCAUUGGCACUGGUAAUAUGUGUUUGGCUUGAUGGUUUGGUAGAGUGCAACCCAGUAAAACUAGAUGUCAUGUGAUCAGUGGCGCCAGUGUCAAUAAUCCAUGAUCUAUUACAAGUAAGUGAAGAUGUGCAAGAGGUACCUGAGGUGGCCAAGGCCUUGGAGCCAUAUGUACCUGAUGGAGGUUCUGAUGCAGUCUCCUCGGAUGACUGAGCGAAUGCAAAUGAGGCUCUGGUAGAAUCCUUUUUCCGCGCUUUGUGGACCCAUCCUUCUGGAUAACCAAUGAUCUCAUAACAGCCCUUAAUGGUGUGGUUAUCUAAACCACAUUUGGUACACUUCAUUGGAGGCCGGUUACGAGUAGGGUCGACACUAUAGUUGUUCGGCCGAGAUUGUUUGGACCUUGCAGUAGCCAAGGCUGUGGCUUCGGAGGUUACACCAACUUCAGACAUGGUUCCCUGUCGGUUACUCUCUCUUUUAAUAUGUGCAUAUGCGGCCUCCAGUUCGGGUUUUGGCUCCAUCCGCAAAAUCUCUCCUCGGAUUUGAUCGAAAUUAUUGUACAAACCUGCAAGAAAUAUAUAAACUCGGAGACGAUCAACCUCUUUGCGUCUAGUCUCAAUGUCUUUCGGAUGCUCCAUGGUGCUUGGACUUAAUUGAUCAAGCUCCUGAAAAAUCUCAAUGAGCUCACUGUAAUAUUUGGCAACUGAUGCGCCAGCUUGCUUCAUUAUGAAUGACCGUCUGUGAAGGUCAUAAAUCUUGGCUUCAUCAGCACCAUCUGAAUAGGUUUGCUUGAUUGCAGCCCAGACUUGCUUUGCUGUGUCAUAACGAAUAAAUCGUUUAAUCUGAUUAGGUUGCAUGGCGUCGAACAACCAACUCUUGACUUGGCAAUCCGAUGCACGCCAUUUAUUAAAUGUGGGAUCUGUGUCUGCAGGUUGGGCAAUAUCACCGGUCAAGUGGCCAUGUUUUUCUCGCCCAGCUAUCUUCAUCUCUAUGAUUUGAUGCCAUAGAGAAUAAUUAUUCUCAUCCAGUUUGAUUCCUGCGGAGAAGUUGGAGGUGUCACUCUGCAAAGUGACGAUUUGUGUGGUAGUUUUGGAGCCUCCCGACACCAAGGAUUGAUUGGUGUUUGCUGACCCAUCAUCGUUGGCCAUGAUAUUGGCUGACACCCAAUGAAAAAAGGACAAAAAAGAAAUAUCAAGUUGAGGAAAAGCAAGUGCACGGUGGACAAAGGCAAUAAGACAAACUGUUUUGCAAUAAGAAAUAUUGGGUUGAAAGGGAAAAAAAAAGAACAAUAUGGGAACGGUUUGAAUGGGUCUGUGAGUGGAAAGUGAUUUGCAAUAUUGCAAAACGUGAUUUGACUAGAGGAAAGGUUUGAAUGGGUUUGUAAGAUGGAAUAUGGGUGGUAUUGGUGCUGGGUUUGUGAGAUGGAAUAUUGCUUUUGGUGCUGGUGCUGGUGCUGCGUAAUAGAUGGAAUAUUGCAAAACGGUGAUUUGAGAUGGAAUAUGGGCUGGUGCUGGGUCUGUAUGACGGCUGUUGCUGCGGAAGCGAUUAGGGUUAGGGCAAGAGACAGUCAAGAUUGACUGCUCUGAUACCAUAUCAGAUUGGUAAAAAAUAAUACUUCAUUCUUCUUAAUAUAUAACAAAUAGGAAGGUUAUAUAUACAGAGCCUAGGAAACUAUUCUAGGAAAGUAAUUAUGUUCCUAUAAUCUUGCAUAAUCAAAUAGUUGACUUAGACUAAUUAGGAAUGUACAGCUCAUUGACAGUAAGUAUUGGCGUCGGCCACCAUGGGAGCACAAAAGGAAAGACUGGGAAGACAGAUCUCCCUCCCCAUCUUAAACUGAAAGGUGUGAAUUGAGUGGUCUAAGUGGUAUCCUUUAACGUUCUUGCACCAAUGUUGUACAUGACAAUGCGACCAAACAAUUGUAGAUACAAGACAUCCUCAUUAUUUGGAUCAAAAGCUAGCACCAAAACCCUUUUUGUCCUCCCAUGGUGCUCAUCGUUCCACUUUUUGGUAAGAGGAUUUGCCGAGAUUAAGUCGAACAUGCGAGCUGUGUCUACCAAACACCAUUUUGCAGUCUCCUUGACUUGACCAUGACCUUUCCAAUCCCAAUCCCAAACACCAUGACCAUCGUCUUUCAACUCCCAAACACUCACAGCACCUAGAGUGUGAGCAGGAUCAUCAUGAUCUAAAUUGGUAGAGGAGAAGACGCACAUCCGCAGACACCCUUCUCCUCCUCCUCCACACUCACUUAGGAAGUCAAACCUUCGAGAUUCGAUUUCAGGCUUAUCAAUGUAACGAAAGACAUAUAUACUAUCACCAAGCUGGUCACGAGGAGAGUAGAGAUCCAACCCAAUAGUAAAGCCCUCAACAUCCCUCCACCAAUACAAGCUUCCAUUGUGAGCAACCCCGGGAUAGGGAGCCAAUUUGCUAAAACAAAACCUCCGUGGGUUAUUUACAAGUCCUUUGUCCAUUGACCUGUCUCAGAAGAAAAGAUCUCCAGCUAGAAUUCGCUGGAAACCUCCGGAAAGUCCAAUUUAUCGUCAUUUAUUCGCACAACCUUGUUGUAUGCUAUAGGAUCACUAUAUUAUUGCACAAUUCUUAAAAUAUAAACAGUAGCAAAAUUAUGAAAUCUGUAUGAAUGUGCAAAUAUAUAAAUUAAGUACAGAAACUGACUUUUAUUGAAGAUAGAGGCUUGCGUAUUUGCAAUGUCCUAAAGACAGAAUUUAGCCUCUUCUCAGUGCUUGAAGUUCAACAGGCGUCUAUCUCCCAGGAUUCAACUAUCUAUAAUUCAAGGGUUGGUGUGCCUCUCUCCAAUACAGUUGGUAACUUUAAAAUAAUAUGAGCAGUUAGUAUCCGUUAUACCUGUUCAAAUUCAAACAAAAAGAUAAGUCUUUCUGGUUUGAAUUUAACUUCUGCCAAAGAAAUCCGAAAAAUAAAAAUAAUUAUUUUAUUUUCGGGCUAGGUAUAUUUCUUUUAUUUUCCAGAGACCCAAGGCCCAAGGCCCAAGUCUUGAUUAUUUAAAUAUUAAUAUUAAUCAAGCAAGCCAAUCAUGAUAGUCUUUACUACCAAGCCCAUCAGCCCACCAAUCCUUAUUUAAUUGAUGUUAAGGUUUCAUGCUUAUAAAGCAUAUGGAAUUUUUUGUUUUCUCCAAUGUGGGACAUUUGCUUUCAAACUUCCAACAUACUCAACAUUAAUAAGAUUAUGAUUAAGCUGAAUAUUGACACUCCUCCUACUAGAUCUUUCUAGAUCUGCUGCUUGCUUUCGAUAGUAGGGAUCGCAUAUGAAUCCAACCAUUACGCACUUGUGGCAUCCUCCUGAUCCACGUCGAGGUCCACGUCGGGGGGGAGAGGGAGAGCAUCCCAUUGCUUGGUGUAUGGAUUGCAGAUGUAGUAAUCACGUUGAUAAUACGUGGUUGCACAACACAAAAUUAAAUCAUUAUAUGCUCCUAUCACAACUGGCUCACCUUUAUAAGGAUCAACAAUAUCAGCUUGGAAACAAGGGAGGAAACUCAGAGACAACUCAUGUUCAUGUGGUUGAUGAUCAGGCUCCGAUGACAUGGAAAAAAAAUUUCCUCUCACAUGGUUCAUCUUCAUCGGGCUGCUCCGAUGAUGACGUGGAAAGAAAUGUACUUCUUCUUCUUGUUGUACGCCUUCUAUCCGAGAUGGUUAUAGCACGUGCACGUGCACGUGCAAUGAUGUGGUUUUGGUUGCCACUUUGGAUUUGGAAAUAGUGUCGAAAAAAAUAAGGAUCAAAGAUGAGACUGAACCAACGUUUGGAGACACACAUGCAUCGAGCCGCACACUUAGGAGGGAGUCGGGAAAGAAUUUCUAGCAAAACAAACUCAGGGAGAUCAUCAAGACUAAUAUUCAUGGUUAUGGCUAACUCUUUCGAUAUUGGUUUUUCGGGUGCUCACCUUUUUGAUCUUUUUAAUGGAGACUGAUGAUGAUCAGAGGCUUCUCCAAUAGGUUUGGAUUGGGAUAUUCUACUGCUCCAACUCCUUUUGGUAGCACCAGGUCUCAUCAUGGCGCCGAUUGAUCCGUGUGCAGUUUGACUGACUAUUGCAAUUUGCAGAGAGGAUUUGGGUCUUGAAACAUACAUAGCUACUUAUCCUACUUUUAAUCACUAUAUAUAUAGGAACACAUAUAUAUAUAUAUAUAUAUAUAUAUAUUUUAUUUUUUUUUUUUGGGGGGUCGAAAAUAGGAAAAGAUAUCUAUAAAAAUAAAAAAAAGGCAAGCAAUCACUAAUUAUUAAUUUAUAAAUAGGAAAGAAAUCCUCAUACGAAUAGGAAUUAAUUUAUAAAGGAAAUAUAUAUAUUUUUUUUUUGGGGUCGAAAAUAGGAAAAGAUAUCCAUAAAACAAAUAGGCAAGCAAUCACUAAUUAUUAAUUUAUAAAUAGGAAAGAAAUCCCCAUACGAAUAAGAAUUAAUUUAUGAAGGAAAUAUAUAUAUUUAUAAGCCCUGCAAAUUUGGCAAGUUUUUCAAUAAAGAAAAUGCUAAUCACAAUCGCAAACCGUUGAUUAAAAUGAACCUCAUUAUCGCAGUUUUUACUGAUGCAUGCAUUGAAGGCUGUAUAUCGAAUUUUUAUAAAUUAAUUGAUUACAGACCACACAUAAGUAAUUUCUGAUCGUUGAUGAAAUGCUAGCCCCUCAUGCAUCAAUGGUCUAAAAUCACUUACUCGGGUGAAAGUGACUGACCGUAGCACACCCCAUUGACCUUUUCUUUCUUCUUAUCAAAGUUCAAACUCAAAGUGUUUAUAGUGGGUUACAUAAUGGGCUGCACAACCCUUCCAGAUUGUUUAGUAUUUCUUCGGGCUUGUGCUUUAAGAAUGGUAUUUCUGAGAAAUGUUAAACCACAAGGUAUGGGCAACCACCCAUUGCCCAUUACAAAGAAAAGUCCAUUGGGCUUAAUUGUGGGGUUCAUACUUUACAUUGAAGGGAAUCAAAAUUGAAGUUUAAGAUUAAGACCUACACUUGCCCUCCACUUUCUUGACUGCUUGUGCUUGAUCAGGCAGGCAGGCUGGUGUGUAAGUAGAUUUUUAUUUAUUUAUAGGUCACUUUACAGUAAGAUGCUAAAUAAGUUGAGGAUAGAUAGAGACGGUGGGAGGACACUAUGAUGAAACUGAAAAUUUUAAUGGGGUGGGGAUGAUUAUUACUCCUACAUGCUCUCAUGAGUACUAGGACUGCAAUUGUAUGCCCUUUUGGUGAAAUGGGCCUCUAUAUUCAUAAAGACUACCAAAUUUUCAAGAACAGCUUUUGCUGCUAGAGAACCUGUUGCCCCUAUAUCUGGUCUCAAUUAAUUGGGUUAGUUAGUUCAUAAUAUAAAUGCACGUGAAUGCAUUACUUGGAUGGAUGAGGAAGAUGGCAAGAAAACACACUCAGCUUACUUCUGAUGAAACGGAAUUGAAAGAAAAGAAAGUUUUGGUGAGGUUUUAAAUUGUCUUGAUUUGGCAGGGGACGACCCAUUAGUGUAGUGGUUUGGAGUAAUUGCUCUUGAGGCAAGGUUCUGAGUUCAAAUCCUAACAUCCGUUUUGUGUGUGAGUUUAGUAUAUUAUCGUCUCUCUCAACAAGAAAGGUCCUUCAAAAAAUGUCUUGAUUUGUAGCUAGCUGUGCUCUUUAUUGAAUGAAUAGGUAAUGAAGCUUUAAAACUGGACCAAACUUAACGCUGAAAUUACAAGAUAGCUUUUGCUCCUAGAGGCCCUUCUACCCUCUAUCUGGUCCCAAUUAAGUUGGUUGUUUGUAUAAUAUAAAUGCUUAUUAAUAAUAUACAUGCAUUGGGUGGAUGGUUAAAAAAAACAGAGUUACUCUGUUACUCAAACUUUGAUAGUUCAAUUCCACAGCAUACUGGGAUUAAUUGGAGACGACAAAACUACAGUUAAUAUACCUUCUGGCUUCACAAACGACAUAGAAAUGGAACAUUUUGAGGUUAAAGGUUGAUGCGCGUUGGCAGCUCAGAUCAUGACAAUCAAAUAUCAAAUCUGGAAGUUGAUUUUGUUCUUUUUGCUCCACUUUCUUUUGUGCAAUGUACAGUAUAAGAUGGGCGCAAAGGAAACCCACAUAGCUGUAGUUUUGUGUAUAACCAUCCAAGGAAGGGAAAAAAGAAAAAGUUAUUGGUCAAAAAGAUAGAGACCCCAGCUUCCCCGCAAUUGAAGUUGAAUGACAUUUUGCUUUUUACCAACUAUUUACUCUUGUGGAAAAUGCAUACAGUGCAUGCCGCCUGGUCUGGCCAUAUUGAAAACUUGAAAGCAACCUUGAUCUCAGUCUCCUUCCUUUGUCUUUUACAAUAUGACUAUGAGCCUGCUAGGAGCUAGCCUAGGGCUCAAGGCUUAGGUGAGCGUAGGUGAUGACCUUGUUAUGAACGAGCCUGAAUGAACAAAUAUGAACUAUUUUGCAGAAAUAAGACCAACCAACUUUGCAAAUUAAAGAGUUAAAAUAAGACAAAUGCUCUUAUAAGCAGAAGCUACCAUCAUAUACACUUUAUUGACUGUUUGUUUCAACUCAAGUAGUCCACAAACUUCAGCUUUUUCAAAGCAUGAACAUUAAGCACUUAUGAAAAACCAGAGACAACAGAUACAUAAUUAAAUAAACAUUACAAAAACCCUUCAUAAAAUAUUCUAUUUUUCUUGUGUUUUUAACUCCCACUUGAAUAUAUGAUCUGAGGAUAAAUAUAUCAAACACAGCAAAGCGGUACUAAUCAAAACAAGUCUCAGCUUAUGGCACGAACUCUUCUUCACUCUCUUGGAACUGAUCCUCGUUCUGGUUCACAUUGUUGUUGCCAUAGUUACCCCUGUUGUUGUACCAGUGUCUUGAAUCCACUACCCUUGAAUUUUCAUACUGGUUCUGAUUGUAGUUGUUCUCGCUCUGAGCGUCAUAGUAGUACUUUCCAUUCUCCAAAAACCUUGUGUCACUCAUGCCCUGCUUCUCAGCAUUGUAGUAGUUGUUGCUUUGGUAAUUGGUUGGGGUUGUGUAGCUGCUCUGUGUAAGCCUUGCAUCACUCAAGCCCUGCUUCUCCCCAUUGUAGUUGUUGCGGGUGUUUUGGUAAUUGGUUGGGGUUGUGGUUGUGGUGUAGCUGCUCUGUGUGAACCUUGUGUCACUUGGGUUGCUCUCAAAAUUGCCAUUGUAGUAAAAGUUGUUCUUGUUGGGGCGGUAUUGGGUGCUGUAGGUCUCAGGGUACUUGUUGGUGUGCUGCUGCUCUUUCUCUGACUCAGCUGUAUAUGGCAGGUUGUUGUUGUUGGUGGUGAAUUGUGCACCAUUGGUGGUGGUGUAGGGUGCACCGGUGGUUGUGGUGGUGUAGGGUGCACCGGUGUUUGUGGUGGUGGGAGGCAGCUGGCCAGACUCAUGGCCAUAGAGACCAUAUCCACUUUGGGUCUCUGGAAUGAAGGCUGGCUCUUGCUCUUGCCUUUUCACAGGGGUUUCUGUUUUGGGGACCUCUGUCUCCUUCUCAUAGUUUUUGUUGUUGUUGACAUUGGCCACUUUGCUAAAGAAUUGGCUUUCUCUAGCUUGAGCUUGUUGAGAGAAGAGGAGAGAUGCAAGGAAGAAGAGGAAAGAGAACAAUUUUGCAGCAGAAGCCAUAGUGGCAAGUGAACUUGUUGGGAGGCAGCUGCUGUAAACUGAGUGUAUGUAGUGGGGGAGAGCUAGUGGUAGUCCGUUCUUUAUAUAGAGGACCCUUUUUCUUUUCUCACCCAAAAUUUUCAACUGAUUAGGUGCAAAUGGGCUGGAGGAUGGGUGAUGGUUUGUGGUCCCCAGUGGGGGUAGAACUUCAACAAUAUUGAGUACCUUUCUUUUCCUUUUUUCCAGUUAAUUAGUUUAUUUUGUUUUGUUUUUAAAAAAAGAUAUGCAUAUACACAUUACUUUUUCCCCUUGGAUGCACUUCAUGCUUUCCAUGGAGGAAAACAACAUAAUUAUCUGCCAUUUUUCUCUACUAAAAGCCAGCCAGCCAGUCUGCUCAUUCUGAACUUGCUUAACAUUUAGCUUAGAUGACCCAUGAUUUUUCUUUUCUUCUAAGCAAAUCAAAAUAUGAUAAGAUAAAUUAGAAUAAAACCCAGCUAGCAGAAUUAACAAGAAAUAUGGAACUUUAAUUGUGGGUGUUGAUGGUGUUCCCUAAAGUUGAGGGAAAAAAAAUUAAAAUAAAGAGGCAGCAACCACAAAGGAUAAUUUGGAAAUUAACUACAUGGUGCCAAAGAUGAACCAGGACAUUGAGGUGGCCGUCUAAUUAUGCGUGGAUUGUGGAGUGGGUGGGGCAUGCAUAUAUAAUAUCAUAUGGUGCACGCAGCACGCAGCACGCAGCAUGUGCCCUCUUUGCUCGGUCAAAUUUAAGAUACGUAUCUAACCUCUACUGAAAAAGAAAGAGUACUCAAGACUGAAACACUCAUGUUCUAAGUCCCUGUCAUGUUUUAGAGUUGUGCUACCGUCAGUCCCGUUGAGUGCUUGACGCGUUCUCAGCUGUUGAUGAGUGCACUGAAAGCCGAAACUUCAACCUUGUUCUGGUUCAGCUCAUUUACUGCUUCCCUGCGAUUUAAACCAGUAUUAGUAAUGUCUUCUUCUGUUAGUUGGAAUAUUUAAGUUGCAUAACCAAAACCUAGUAGACGGACAGAUAGAUAAAUACUCGAUACCAAUCUCAUUCGAUAUAGGGGUCCAAUUGGUGAAUAGUAGAUAGAUACUUCACAAAAAUCUCAUCUGCUAAUAUGUAGAUGCCACUAUGAUCCCAACUACUGGGUCGGUCCACUACUAAAUUAUGAAAUUUGUCAACAGAGGAGAGAAAUAAUAAAGAUGAUAUUGAAAUUUCCUGUUGGUUAGGAUUUGUUAAAUUUCCCAACUUCUGUCACAUUUAAUUUUUCUAAAGGUCAUUUUUAAAGGAAAAGAGAGGAAGGUUAAAGAAGCUUCGAUGCCUACAUGAGCCACUAGCCCCUGUCCUCCCACAAAAGACUCAAAGCAUUACUUCUAGUUGCAUCAUGAAAGCCGAAGCAAGGGAAGAAAGAACAGGUACAUGCUAUCAUUGAAGUUGAUUUUGGAAAGCAAAAGCGUGUUAGCACCUUCCUCUGAAAAAGAGCUUAGUCUUAAAGCAGUAAAAAAAAAAAAAAAACCUUUGAAAAAGCAGCCCUUUAGGUUAACUUAUAAAUCUCACAUUAUGUAAGUUGUUUUUUUCCUUGUAAUUAUCUUAAACUAAGUUUGUUUUUUUUGUUAUAUUGGAAGGAAAAAAAUUACUAUGGAGUUUCGAUCUUGAGUGUCAAGCAGAGAGGGUCACAACCACUGUGAUAACUCCACUCGACAUUUUAAAACCAAGUUUACUUAAGCCUUGGUGAGAUUUUCAACAGUCUCGGUGAGUGGUUAACUUACCCAAACAAAACAACCAACAAAGUGAGACUUUUAAAAAGAUAAACAAAACAUAUAGUAGCCUCCCUCAUCUCAAGGCAUCCAAGAGGCAAGAGGACCAAGAUCCAAAUUUCACAUCAAGCUUUCAUGUGGCAUUCCAUUUGGUGAUUGAAGUUUGCAUGUGGCAAGUAAGUCUUCAAUGUUUGGUUAUAGCAGUUGCAGAAUUAAAGCACUUGAUUGAUAGAAAGGGUGGGGGCCAUUGUCCUUUUCUUCUCUCUCCUCAACCUCCUUCCUCAAUGGAAAAUGGGGUUCACCCACCAACACCCCUCUCUUCCUCACUCAAAGCAAUAGACAAAGGAAGAUGCUUUUGUCAACGUUUGUGCUUCACAAAGCAGCCAGAGCCUUUUCUUUUUCUUUAUAUUUCUUUUCAUUUUUCUUUUUAUUGAAUUAUGUGAAAUUUGUUGCGCGAUUAGCGGAAGGAAUAGUUUCAGCCUUUCCAAUACGUUUUUUCUUCUCUCUUUUUUUCUCUGUCCUUUCCUUUUGUUUCUCUUGCAGACUUUGAGUUUUGAACAAAAAUUAGUGGGAGCUCAAAAUUAAUAAUACAUUUAUCUGUAAAAGACUACUGAUUUCAGCUGAAAGCUAGCUAGUAUAAAAAGUUAUAAACUCAUUAUUUUAUAUAUAAAUAUAGAUAUAUAUAGAAAAAAGAAGCAUUAAUAAUAAAACAUAGAUUUCUCAAAGACCCAGAUACAAGAAGAGUAAGAUAAGAUGUUAACAACAGGAACCACUUUUAAUUUAAAGAAAUGGGUUCCAAAACAGAAGAGAAAGCAACAAGAGAUUGGGAACCAAAAUAGGAAGCACAGGAUUAACAUCACCCCCAAGGCGUUUUCUUCUCAUCCUCUUCCUAAAAUUCUCUCUCCUCUGCUCAUCACCCCACUGAGCUUCCUCUAUUCCUUUUGCAAGAAUCAAUGGCGGGGGCAGGUGAUAAGGGCAUUUGGACCUCCAAGAAGUCUCAGGAAACCCAAAUCUGGAGACCCUUUUGAGGAAGAGAGAGAGGCCCCAUUGUAGAUGGAUAGGAGGGAAGGUGGAUUUGGUGCAGAGGACUGGUGGGUAGUCCCAGUUUAGGUAGCAUGGGAUUUGGGUGGAGAUGAAGAACUGAGAGUGAAGAGGUGGUGUGGUUGUUGGGUUGAUUAGGACAUGAGUUAAGGCAUGGAGCCUUUGCUCCCAUGUCGUGUCUUCCAUUUUUUUCUUACUUAUCUCUAUCCCAAGAAUCAAGAUGAGGUUGGUUGACUUGAGAGGUGGUAGGCGCUAGGCGGCCGCCUAGGCGGUCCUCCUUAUUUUUCCGGAAAUAUAUUUAAAGAGUAUAGCCGGGCGGCUAUACUCUUAAUAUGUAUAUAUACAUAGAGUUCUUUAUUUUAUUUUAUUUUUUUGGUUUGAAAAGAUGUUUUAAAGGUUAAGCUCAAUUCUUUUUCUUUUAAUUACAUAAUCUGUUAGAUUAGUUAAAUUUCUAAUAGCACUAGUAUUCAAACUUAAGAAAAAUAUGAAGUUAAUACCUUGGUCCUUAUUUAGAAAAUAAAAUUAAUAACUACAUUGCUGCGAGAUGAUUUGAAUUUUAUGAAAUGUGGCCAAUAAGAAGAAAAGAAUUUUAUUGAUUAUAAAAUCAGUGGUCUUUUUUCUCUUGGGUUGAAAGUAGAAUCAGCGUUCUUCUAAACUGAAGGCAUCCUCAAAGAACACGUUACAUCCCUUGGUCGUUUUUGUAAAACUCAAUAAAUUGUAAUCGUGCAAUUUACAGCUUAAAGUCUUUACUUGAGGCUAUAGGUAUAUAGCCUGUAGUUAUUACACUUUGAAUUGCAAUAGAACUACAUAUACACAAGUAGUGGUGGCUGUCUCUAUAGUACCCUCUCAUUGCCACAGGCUCACAGCUCCUUAUCUGGAACAGAUAUGCUAUUAGAAAGCUUAUUGACCAUUGAUUCAAAUCUGUAAAAUGUUGCUACUGGGGUGUGGAUGAGGGUGAGCUAGCCAUCAGAAGGGAAUCUGCAUGGUUCAAUUCCCCAAGUCUUCUCAGCGUAGUCUCGGAUUGUUCUGUCGCUGCUAAAUCUCCCCGACCCGGCCGUGCUAAGGAUGCUCAUCUGAGUCCACUUACUUGGAUCCGCAAAUGCUUUAUCAGCAGCAGCCUGUAGUCAUAUAGAUUCAAAUCCCACGCACCAUAGUAAAGUUAUACAACACCAAACUCAAACUGCAUGUAUAUAUGUUUUGGGUUGGGACUGCCAAGUAAACAGAAAUAAUUACCUGAGCCUCUAAAUAGCUUUCAAAAUCAGAACCAACCAAAUAGAAGUCUUUACCACCGUCCACAGUAUCACAUAGAGAUUCAAAAUAGUCUUUAAAGCCGAAAUAGCCAUCUCGGACCAUCCUACACAUAAUAAAUAUCACAGCAGAAUUAGAACCUGAGGAAACAGUUUGCUCAGAACAACAUCACACAAUGGUCAAAAACGACAUCAAACACAUGCCCUCUAAAGAACCUGAAAAUUCUAGACUGGUCACCCCAAUCACUAACUGGCUAAGUGAGUAUGAUUGAUUGAAGUGACUGUAAUUGCAUACCUUAUAACACGUGCACAUUGCAGUGGCAUUUUAGGAGAUCCUUCCUCACGCAAAUUGGGAACUUCAUGAAUCUUUGCCCCGAACAAAAACUGGAGAAAGCAAGUUCUAAGAGAAUUAUCUCUGCUAUACUACAAACAAGUAUAUACCAAUCUAAAAUCUUGAAAUAGUCAAUACACAGAUUCCAUCUGGCAAGAAGUUCCAGCAAAAGCAAAUUUCAGUUGGUCGACAAUACUUGACAUCACAAUCAGCUAAGCUGAAUUCAACUAUAUUAAGUUGGCUACAUAAAUCUCACUCGGACUUUCCAUUCUCUACGGAAGCUCAUGUUAUGUUCAGUCACACGCUGUCUAUCUUUAGAGAAGGUCAAAGAUCAAUUCAUAUCACAGUGGUAUGCUUGUAUAGUUUUAUAUAAAAUUUACCAGGUUGUCUGCUCCUAUUUCUUCAACAAUUUCAACUGUAGAGCCAUCUUCUGUAGCUAAGAGUAAACAUCCAUUCAUAAGAAAUUUCAUGCUUCCAGUUCCAGAGGCCUCGUGUCCUGCGGUGCUGCAAAGGAAUCAUCACAAGUUGAGAUAUCAAAUAUGAAAACCGCAAUAACAUUGAAGUUUGGCCAAGAAACUCCAAUAAGUAUAUGGAAAGAUUGUGUUUUUUGGGGUUUCAUCAAAUUUAGAUGCUGCAAAGUUUACAAACCUUAUAUGCUGUGAAAGGUCAGCCCCAGGUAUUACCAAUUCAGCAACAGAUACAUUAUAAUCAGGAAUAAAAACCUGGAAUAACAGAGAAAUCACAUCAAAUAGAAGAUAAUUGUAUCCAUAUGUAGAGUGAAAAACCAGAGAUUUUAACUCAUGCUAGUUCCUCUCAAUAUUUGUACAAAACCAGAUAGGAAGAAUGCAUGUAAGGAUGCAUAAUUCUUUCUCUUACCAACUUCAGAAGAUCUCCGACAUCAGUGUCAUUAUUUAUUUUUUCUGCUACAGCAUGACAGAGUUUGAUAAUCUUCUUGGCAAUCUCAUAACCGGGAGCAGCUUUUCCUCCAAUAAUGCAGACACGAGGUACAACCUUACUCCUUUGACUUUUCUCCAUGUUCUGCAGCAAAGUGCUCAUCUUAACAAGUGGGGGCAAAGAGGAAAGAAAGCUCUUACCAAAAAAGAAAAAACAUGAGAAGAAAGCUCCAACUCCACAUCAUAUCUCAUUGAAAAAUCAACAAAUUACUGUCCAACAACUUCUUAAAUUACUGUGACAAGAAGACGAAAAAGGUAUGCACAAUACUGGAGGAUGGUGAUAGCUCCCUUAAGAAGGUAUAAGGUAGUUCUUUGUUAAAAAGUUAUAAAAUAUAGAAUGCAAAGUUCUUCACCAUAUAAAAUCAGAUUCACCUUGAUACAGUCAUAUCGAUGGAUAAUGCCAAGUAUAUUAAGCAGCUGUCUUUUGUACUCGUGUAUUCGCUUUGUCUGCACAUCAAACAUUGCAUCUAAACUAACCUGCAGUUGAAAGUGAUAAAUUUCAGUGUAAUCUAUUAGACAUAUCUUCUAGACAAAAGAGAAAAGAUGAACAGGAUAGAAGUUCAAAGAACUUGUGACCAAACCUUCACACCACUCAUCGCUUCAAUGUACUCAGCGAGCCUCAUUUUGUUAACCUUCUUAACCUACCACAUGAGCAUAUAUACAAUAAUAUAAUACAAACAAAGCCAAAAGCAUAAUAUAUUUUUGGUUCCUAAGCAGCUGUACAAAUAUCAAGCAUAGGGAGUACCAUCAUCCAUUCUUGUUGAAGGUCAGGAUCGGCUGCAUAUGCUCGCAAGCCAGUUAGAAGGUCAACAUCACGAAUCCAAGCUUCUGUUCCAAGCCAUUUUGAGAUAAGAGCACACAGGCUAGGAUUACUCACCACAAUCCAGCGGCGCUGAGAAAUCAAAUGUCAGUACAUUAUCACAUACAUGCUUAUAAAUUGUAUACUGCUAAGAAUAAUGAUGAAUCCUGAUUCAUCGAUGCAUCAUAAGAACAACCUUUGAAUAUGUUAUGAGCCAUAUAAUAACAAUAAUAGUAAAACUAUACGCACAUGUAUGUAUGCAUGUAUAUGCACAAAUAGAAAACCUCUCAGACCAAGAUUACAAAUUGUACAGGAAUCUAUUCUAAGUUCCACAGCAUCAUGCAUCCAUUUAAGUGGUCACCAACAGACAGCAUCAGAGUCAAACAUUAAUUAAGACAUAUUAAAACUGCAGGAGAGGUUGAUGCAUCCCAAUUUACUGCUCAACUGGGGUGGUUUAAAAGCUUAAACUAUGUCGAACACUCUGCUUCAUAAGCCCUAACACCACAAACUACAAAGGCCAUCAGAACCCAUCUUUGGAGGUGUGUAUCUCACCAUUCUUCUUCAACCACAUAAACAGAUUGAAAAGUCUAAUGAAACUAGCAAGUACUUUAUGAAAGAUGCUAUGAACUUUAUACCUGGGUAACACCAUUUGUCUUGCAUUGAAAUUUCUGAGGCCACAGCUCAUAGAAGUCCUGUGAAAGAGGUGUCAGAUGACCUAAUUUAAGGUAUCAUAAGAAUUUGGAUAUCUUCAACUUUGUCAUAAGACAAGGGAAAAGACAACGAUGCAAGGAACACAUAGUACCUUGAAUAAUUUUGCUUUUAGCAAUUCUGAAUGUACUUCAGAAACACCAUUCACAGUAUGGGAGCAUACAAUCGCCAGGUUUGCCAUUCGGAUACUCUGUCAAAUCAAAUGGUAAUUAAAGGUCAAAUUGCUAAACAAACAUUUUCUCAUCAAGAAGACCAAAGAAUCCUUAAUAAACACCUUAAGAAUGUACUUUUGAAAGGGGAAAAAUAAGCCAAAAACUCAUUUAAGUACAAAAGACUGCCUUGCAGAGAUUUCCAAAUGCCCCGUUUUCUAUGCUCUUCUUUUGUUAUGUCAUCAUUUAAGAGAGAUUAUGCAUAGGAGACAUAAUAUGGUUGCAAGAAUAAGCACAAUGGUGUACGGAUUAACUGUAGAGUUUACAAAAUACUACAGAUAAUACCAGAUGCCAACCACAAUUGUAAGCCCAGAAUCAUAUAUCUAUCAAGAAUACAAUCAAAUAUACCAUCAAAUACAAUAUGGUUUUAAACAUACCUUCACAGCGCCUUCCUCAAUAAUUGACAUUCGGGAUAGCCGAUUGUAAUCUAAACCAAUCCUCUUCUUCAACUCUUCCACAAACUUAAAGUUUAUUUCAUAUAUAAUCUGGAGCAAUAAAAACCUUACCACAAUGAUUUGAGUGACAAAAUAAUAAUCUCAUAAAAUAACGGCUAUUGAACAGAUAAUUCUAUUAUAAUUAGUUUAUAAGGUUGCUUCAGUAUAAAGGAAAGCAUAACAAUCUGAUGGAAAUAGAACUCCAGGAGUAAAGAUGAACUGAUGCACGAAUUGAUACAAAUUUCCAAAAACCUAGCAGACCACUAUCUUGAUGUAAAUUUGUAAUAUAUAUGACAAUUAAAUCAAUAUUUCUUCAUGUCAAAAAAGAGUCUUUAGAAUCGCACUUGUAAAUGGCGUGGGAGAAGACUGCCCAGUAAAUCAACAGGGAUUUUCUCCAACCCUUCAGCAAUUACUGCGUGUAUUGUGAACGAAAAGAUUUUGCAAGCAAUGUCCCACGCUUUAUUCCAACCCAAAUGCUCUUUAUCAACAAGCACUCUCAUGACCUCAGCUAUCGCAAGAGAUGGGUGAGUAUCAUUGAGCUGCAGAGCAACCUAAUUAAGACGAGGAAAAAUGAGCUGAGGAAAAAAGGAAAAACAGAAAAGCAAACCUGAAUGACUAUCAGAGGAAAGUAAUAUAUAUAAAAGUUCAUUGUAGCUAAAACAAGCUGCCAUAUAGGGUAAUAACAUGGUUUUUUCCCUGGAAAUCAACAUAUGAUAAAACGCAGAAUAUUAAGACUUGGACCUUCUCUGGAAAUUCAUCAAAGUUACUGUGAGCCUCUUUAAAUCUCCGAAUUAUGUCUUGUAUGGAUGCUGAGACAAAGAAAUAUUGUUGCUUCAAUCGCAGUUCCUUCCCCUGUAAUACAAAAUAAAGUGAAAAGGGAAACAUACUAAGCAACAAAAUGAGAAUAUACAUGAGUCAUCCCCAUGGAAACCACGUAACUGAGUUCAUGACUUUUCUCCAAACUUCUAAGAAGGUACAUUUUCUCAGAAACAUGCAGAUAAAAAAAAAAGAACAAUAUUGAUAAAACCAUCUUUCUUUUCUUCAAAUAAGUAAACAUGAUUUACAACAUAGUGCUGGAAAAGAAAGAAACUAUCAUGUACCCAAGACUUCAAAGAUGUUUAAUGUUUACAAGGUGGAUAGAAACGCAGGGAAAUAACAGCAUGAUUAUUGUACUCCAAAAUCCUAAAGUUUGAGAGUUCAAGCUAUCCAUACAAUUCUUAUACAGAAUGCUAGAUAACAAUAUGUUGAUAAACUGUCCCAGCAUCUAUAAAAACCUUAAUGAUAGGCAUAAUGGAAAAUCUUCAUCUCAUUGAAGUAGCCAGUUUCUGCAUGAACAUAUCAUCUUUUGAUACAAUACAAUACAUAUUCAAAAUAUAUUAUAAAUAAGAAAUAAAUAACAGCAUUAAGAAGAAACAAGCACACCUGAAACGAACGGUCAUCAGGGUACAAUACACUACUUAUAUUUUCUGCUUUCUGUCUACAAACAACAGCAUUGAUGUAAUCUCCAGUAUUAUAAGCUUCCUGCAUGUGCGGAUCAUUGCAUAGAAAAAUUAGUCUCACCUAAAAUUUUUAGGAGGCAAGAGAUGGAUUCUAUUGAAACAUGAACAAUUGGAGGAGAGAAUACUGUAGCUACUCUUUCAUUUAGGAUUUCCGUGGGAUAUUGAUUAAAAACGCAUUUCUGGAAAUGCAUAAUGUUUAAUGGUAGUAAAAAAUUACCAUAUCAUGUUGAUCACUUGGUUUUCCAGCCCAUAAACGGAGAGUAAUAGUAUUCCUUGUUCCAUAACCAGGUAUGGGAUUAUCAUAAGCCACAGCUUCUACCUAGCAGUGUGGAGACAAACCACUAAGCUGAAAUAACCAAUUAUAUUCAUCAUGUUUACAAGAUGCAAUCCAUCUUGCAUAUAUGAAUUAAACAAUAUCAAAGGAUUUGUAGAACAAAUGCAGCCUUAAUUAAUGGAAAAAGAGUUUAUUGUCUUACCACUUCUCCAGGGAUCCAAACAUUGCAUUUUUCUCCAUUCAAAUUUUCCUCUUCAACGACCCCAUAGAACUUAUCCAUGUUAAUAAUUAAAAAACAGAAGUUAGCAAAAGGUUUUGAAGUUUUAGGAGAUAUAAUGAAUAUCAAAACAACCUCAAUUAUUCAAUGAGCACUUUAAAAACAGGAGUAGUACUUGCACACCUUCACUGGAUACGUUACAUGAACCCGCUCUGUUUCCCAAGGAUUUCCAAAGUUCAACCAGAAAUCGGGUUGUUCAUGUUGGAAGCCAUCCAGUAUAACCUGGCGGAAUAAUCCAUAUUCGUAACGUAGUCCAUAACUGCAAAUUGAAGAUGCAACAUCACCAAAUUACAUCCCAUGUAAGAAAUUGUUGGCAAAAAACUAGUUCCAUAAUAAAAACGGUGUGGAGUUUUCAUAUUGAUUAAUAAGUUUAGUUCUCAAAGCCAUUAAGCAUGCACAUUAUUAUAACGCAUAAUAUAAGUGAGGCACAUUUGAGUUCUGAGUUCUCUCCAGAGACUGCUUCUAUUCUAAUUUAUAAAGUGUAAAGAAUCACGCCUGCCGCAUUUUUUUAUCAAGUGGGAAUAAUAUGCUAUACAUUAGGGGUAACCCUCACUUGCCUAGACUUCACUGUCUUGGAGGAGGAAAGAGACCAAAGAGCUAAAAGGGACCGUCAUCCUAGUAUUAAAGACAAAAAUUUGAUGGGAGUAUAAUGAAUUAGAUUAUUAUAUGCUAACAGAGAGUCAGCAUACCCCCAUGCAGGAUAGUCCAAAGUUGCCAUAGAAUCCAUUUGGCAAGCUGAAAGACGAGCUAGGCCACCAUUACCAAGGGCAGCAUCUCCUUCCUUGAAACAUCAGGAAAACACUUACCAUAGCAGAAUAAAUUGCUAAAUUAAGUAUAUAUUCCAUGGUGUGCAUGGUAUAUAUAAGAGAUCAUAAUGGGGGAAUGACAUCAGCAAAAGAAAAAGGUGUAUACUAACUUGCUCUGCCAAAACUUCAAACUCAAAACCAAGCUGGCUUAAAGCAUCUGCAUAUUGAUCCCGGAUGCCAAGGUUGAUGACACUAUUUGACAAGGAACGACCUGACAGCUCAGUAACAAAUAGCAUUUCAGCGGCAAGCAAGCAUUACAUCAAGGAAAAUAUACACAGCACUAAAUUGGGAACUCAUGGAAAACAAGCAGUCACUUCAGUACAAGAUCAAAAUGAAACAUUAUCAAUUAGUCUAGAGAGGCUUGAGGUUAACAGACACUAGCAUCAUCCAAAGUCCAUAGAUUGUAUAAAACAACUCUGAUGGAAGUACAUAAAUACCCAUAAGAUACUCAAACGAGAGGAAGUAUACGCGCUUAGGGUCUUUCCUCUUGAAGUAAAGCUGCGUAUCAUGCGAACGUUCAAUCAACCGGUCUCUUACACUAUGCGCCAAGGCCUGCAAAAUAAUCAUAACAAGCGUAAAUAAAUAUGCAAACACUUGAUAACUACAAUAAAACUCAGGGAACCCAGAAUAAUGAUAAAUGACGAAAAUAAAGAACAUUUCCCGCCAAAUUUGAGAACAUUCAACUGUGCCCUGUUAUGCAAAUUUUGGAAACCACAAAAUCAAACUAUUGAAAAACAUAAGCCCAAAGAUUACUAUAAGAAAACAAAAUUACCUGAUAAGCUUCAAAAUCAUCGAAGUUAAAGCGGGACCUGGCAACCGUGUACUCAACGUGACGAAGAAUAUCCUGCUGCAGACUAAUGGAGUCAUUUUUCAAAAACCCAUCCAUUAGCCUGAACAUCCUUUCAGCCUUGGCACUAUCGGAGCCCAAGCUCAUGCCCAAACCCGACCCGGGCCUGCGGACCAUCACACCUCUCGUGGUGGGACUGGCGGGACCCAUCGAGACCGUACCACCGUCUUCGAUGGCGUCCGUCAGGGCCUUCUUGAUCCUAUCGAGGCUAUCCGGGUCGGCGAUUUUCGCGCCAUGAGAAUCGGUGACGAAGAAUCUUUUGACGAAGAAGUCGCCUUCGAACUCGACGGUAGCUUUUUCAACGUGGAGGCCGAGGACUUUGAAGACGCCGGUGAUGACCUGGAGGAGGCCGAUGCGGUUUCGGGCUCGGAUCACGAAGAGCGUGCAGGACGGGUCGGAUUCGGACUCUGAGUUCUCGACGGUGACAGAUGAAGCGGCGGAGGGCAGCUGGCUAGCGGAGGCGCGUAUGGGUUUGGCAACAUGAGUGCGGCCGUAUAGGAUCGAUGAUCGCGAUGACCGUGAGAAGCUUCGAGAAUGAGAGGGAAAUAGAGGGAACAGAAAGGUGGAGGAUGAAGAUGCGAGCUUAGAUUGGUCAGUGAUGGUGAAAAGCCUUGAAGAUAGCGUCAACAUUGUAGAAUGCGGGGAUUUGGAGGAAUCACAUUCGCAUGUGGAGAAAGACUCUGGUAGGGAGAGCUUCGGGGUUUGGAGGUGGAAGAAGAAGAAGAAGAUGGAGCUUUGAGUGCAAUCACAGUGAGUCUGUGAGUGACUGACCGUGAUAGUAGGGAAAAGGGACUUUCUGGACUUUUCACUUUUGGAGGGGACAGGGUGAGGAUACCAAGUGGACAGCCUCAUUUUCAUACGGUGAGGCUUCGUAUUCUUUAUCGCCACCUAUAUUGAUUUUUGUUUUUAUGUAUGUGAAUAAAAAUGCAAUAUAUUAGGCAAUGGAAUUCGUCCCUACAGAAAAAAAAUAUCGAAAUUUGGUCCAUGUUUACUUUUGAAGGAUGGAAGAAGUCAUGAAUGGGAGAAUUUAAAUGGAAUAAUCAAGAGAUGAGAAUUAGAUUAACUACUUUUCUUAUGAGUGCGGUCGAAGUUGAUUUCAUUCUUGAUUUUGAGCGUAUUUGAUUACAGAUUGUAGUUGAUUUCAUUCACUAUUUUGAGGGUAUUAAUUACGAAUUUUAUUAUAAAACUCAUAUAAUUUUUUAUUCCUUAUACGUUAAUAGAGAUAUAGAAAGUUAAGAAUUGAAAUCAUUCCAAUUCACAUAUGUUAACAAACACGUAGAAUUUGAAUUAUUUCAAUACCUAUUCAUGAUCGCAGCACCGCAUGUGUCACAAUUGCAUUGCAUCUAAUGAGAAGAGCAAUGGGGUUGAAUGUGGGCGAUGAAUACGGGCAAAAGAAGGGUCGUCCCAUUGGUUUUGGCAAAAGGCAAGAAAGAUGAACAGCAAGCACAUCCCUUCCUUCCACCGUCGUACUUGCAUAAUUGCAUUGCACCCUCCACAGUCACGACUCACGAGCCCCAAAGCCCAAAAUUAUUCACAGCACAGCAAUGCACGAAGCCACCUUUCCACCUCCCGCCAGCCGUCACACUCACACGUGUCUUUUAUUGGGCUCAAGAAUUUGCCACCUCGUUAUGCUCUUUUACCAUACUGUAAAUUUUAGAUGCCACGUGACUACAAAACCACACAGUAAAGUAAACUCUCUAUCUGGAAACUUCCACACCGUUCUGGUUCUUUCGACAUAUUGUUUCUCUUUCCUUCGAAUUCCAGUGCCACUUUCCUUAAUAAGAGCAAAGCAUCAGUUUGCGAACAUACCCAAUUAUAAAUUUUGAUAGCCUUGAAGAAUUUGAGCAAUUCAUUGAGUUUUAAAAACGCUAGCACCUGUCUGAAGAGCAGGAAGAUAUGGGUGUGGAUUACUACAAGCUUUUGCAGGUUGACAAGAACGCCACAGAUGACGAUUUGAAGAAAGCUUACAGAAAGCUGGCCAUGAAAUGGCACCCUGAUAAGAACCCCACCAAUAAGAAAGAAGCUGAAGCGAAAUUCAAACAGAUCUCUGAGGCCUAUGAGGUUGGUCUUGUCUUCACCCUUAUCUUCCUUUUCUUCGUUCACCUAUUUUCUUUUGGUUAUUGUUGUUGUUGUUGUUGUUGUUGUUGUUUUUUACUUUUUAUCAUCUGGGUUUUAUACCUCUAAGCAAAUCCCACAUGUUCCUCACCUCCUUUUCUAUUUAAGUCUCAUUGUAUAAGUUAAAAUUUCCAUCUUUUAUAUUUAAAUUUCCUCAAAUGACAGAAAGAUUCCAUCUUUCAUCGUUUUCUAGAUGGUGUACGAAUGCCAGAGCUUGGAAUCUGAUAUUGUGUCUUUUGAAUUUAUAGGUUCUGAGUGAUCCCCAGAAAAGAGCAAUUUAUGAUCAAUAUGGAGAAGAAGGCCUAAAAGGCCAGGUGCCGCCACCAGAUGCUGGUGGUCCUGGUGGAGCUACCUACUUCCAAACUGGGGAUGGUCCAAAUGUCUUUAGAUUCAACCCCAGAAAUGCCGACGACAUUUUCGCUGAGAUUUUCGGGUUCUCAAGCCCCAUGGGUGGAAUGGGAGGUGGAAUGGGAGGUGGAGGAGGUGGUGCUGGUAGUGGCAUGAGGGGUACAAGGUCCUUUGGUGGACUGUUUGGAGAUGACAUGUUUAGCUCAUUUGGAGAAGGCCGGCCCAUGACUCAGGCUCCACGAAAAGCUUCACCGAUAGAGAAGAGGUUGCCAUGUAGCCUUGAGGAGCUCUAUAGGGGGACUACUAAGAAGAUGAAAAUAUCAAGGGAAAUUGCAGAUGCAAGUGGGUAAGUUCCUGCUUAUCAUUCAGUUUUAUAGAACGUACUUGUUUAAUUUAUUUUAUGACUUGUGCAUAAUCAGUUAUUCAUUCAUUUGACAAUUUCAGAAGUUUCUGUAAAAAGGAUGUCAGCAGUUUUCUGCAUUCCAAUUUUAGUUGGACUUUAUUUGAGUUGAUCUGUUUAUUGUGUUCUUAUCUUUUGAAAAGGAAAAGAAAAAGGAAUAUAAGUGAUGCGACCAUCCCAUUUCCCUGCUGUUGAUUGAAUGAUUCGUUAUUCAUAUUGCAAGUCAUGUGACCAAUCUAUCUAUUUUCUGGUUAGUGACCUUACUUAUCAUGUGAUGCAGGAAGACCUUGCCAGUGGAGGAAAUUCUAACCAUAGAAAUCAAGCCUGGCUGGAAAAAGGGAACAAAAAUCACCUUCCCAGAGAAAGGGAAUGAGCAAGGAAACGUAAUUCCUGCAGAUCUUGUGUUCAUAAUUGAUGAGAAACCACACAGCACAUUCACAAGGGAUGGCAACGACCUUGUUGUCACACAGAAGAUCUCCCUAGCAGAAGCUCUCACGGGCUACACAGUCCAUCUGACCACACUAGAUGGAAGGACCCUCGCCAUCCCCAUCAACAAUGUCAUUCAUCCAGACUAUGAGGAGGUUGUCCCUAAAGAGGGUAUGCCCAUACCUAAAGACCCAUCCAAGAAGGGCAACCUUAGAAUCAAAUUCAAUAUCAAGUUUCCGAGUAGGUUGAAUUCUGAACAGAAAGCCGGAAUUAAGAAACUUUUGGCGGCAUGAUUUGAUUUCGGGGCAUGAUUUGAUUCGAGUCAUUCGAUCCACCAUGCGCCAUGCGAAUCUUCUGGGAUCUUCUGGGACGGUUGUGAAUAUGUUUUUUGAGAUGGCCUGGAUUUGUAUAACUAGUUAGUCUUUGUAAGGUUAAACAUUUGUUUGCCCCACAGAUGUAAGCUGGUCAAUUCUAGCUUGGAAGAAGCAGCAAAUAAAGCUUAGUUAUGUUUUCUAGAAUUUAAUCUUGUUCAGUGAUCGCAUCACACGAUUGUCUCCAAUAUAAAUGACCCUUUCUCCAAAAUUGAGUUGCUUGUUUAAAAAUGGGAAAAUAAAAAUGAGAAAAAACUAUUAUCAAAAUAUCUUCAAAUACAAUCUUCCAUGAAUAUAACUGAAAUAUAAAAGAUAGGAUCUUUGCAGUAUAACUUGCUCAUCUUUUUCAUUAGGUAAAGGUUUGUUACACGCUUAAAAUGACUUACAUGUUACACUGCAUAACUACUGCAGGACCUCUAUCCAGUACUUCUAUCCAGACUACUGCUAAAAAUGUAAUCCAUAAACAGGGAAAGUUUAAAAUAAAAGGGAGGCUAAUAAUAAUAAUAACAAUAAAAAGAAGAUUUGGUGGGGCAAUAUUGAUUCCAUCACCAGGAUAGGAUGAGCCGCUAGUGAAGCUGCAAUAUCAAAAAUUAUAUUGCAGCCAGUAUAUCUGGGAUGCUUGCACAAAGGCAGUUCAGGUUUCAAACUUCAAUCACUAUAGUCAUCUGAAACUGCAGAAUCUGAGCCAUCAUCAUUUGUAAUCUUGUUUUGUAUUUCAUCCGAGGCAUCACUCAUAUCUACAUCCCCCUCUGAAUCUUCAUCUCUCACUUCUUCAAUGCCAUUAUUGUCAUCUUCAGAAGCAUCCAUAUCCUCAUCACUUGCUUCCAGUAAACCCUCGUGCCAUCCGCUGGAAGUCCCAUCAAAUCCAGUUUCCCAGUUUCCUUGUUCAUAUCCCACUGCUUGGUCAUCGUCUUCAGAUUCCAAUGCCUCUGCUUGUUCAUAUCCCUCUCUUUGUUCAUCACCUUUCAUAUGGAUCAUAUCUAUCUUUUCAUCAUCCCAUUCCUCACCCAAGUUUCUCGGGGAAUCCCCUCCACUCUCAGGGCUACUGCGUACGUCAGUCAUGCGGCCCAGAGGUGUCCCCUCAACAACCCUGUCCUUUGUUCUCCUCUUUCUAACAGUUCUGCGACCCCGUGCACUCCCUUGUCCUUGUGUUCUUUUCCCAACCGGUCUAAACCCUUGACUUAGAUUCCCACUACCCUUUUGCCGACUUGCACCAGAUUUGGAAUUAUUCACUUUUCUCUGCCACUUUUUACCGCGCCCUUGCUCACGACCUCCCCUACCACGUCUAAAGCUGUUUCGUGCACUUUUCAGGUGAGUAUUGUUCUCUUCCCGAAUGUAUUCAUUGUGGCCUACUUCUGUUUGUUCAGACUCUUUCAGUGGGGCAAGUCUCAUAGGGAGCUUCUGUGGACAAGAAAAGCACAUGUAAGAUCACUCGUUCAUGGCACGUUGAAAGUUGUAUAAACACCACCAACGUAAAUUCAACAUAUUCUAUAAGGCAGGUCCCAUGCAGAUAGACUGAUAUGUAAGACCACUAGUUCAUUGACACGGUGAAAGUUGUAUAAACACCAACAUCAAUUACAUCUAUGGCUAGCAUAUUCAACAUUGGGGGGUUCCAUCCAGAUAGACUAGAACCGCCAAAUCUUCAUAAUAUCACAAGAUUUGUAUUUUUCUAAAAGAAUUGCAAGCAUUUGUGUCAGUAAUCAUACACCUGAUUCUCUUUCAACUUCUUUUUUUGGGGAACCCUCAAUGAGAAGAACAGGAACACUCACCAGAUAUUCUUUGACUUCCUUGUCUCCGUUGGGCUCAGCUUUCUCAAGCUGUAUAUGUGUAAUCGAUGAAUCCAUCUCAUGAAGCCUCAGAGCCACAGCUGCAGUGGUAUGUGGUAUCCAAGGAAGUAGGGGAACUGAUCCACUGUCUAGAAAGUCAGGAACAAAAACCUCUGAUUGUUUGCUGGUGCCAAGUAAUUCCUCCGUCGCUGCAAAGUUUGAUGACAGAAAGUCUCGCUUCACGGCAGUCUCAAGCAGAGUCAAUAUCUGCAACAAAGUUUGUCCAAAAUUGAGCAACUCAAUAUAUAAAUUAUGUAUCAUGAAUUGACACAUCAUGAGCCAUGGUCAUACUGGUCUGAAGCUCACCGGUGAAUAGAAUACCAUACCACGUAGAAAAAUGCAUGCGGAAUUGAUGGAUAAAUAUUUCCACAUGAUAUUUUCAUAUUGUUUGUGAAAAAAAAUCAGGAAAUUAAUUUACAUCAUGACAAAGGUUGAAUCAUAAGAAUGAAACGAGAAAAAGGUAAGACAACCUGUAGAAGUUCUUCCGUUGAUGAUGAUGCAUUCAGUUUCCCACCCCAGGUCUUUCGACGGUCUUCAGUCCAAAACGAUUGAAGAGCUUCUGGUGGAAUAGAUACCUAUCAAACAGAAUGUCAGUGAUGUAUAGACUCAAUAAAAUAAAAUAAACAAGUGCACAUACAUUAGAUGCCACGUUCUUAGGCAAGCAAACUCAAGAUUAUAGUGAAGCCAUUAGCAUCUCACCUCAAUAUGAGCUAUUAAUGCCUUGAGCAAUCUUCUGCCCAAGGGAAGAGAAGUACAUGGCAUAUGGGAAUCCCAAGGUUCCAACUUCCUUUUUUCUUUACAUUGAAUCACAUGCUCGCUAAAGUUAAAAUUUGCAUAGAAAGCACUGAAAGUCUGAUGGCAAAAAGCACAGUGGGAAUCUUCAAAGUAGUAACAACUAAGGCAGAAAUCGCAAACAUCAAACAGUGAUCUGCACCUCUUCUUCGCAUACUUCAUGGCACAAAAUGUAGAUGAGCUAAAGCAUUCUUUCCACAUCCACUUCUGAAAAUCUUGAUACCUUCUCAAGGCAGCCCUUUUUUCAGCUUCAUUUCUGUCAAGCUCAAUUCUGAAAGAAGAGGAUGUCUCUGCUGUAUCAGAAUUCAAAGCACAAACAGUACUGCCAGGGCUGUCGAAACCAGAAGGGCAAUCAGGGCUAGAAUCCAUGUCGGCUUCAUUUUUAACACGGUUUUUACUUGGGCCUGCACUGUUAGGACAAUGUGAAGUUUUCCGAACAUUGUCCUUGAACGAUGCCUCAAUCUUUUGCAACAUUAAGCGUAGAUGGGAUUCCCUAAUCCCACGUGUGUCCAGAGACGUCAAUAGAGCAUCAAAGGCCUACACAGAUAAUGGAUUCAACAAAUUAAAAUAAUGAAAAAAACAGAAGAAGCAAGGUUAAAACCAAAUACAAGUCUAAAAGAAUUGAACCAGAAAAGUAUUUAUCAACAUUUAGCACCAGAAAAAGGUUGAAAGCGCAAGAAGCCACCAUUAUUGGGAUACCAAGACCAAAGCAUCUUAAUCUUAACUUUGCAGAAAAAGGAAUAUAAGAAACUCUUAAAAGGAAAAUUGAAACAGCAUGUCAAAUCUAACAAACAUAAAAUUUGAUUCAACCAAGCAAGCAGACAAAACCUAUUACAAAUGUAAGACGUGCUGCCAACAUCAAUCACAAGACCCAAAUCUUGAUGAUCAGAUAUUUUAUUCCAAUUGGUAACAAGGCCAGCAAACAGAUAAUAAAGAAUCAACUUUACUAAGAAGCAAAUGAUGCCUAGCCCAACCUCAAUUUACUCAAAAGGGCUGGAAGGGUCAAUGGCAGUUUCUCCUAAGGAGGAUGAAAUGCAGUCAUAACCAACAAAAAUAUUUACCAGUACUAAAAUAUUCUCAUGUCAUACACAAGCCCUGAAACAAAUUGUUAAACCCGUAAGCAUUUAAGUACCUCUUCAGUGUCAAUAAGCCUCCAACUUCCAUUAUUCAAUUCAAUAAAAAUCCUGCCUGAACCAGGAUCAUUGCUUGAUGCAGAUGCAACAAAUUGCCAGUAUCGAUUAUGCCUGCGAUCUUGACCAAGAGGCAGGGACCUAUAUGCAUACAUCUCUUCUGCUCUAUGUGCAAUAUAUGAUUUUAACUGUGAGCGCGACCUUUUUGAUGCAUAUGCAAGUUGCUGACUCAAGAAGUUGUCAGGACCCAUGGAAAUAUCUUGGGCUCCUAAAGUCCUUUCAACUGGCAAACCAUUAAGCUGAUUCUGAACACCUUGUGAACCAUGGAUUGACUUUUGAUUUUCUGCAGUGCCUGGAGAUGCUUCAAUAUUUCUAUUAUCAACAUCCCGUACAGGGCUUUGUCCAUCCUCCACUCCGAUAACUUGUGUUUCAGAUUUGCCUCCCACAAAAGAUGGAAAAUCUAACUUACCGACAUUCUCUUCUUUUAGGCGACUUUUAUCAAGCUGUGCUUCUGCCCACAUUUGCUUCUUAAGAGCAUUUGCAGCUUCUAAGCGAUCCUGUUGAACUCGUGGUGUCAAAUUUAACACAGAAAAUACAACAAUUCAUUGAUUUUCACAAAAUUGAAAAAAAAAAUGUUUACCUCAAGAACAACACGGAUGGAGUUUCCUUCAUUUGCAACACCAAUUAAGGUAACCAGGCCAUUAAGACGCUCUUCCACACUGAGAUCAGAAUAUUCCCCUUCUGUAAGUCCUUGAACCCAUGACUCACCUGAUUUGCUUUCAUCAAUCUCCAUAUUUUCUUGGUCAAGAUUACUAGCACUAAUAUCCGCACCCGAAACACACUGUUUAGAGGAAGCACUAGGGCAGUUUGCAUCUUUGGAACCACUCACUGGGGAAGAUGAAACAUCGUUUUCAAACUCAUUUUGCACAUUCAGUGCAACAUCAUUGCAUAAAUCCUUUCCAUUUUCUGAGAAAGUAAUUACUUCAUUGUAAUCAUCAGGGGAUUUCUUUGCAACUGAUGGAGUAGCUAAGUCAUCAACUUCUGGAUCGUCAUCAACUUCAUCACAUUCAAAGUCUUCGUCUCUUUCAACCUCAUCAUUUUCAACCUCAUCAGCAUCAUCUCUUUCAACAUCAUCGGCAUCUUCUGCAGCUAAAAACCCAUUUUCAAAUAUCUGAAUUUUCUUCCGUGCUGCAGAAAGUAUGGCCUCGGCAUCAGCAGGAUCCUUUCUGUAAGCAGCUCGUACGCGAUAUGUUGAAGGAGCUAUUCUUUCGAAAAGCUUAGUAUCUCUUGUCAAAGCAACAGAAAUUGAAGCUUCAGGAGUCUUGCUUGUUGUCAGGUCCCGAAGGCCAGAUUUCUUACAGAAAAGAACAAAUAACAGAAAGAGAAAAAAAAAAAAAUCAGGAAAGAGGGAGCAAAUAAAUCCCGAUACCAAAAAACUCAACUCUUGUCGCAAGACACACAACAGAGUUUCUGCUAACAUUAAAUGAAAUCACCUGAAUCUUGUCAGCAAGCUCUAACACUGUUAGUCCCUUGUUUCCCUCAAGUGAAAGCACAUGAAAAGCUGCAAAUUUUACAGUUCCAGGAGUCAACCGGUGUCUAGAUUUUCGUGGGGCUAGUAAGCCUUUUUCUUGCAUUAUUGCAAAUGCAUUUUCAGCUGCUGAACCAUUGCGAAGAUUAGAAAUUGCAUCCUGACAACCUUUACCCUGAAAUUACAAGUAAUACUGUGCGUUUUACAAUUUUUGGAAUUUUAUAUAUAUAAAAAAGCAUGUCUGAAUGUACUCUAUUGAUUGAGCAAAAUUUACAUACGGACAGCCACCUUUAAGGUGGUUUAAUAUGAAUGAAAAUUGAUACUGAAUUAGAACACGCCGCCCGGUCUGAAAGUCCAAGAUUUUAAGUCUUUGAGCCUUGUGCUAAUAUUACACUUCAAGCUAAGUCCAAACAACAUUCAUAUGGGUUCCUUAGUUAUUUAUAUUUUAGAGUUUUUUAGUAAAAAUAAAUUAAAAUUCACUUUUGUUGUGCUUAGUAUGCUAAGCCUGAACUACUACCUCAAUUCACCCUUUCAUAGAGUUCAACUCACAAAUCAAUACUGAGCGGAGAGAAACAUCUAUCAGGAGAGUAUGACCAUGUGGUAUUCCUUUUGUUUUUCAGUUUUUUCCUUUUACUCUUUCCUUAACUGAUGAAGGAGAUGAAUUCCUUUGAAAGAAAAGAUAAUAAAUAACUGAAAAGAGAACCUCAUCAUUAUCAGGAGAGUAUGACCAUGCGGUACUCCUUUUCUUCAACUGUGGCCCAAAUCCGGCAGACAGUGCUAGUUGCCGGAAUAUUUCUGGCCAUGUUAGCAGAUUUAAGUGCUGCUGCCAGUUUCGUAUAUCAAAGCCCCAUGCAUAUGCCUGAAACAGAAAGUAAAAUUCAAUAUAUUUAAAGAACAAUUAGGAAAAAGCAAUAAAAUGAACAAACAAAACAACUGCAAGCAUGCAGAGAGCGAAGAUUACUCCUUCAACAAUCUGUGGAUGUCCACCACCAGGAUUAGCAGCACCAUUUUGAUUUACUCCUAAUCCAGUAGAAGGAGUCCUUGCAACAUCUUCAAUAUCUUUUAUAAUCAACCUCAAGAGAGCAACAUGGAUCUCUCCUAACAACCUUGAAUCCUGAUAUCAAAAUUGUAUGGAAUUAAACAGCAGCAGAAAACAGAUGAAGAACAGUUAACUAGAAUGCACAAUUUUGAAACAAAAUAACUCAUUGGUGGCUCACAUAGUCAUGAAAAGCUUGAACAAACUCAUCAAGAGUAAAAGGCCAUAACUCGAGAACAUCAGCAAAGGUAAUCAAAAAUCUCCAAACCUGUCACCAUCACGAUACUCAAUCAUCAGAACCAGAGGCAUUAAUUCAAAUAUCAGCAAGAAAAUAAUCUAUUCAAAAUAACAUGCAUAUGACAAUAUUGGAGAGAGCAUUUAAUUUAUAACUGCACAGAAAAAACUGAAAACCAUGAGAAUCACAUGCCAAGAAGAGCAUAUUGAAGCUGGACCAUAGAUAUUACCAACCAUGCAGUGUGCAUAAGGACAUAAUGUAACCAUCAGCCAUACAAGAAUAUAAAAAAUAUACACAUAGUACUUCUAAAAUCUCAUGUAAAAGGAAAAAGGAAGGACGCACCAUUAGGAAGUUACCAAUAUUCUCCUCUGAGUUGAUCCACGGCUGAACUGCAAAUGGUCUUUUUAAUUGCACGGACUUAGGUGGGAAUGCAGCCAGAGAAUCUAAAGCAGAAAAUCACCUCAUCAGAAAAAUUGGUAGAGUUACUACAGAAAAUAAUGAGCCAAAACAAUGAAGACAAUCUCAUGGAGUUGAGGAGGGGAACACAAGAUGAAAUUCUCAGUGCAGAAUGCCAAGCAAUACCUACCUCUGAAUGCAUCAAGGUUUUGCAAGGUGUCAAGAUCAAUACAAAUGAUUGAGGAUAAACCCUUGCUUGCAGCAGCCAAUUCCAUUAGUUCUAGUUGCUCAUCCUCAAUAAGCUCCAUAGAUUCUUUAGCAAGCCUGCGUGCAGUAGCCUUCUCAAGUGCUGCUUUGCGUCUCACUGCCUCUCUCUCUUUGCGAAGCUCUUCCUUUUGCCUCCUUUUCUCAGCCUGCAAGAUAAACCCAGGAGAAGAAAAGCAAAAAAGACAAGGGGGGAUCAAGAAUUUAUCAUUUUAUGCUGAAAAACCAAAGAUACAAAACAAAUGCAUUACAUUAGUGGCUCCUCAAACUUACUCUUAUAUAUUCUUUCUGCAAAAACUUUUCCCUUCGUUCAAUUUCACGUUUUUGCUCACGCUUUGAUCUCUCUUCCUCUCGCUGCCUUUCACGCAUCAACCUCUCUUCUUCUUUUCGUCUCUCACGGUCAUGCCUUUCCAUUUCUUUCCUCAUUCGUUCCUCAUUCUAUAAACAGAAAAAUAUCAGCAUACAAACACCUAUAGUUCAGAACAAACAUUUUGGAGUGAAAAAUAGAACCUUUCUCCUCAGAAUAUCCUGUUUCUCCAGCUCCUUCCGGAUCCGAAUCUCAUGAGCUUCAACUUCUUUAGCAAUUCUAGCUUCUUCACUCUACAAGGGGCAACUAUUAAAAUAAUCCUUGAUUGAGAAAAUAUAGUUUUCGAAUAAAAUUGAACCGCACAAGUAUACCUUGCGUUUCCUCUCCAUUCUCAGCAUAGAGUCAUUAAUUUGACCAUCAGACAAUACAUUAGAGUUUUCCGGUGCAACAGUAGGAGGAUCACUAAACUGAGUAUUUACUCUAACAUUAGUAAAGGAGUCCCUUUGUGGCACACAGCCAUCAUCACCAGGAGAUGGAAAGGCCACUGCUUGCCUCUCCUGCUGAGACAGAAGACGAACACGCGACACAUGACCAUGACCAUGGACACCAUGAACCCUUGACAAAGGCUCAUUUCCAACUGCAAAUGAUGAAGCUCUGGCACUAGGACCAUCAAUUGGUGAAUCUUGAAAAUGAGAUUGUGCGGCUUGUCCAUAUGCAUCAGACCGAAUACUGGAGUGAUCUUGAAGAAAUGGAUAUUCAUGGAGAGCCCUUGGAGUUGCCUGAGAUGAAACACAUACUAAUUCAAAAUUACAAGUGGUGAUGCAAUUGUCUUAUGGUUAUUUGAUUGAAAUACAUUCACUUUCUAUUUCUAAACAACACAUCAUUUGAAAAGAGUAUGCGUUUAUCAGAGUUUCUUAACAGAAGGUUAUGGUAUACUGGCAAGCGGGAGAACAAAGUAGUGGUAUAUUUAUUCGCUAAAAGAAAAUCUAAUACCCAGAACUUGGAAAAUGAGAGAGCAAAUGGACGCUUCUCUCGUAUUUUUAGGGAUAAAGCCACAUAAGUUAUAAAGGAUGUAUCAUACUAAUAAAAAAAGAGCAAUACAUGUAUAUCACUUAAUGAUUCACCAGCAUAUCAUUGCACAUGCCAUCAUAUGGUGCAUAUAAAGUAAUAACUUUUAUCAAAGAAAAAGAGACGGACUUUAUUUGGUUUUGCAUCAUGCCGCUCAUAUUUGCCCUCCAAAGCAUGGGCAGCCCGCUUCUGCUGCUCUGCAACUGCUUCACCAAGCACAGAAACAAAAGGGUUAGCAGCAAACCGAUCGCAUACAAGAAUCAGUCAAACAAUAGGCAAUAAUAUGCUAGAUUAAUAAUGUGGCCUUUAUUGAGCAAUAAAUCAUAUGUUUUCGCAAUUUUUCUGAUUCCAAUGCAAUAAUUUUAGGAAAUAGUCCAUACUUUUAGACCACCCCCACCACCACAAGAUGAAAAAAUUUGGAACUCAAACUUCUUAACAUAAUCACCACAGUGCAUAAAGCCUCAAAGCAAAUGUGAAUGUUAAACUACACUAGAAACCAAAGUUAAACCAACUAAAAAAACCUUAAUUAUUAAGAAAAUUGGUGAACCAAGUAGCAAGUGUGAUCCAAAUGCAUCUGGAAACUUGUAAAGCCCAUGACUGCCAUAAAAUAAACAAACUUAUUGAUACAUUUAAACAUGGCAAAAAGAAAAGUCAUGAAAAUAAUUUCUGUUUAUCUUAGAGAUGGGAAUGCAAAAUACAAAUAUGCUCCGAGAAAAACAGACCAUCAUAAACUCACUAGACAACUACAAGCACAAAAUUCUCUGCAUAAUGCUGCAACGAAAUCCCAUAUAAGUCAAGUACAAGGCAUUGCUGAACUGAGCUGUACAAUCAAUAAGGGAACCCAAUAGUUAUACCUAUAGGUGCUCCGAACGCAUCUGGCGGCAACCGAUCGAACUCUACGCCGAGAACUGGCCCAUCUUCCCUCAAUGGCUCUCCCAAUUGAGCUUCCACACAAGCAAUGGCUCUAAGCUCCAAUAUCGACUGGGGUGACUCGUAAUACCUCCUCCUCAUUGGCACAUCGUCAGCCCCACUCCUGGAAACCACAUUCCGCAACUCCGCAUGCCCAAACGGGCUUGAGCCGGAGCCUGAACCCGACCCAUAAUCACUACCUGGCUCAGACCCGUGAGCCAAAUCAUCAAUAGGAGGCUCGGGCAAAGUGGGCACCGAUUUCCGCUGUUUCUUUGCUGGACCCCCUUCCUUUUUGUCCUUCAAUCUUCUGUGACAGAACCACAUCUGCAACUGCCGAUCAGUAAGCCCUAAUUUUUCCGACAGCUCCGCCCUUAUCGCCUCCGACGGGUAGGUCUCCACUGAUCAAAAACCCAAAAAAUAAAAGAAGCUUCAAUUUUCACAGACAGUAGCUAUAAAUUUAAAACAAAAAAAAGAAAAAAAUCGAGAUUGAACUUACAGGCAUAAGCUUUCUCGAGGGUUUCAAGCUGAAAGGGGGUCUUCAUCUGGCGCUUGGGCUUGCUCUGUCCCUCACUGGAAUUAUUAAAUUUACCAUUACUGUUGUUAUUUUCAUGAUUUUUAGUCGGAUUUUCUCCUUCGGAAGCACCCUCCAUUGAAGCAAGAUCAAGAUCUGGGCAGAACAAAGCUUCUUCCUUCAAGCCUUCAAGGCCCCAAACCUCGAAACCUCGAAACCCUAGAAUUCCCAAAUCCUCAUGGAGAGAAAAACAAAACAAAAACUGGGUCUUCCGAAAGCAAACAAACAAACAACGAAGAAUCUGAUUUCUCCUUUUCUCUCUCUCUAUCUCUAUAUCCUCUCUCUUUUCCUUUCUUUAAACAAAUACCGUAACAGUCAAGGAAAAGAUCAAGAAAGAGAGAGGCGUAGAAUUAUCAUGAUGGAAUAAUGAGAAUAACAUGAAUAAAAUAAAUGUGAAUUUCGGGGAUUGACAUGAAAAUAUGACAACAACAACAUCAAUAACAAGAAUAAUAUCAAAAAAUAGGAAAAGGCAAAAUCAGGAACAUAAAACCAACAGUCUUUCCUCACUCUAAUUCCACCUUCCAUAAUUUUCUUAUUUUUUUUGUUUUUCACUUUUCUAUUUCUAUUUUCUUUUCUUUCGGUCUUUGUUUUGUUUUUGUUGCCUUUUCUUUCUUUUUUUUUAAUUCGAUGGUACUUUCAUACUUCGUUGCGUCAAACGAUACGAGGCCCUUUUCUCAGUUUUAACGUUGCGUGGUUUGGUUGGGCUGGCUAAAAACACGAACCCACGUUCCAACCAACAAAAAUGAACUUCUUUUUAUUUUGUGUUUUGUGUUUUGGUUCCAGCGAGCGGAUGCCGAAAACUCUCUCUUCGUGUUUGUUUUUAAUUCGAUUGACUUUUCAAUUUUUUAGGUUGUACGAGUUUUUUCUUUCUUUUUUUUAUGUUUUUUUUAUUGAUGACUCUAAUGUUAUUGCAAGUGUGCGUGUGUGUUUGAUUUCGAAGGCUUCUGUCUGGUUGUUAAUUUAGGUUCUUUGUGAUCUUUGGAUGCGAUCUUCGGCUGCGAUGAUCGAGCAUGUCUUUCUGGUUUGUGUUGUUGCGGGCCCCGCUGUCCGCUUUGGAAAUCUUUGGGCUAGGCUUUCUGAGCUGGGCAUGUAUUAAAGUACAAAAAAGGGUCCGCCCACAACAAAUUUUAGGCAUGUUAUAUUUUCGACUUUUAUGUUUUCUGGCUUUUUUCUUCUUGAUAAGUAAAUAUGUUGGUAUAAUUUCUUGAUCAGAGAAAAAAACAUGUCGUUAUAAUUUUAACUGUUUCUGAAUGUUCGAGCAUUGCUCGAGAAGAGUUCGAGUAAUGCUCCAGGGUCCCAGAAUGCUCGAGUACAACUCGAGCGAUUAGUUUUUUAAAUCUUGGAAGAAAAAUAACUACAUGUCUUUAUUGUGUUAUUAAAAAAAUUAAUUUUCCAAAUUUCACAACUUCCAUACUAAAAGAGCACAACGAAAUACCAACACCAAUUAAUCAAUGAUCAUUGAAUGCCAGCAGAGACUUAGCUGCCUGAUUUGAAAGAUGCGAACAAGAUCAAAAUGUUCCUUUGGGGUCUUGGGCUCUGAGCUCGUGGCAAGCUUCUCACCAGUGAGCAAAUGGCUAGAAGACAUCAGCAGAGGAUAUCAUACAUCUUGCUCUAGCUGUAGUGGUCCACUCGAAUCUCUAACCCAUCUUUUGAAGGACUUGAGAGAUAGAGAGUACGUAGAGUUCGUAAGGUCCUUAUCCUUUACCCCUUUGCCGUUGGGUGGCUAAAUCUCAAUAUUCUCCAUUCCUAAGGCAAGAGUUUUUGGGUCUAGAGUGAGUUUCUGCCUUCUCAAUUUGGUCACAUGAAAGUAGAAUAUCUUUGAGCCACUUUCUAAAGUUCAACGCGAUUCUAAUAAAAACACUUAUGAGCAGAAAUGAGAGUGGGAGUGAGAAUGAACUUGAACAAAAGAAAUAAAUUCUCCGUGUUAAAUAUCAUGUGUAUAUUUCCUAUCCUUUCUAAUGCAUUACUUUACUUUUGAAUGAAUGAAGAUCUAAGCAAAACAUGUAAAUUGGCAGUUCAAGCAUGUCUCUAGAUACAGAUAGCAAUCUAUUCACUCACAUAUAAAAUCUCCAUUCUCUUGACCCUUUUUAGGCUUCCAUCCGUAGGAAGAGCUCAUUGUGAGAAAGAUAAAAAUUGAUACAUUAUUGAAUUCCAGUCCACAUGAGACCAUUGCAAAUUAGAAUGUCUUUGUGCUCUCAAUCAAUCGGAGAAAAAAAAACGUGGGAAGGGGGAAAUAAACUAUAACAUGGACAAUAGACAGAUACUCAAUUUGCCAUUUCUUCUGAAGGGAAUUUAUGAAAUUUACAAUGCAAGGUUCCCUCCAUGUCCAUUCUUCCCUUCUUCUCAUGCAGCUUUCCCUUGCUGGGUUUUAUGAACCAAAAAAAGGGUCAGAAGAGCAAUAAUAUUACACAGAUAAAUUUAUUUAAUGGAAUUGGAUGCAAGGGACUAACUGCCACAUGCAUGAGCUAAAUUUAGCUAUAUCUGACUUACUCGUUUCUCUUCUUCUAUUUUGGCCUUGAUGUAAGAGUAGAUUGCCACUCCUGCAAUCGCAAUGGCUGUCCCGAUACCAGUUUGUGUUGAAAUCUUGUUGCCUGUGAGCAGCAAGUAGCAAUUAGUUAUACAAAAGAAAAAGGGAAGUUGAAGAAGCAAAAGCAGAACCAAGCUGAAGAAAAGAAGAGCCUUACCAAAGACCAAGAUGGAAAAGCCAAUCACAAAUACACGUUUCAGCACAUUUCCAACUGCAUGUGUAAGAGGUGCCACUCUCUCCAGGGUAUUGGUGGCCAGCUGAUAAUUUCAUAACAGGAUACUGAUUAUUAACUUGGGCAACAUUUGAGUUAUUUUGAGAGGAUUAUCCUCCUACUAUUACAAAGCCAUAGAACCAUAAGUUACAAUAGAAAGUAAAGAAAACAAAUGUACCUGAUUAUAGAGAUGGUAGAACAAUCCCACCCAGAAGAGAUCAGAAACGAACUUGACAAGACCUACUUUAGCAAUUGCAUCAUUGAAGCCGUACUUAAUCAGUUGAGGCCCCUCUACCUGUGAUAUGAGAGAGGACAUUGAACCAAAAUUCAUCACAAUUUUUGUUUCAGUUGCACAAUCAAACUUCAAGGGUUCUCAAGUGUAAGUUUUACUCACGAUGAGAGCCGGUGGAAUGCAGACAAGAAGAGCAAUGAUCGAAAUAUAGGCAUAGAGAUUGGUACUGUCCAUAUCAGUCUGCAAAACCAAUAAAACGUUAUACAAGUAAGAAGCAAUCUUUAGCUCCCCAUGUUCUGUCCUAUUCAAAACAAAAUGCUAGCUAAAGUUCCAGAGCCACUCACCAUGGCUUUCUUUGAAUAGAUACUCCUGUAGGUAAAGGAGAUGUUUGAAAUCAUAGCACUAAUGAAGCCAGUCCAGUUGAAUGACAACUCAGUCAGCGAUGCCAUCGACACACCUUCAUUUUAAAAGUACGUAAAUACUAAGUGAGCAAAGACAGUCUGAAUAAAUUCUCAUGGCUCAUAGUUUUUGGGUAUCUCCAUGAUUUACAUUUUCCAUAGUUUUCAAUAGAAUGAUUGCAACGACGGGAUGAACAUAAAGAGAAGAGCAUACCAAGAACAACAGGAGCCAGGGACAGCCAUAGAGACAAGGGGAUUGAUUGUCCGAGAAUAAAUUGCGAAGCAGAGGCAUUGAAGAAUGGCUCAAGAGCUGCAACAAACAAAUUCAACGUCAAAAUGCAAUAAUUAAAAGUGCACUUGAACAAUUUUGGCCAUUGUACCAAACAUAUGAGAGCAUAAGAUUUGUCCUCCCACCUUUGAUGGUAUGUGUGAAGGAGACUGCAACGGCUGCAAAUGAGACAUUGCUGGUGACGUGGCCAAGUGCAUGGCACACGGCCACAGGGAUGAGCAGCUUCAACAGGUUUGAGUCAAUAGGCUGCACGGAGACGAGAAACACCAGUCAGUCACAUAAACAAGACAACCAACUGAACAGUGAACAGAUUGAGAUUAGCAUUAUGGGCCUGGGCCUGAAGUGAGUUCACUUACAGCGCGUUUAGGAAGGCCCACGGCCCAGCUUAUCAAACAGUACACCACUCCCACGCCCAAGUGCACAACCGACACAAAACUGCACACAAACCUCAAACCCACUUAUUCGACCCAAAAAAAAAAACCGCAAACCCACUUCAUCAGAAGUUCAGAACACAGACCGAAUUCAAAUGGCUAGAACCAGCUAAAUUACGCCUGAACAUGAAACACAUAUGCUAUCCUACGCUUUUUUAUUUAUUUGUUUACAAGAAUUAUAGGUAACGAAAAUUGAAAAUGGCACACUUACUAGGGAUACGGGAAGUAAUUGUAGAUCUUCUUGUUCAUGAUGUUGAAAAUCACAUUCAGAAAAUACCUGCCCGCCAAGGACGACUCCGUAAUUUCACAUACAAAAUAUUUCUCCCAAAAAAAAGCUUGAAAAGUUUAUUAAAAAACGUACCACAUGAAGAAGAAGAAGCCGGUGAGGAUAGCCGGGUACUUGUCGAAGAACCCGAGCGGCGCGACCUUCGCGUCCCUGUUAAGAGCACCGAGUCAGGCAGAAAAGGCCAAAAAGAAAAAAAGCAUUAGUCCGGAGGCCGACACGGGCGAGUCAGACCGAGUCGGAACGGAGGAAACGGACCUCACCCGGCGGAAUCGUUUCCCUCGGUCGGAGAGGAAGCGGCGGCGAGGCAAGGCCGGAGAAUCUCCCUCUUCAACGGCGAGGCCUCGAGCAGCAGCCCGGGGCGGAGUUGCCUCCCCCAUAUGAGGUUCCCGCCCUCGCUCACGGCGCCGAUCGGCCGAGCCGAGAAGAACGAAACGGCGGCGUUUUCCCUGGGAGAUGGUUUGCGGUGGCAGGGGAGGGCUCCGAAUGUGGUGGCGCGUGAUAGCACUCGCGACUCCAUGAUUGCUGGGGGAAUGAGAGUAAACUGAGAGAGAGAGAGAGAGAGAGAGAGAGAGUGGAGAAUGUGGUUUGGGAAGCUGCAGUGAGCUCUUAUUGGUGAUUCAGAGUAGACACACAGCACAGCAGAGACAGAGAUGAUGCGCACCGUUUUGGAGUGGGUGUUCGAGGGCGGUUAAUUGCUUUUGUUUUUGUUCGUCUGGGAUAUAAUCUGUUACGACGCGGAACAAGUUAAAUAAAAUGCAUCCACCAGUGAGAUUAGAUGAAGAACUUGAAAUGGUGAAUCGGAGGGUGUGGAGAGGUCGAUGAUGGCGGGAUAUGGUGAGGUGGGGGAGGGAGUAUGGGAGGUUAUGGUCGGUACGGGAUAUGUUUAUGGAGGAGAGUGAGUGAGGGAGAUAGGGGAAGAAGUUGAUAUGACUGUGGAGGGGGGUGGGGACAUCUUAUCCCCAGCGUAAGGCUUACGAGCAACGAAGAUUGGCAGUGUUUUGAAGCCUCUUAUCGAUUUUGUUUUCUUAAUGGCUUUUUUUUCUUUUUCUUAUAUGUGAUGAACUGUCAAAGCUGUCCGUGAUGUUGUUAUUUGCUUUUUAUUCACUGUUCUCACGAGAAGCCAACUGUUUGCCUCUGUACAAAAAUUAUUUCUGCAGUCCGUCCCAACCCAACUACCAGUCUACUAAAUUAAUUUCGUUUUCUAAGUGAAGAGGGAGAUUCAAAUUUGGAACCGAAAGAAGAAUAUCAUUACAUUUGGAGUAAAUUAGUGAUUAAAGAUAAUAGUUAACUUGGCUUAAGUAAAUACUAUUCCGGUCAUUGAGAGUACGGAAGAUGAAAUGCUUGAACCAAUUGGUAAUGUGUUCGAUUCUCCAUUGAAAUCAUCUAUUGUUUUUCGAAAUAAGAAACAAAUUAAAAUAGUGCAGGAAACUAAAAGAGUUCAAAGUUAAUGAUUAUGAGGAUACAACUAAUAAAAUGUUGGAUGUAUAGAUCAAAAUUAUUGUUUUAUGCAUCUUUUAUAACAAGUUGGUUUUCUUGGUGCAAUUGAAACCCCAAUAUAGAAGAACAUUGUCAAUUAAACUCCAACUAGCCAUUUAUUGGGCCUAUGACAGCGUAAAUUGUCGAUGGACCCGAUCCAUUUGUCUAUGGGCCUGAUUGAAGCAUUGCAUGUUCCCAUUUUGAUCCAAAUUGCCAAUGUCGUCGAGUGUUCGCGCCCUAGGCCGUCUAAAGCCUCUGCUGCUGAGCAUUACCAUUCAGGGACCGUCCAAGACGUCGGGAAAAUACGAUGAGUCUGAAAGAGAAAAACAAUUUCAUGAUAAUCAGUCCGCAGGUAAGGUUGCUGCUACUUCUGUUACAAUUAAAUUUCUACUUUCCCCUCAAAAUUCUUGUGUGAUUUAAAGUUCCCGCCUAAGACUGGUGUUACGGGACGACAUCUGUUUGAUGAAAUGCCCCACAGAGUUUAGACUAGGUGGCUUCUUAGCUUGAAUUUUACUGCUAAUCGAUUCAUGUUGUUCGUGGGUAGUUCUUUUUAUCUGGUUCUUGUCUCAUUUUGCUCUUAUGUUUAUAGAAAUGUAGAAAUUGAUUCAGAGAUUUGCAGGCAGAGCUUUUAUUGUGCAAAACUGAAACAUAAUUGGGAGUGAAUGAUAUUGUCUUAUUGAGAAAGAGUGCUGCCAAUACAAUGGGAAGCAAAACUUUGUUUAAAUGGUCGAAGCAAAUCACUACUUCCCAAGUUGAGCAGCUGAUAAAAGCUGAAAAGGACAUACAGAAAGCUAUUCUCAUAUUUGAUUCCGCAACAGCCGAGUACACCAAUGGCUUCCGGCAUGAUCACACCACCUUUGGUCUCAUGGUCGCUAGAUUAGUCUCCGCGAACCAGUUCAGGUCAGCCGAGGCGUUACUUGAUAAGAUGAAGGAGGAGAAAUGUAGUGUUACAGAAGAUAUAUUCCUCUCUGUUUGCAGAGGAUAUGGCCGCGUUCACAGGCCACUGGAUGCUGUCAGGGUCUUCCACAAAAUGGAGGACUUCCAGUGCAAACCAACCCAGAAAUCUUACAUUACCAUACUUGGCAUUCUUGUUGAAGAAAACCAGUUAAAGAUUGCUUUCAGGUUCUACAAGUAUAUGAGAGAAACGGGCAUUCCAGCUAGCGUUGUGUCGCUUAAUAUUUUGAUCAAAGCCCUUUGUAAGAACAGUAGUUCCAUGGAUGCAGCUCUUCGAAUAUUUUGUGAGAUGCCCAAUCAUGGGUGCACCCCAGAUUCAUAUACAUAUGGUACUUUGAUUAAUGGAUUGUGUAAGUUAGGAAAGAUUGGUGAAGCAAAAGAGCUCUUCAAUGAAAUGGAAACAAAAGGUUGUUUGCCCUCUGUUGUUACGUAUACUUCCUUGAUACACGGCUUUUGCCAAUCCAACAAUUUGGAUGAAGCUGUGGGAUUGUUUGAACACAUGAAAACCAAAGGUAUUACUCCAAAUGUCUUUACUUACAGCUCUUUGAUGGAUGGACUUUGCAAGGGUGGGCGUUCUUCACAAGCAAUGGAACUAUUAGACUUAAUGAUUCGUAAGCGCCAUAGGCCAAACAAUAUCACUUAUAGUACUUUGCUUCAUGGACUCUGUGAAGAAGGAAAGCUUCAAGAAGCUUUGGAGAUUCUAGACAGGAUGAAGCUUCAGGGCUUGAAACCAGAUGCAGGGCUGUAUGGGAAGGUAAUUAAUGGCUUUUGUAACAUUUGCAAGUUCCAGGAAGCUGCAAACUUUCUUGAUGAGAUGGUCCUUGGAGGAGUUUCACCUAACAGACUAACUUGGAGCCUUCAUGUAAGGAUUCAUAAUGCAGUCGUCCAGGGCUUGUGUAGUAGCGGCAAUCCAAAUCGAGCUUGUCAGCUGUAUCUUAGCAUGCGUUCCAGGGGUAUCUCCAUUGAUAUGAAGACAUUUGAUACUCUAGUGAGGUGUAUCUGUAAAAAAGGGGACCUGCACAAAGCUUAUCGAAUUGUUGAUGAGAUGGUGCUUGAUGGAUGUGUUCCGGAUGAGGGAAUAUGGAGUUCCAUGGUGGAUGGGUUUUGGAAUCGCAGGAAGGUGCGUGAACCUGCUGAGUUGUUGCAGGCUGAGCUGAUGAGUGAAAUGGUUGAGCCUGAAACAUAAAUCUGAAAGUUUUGAGCUAGUAAGUGCUCUUAUACACGUUUCAUUUAUUUUCUUUCUGGUCAUGAAAGUUUGUUCACCACAUUGCCUUUUCUUUUUCUUUUUAUGAAAUUAUAAGUUACUGGCUCAAAAUAUGACUACUUACGUGGCACAUGAUUUAUAAAGCACUUGCUUAGUAUAAUGUCAUUGGUAACUGUCCAUAGUGAAUUUAACCAAGAACGUUGGUAACUGUAGCGCUAGAAAGGAUUUUUCUGUAUAUUAACCAUGAAAUAUAUUUGGUUGACAAUCUUGAAGUAACUUGUUCUUCCUAUUAUUCACAUACCUCACUCAUGUACUACACUCUUUGGCAUAUAAGAGAAAUAAGUAUGACAAGCAUUUGUUAAAUCAGUACCAGAUACAAUCUAUCCUGUCAAGAAUCGAGGUUUUUAAAAGCUAUUUCUUUAAAGGUGGAACUAGGAUUUACAAAAAAAAAUAGAAAUCAUAUAACUGACAUUGACAGAGCUUGGAGGAAGCUGAUAUGGAAGAAUGAAUAAAUAACGUUGUGUGCAGUCCACAAUUUUAAGGAGCACGCAGGCAAAUAUUUCUUAAUUAAAAAAAGAGGAGUUGUUAAUUUACAGACAGGGGGAAGCCAAUUCCAUGGCGCUUGGUUGGAAAAACAACAAACAACAUACUGCAAAUGACACCAAUGCCAACUGGCAAUGCUGUGAGAAUCUCCUGAGCCUUAUCCGACGGGGUUGGAUAGAAGCAAUUCACUACAUUCUGAUCAAAUAGUGCAACAGCUGCAAAUACAAGUAUUGACAUAAAGGCAUGGAGGAAAUCUAUAAACCGCAGUUGGAAAUUUGCAUCAACUUCGGGUGAAAGGGUGGUUGACCCAUCGAUGAUCCAUAAGCCUCGGAAUGUAGCAAAGCCAUAACAGACAUUUCCAUUCUUGUCUCUAUAGCUGUCAGUGAAGCUCAGUAGAAAACAUGAAGCUCCACAGAGGGCUACAAGACCAGCAGUCAUGGACCGGCUGACUGAGUCACAGUUGCCUUGGUUUGAAAAUAUGGGUGCUAGAAGCUGAAAUGCAAGAACUGUUCCAGUUGGUAAAAGAUUGGCCAAAUGAGCUGUGCUUUGAAACGUCUGGCGAAUGGCUUUCUGUAUCAAGGUUCUUUCCUCCUCUGUUACGGACUUUGGCAUAUCUUGCAAGAGGGGAAGUUUUUGUUCAUCAUCAGGCCAGUGCCGGGAUUCCUCAGCUUGUAUCUUGAUCUCCAUUGACCAGAAACGCUUGAAGCUUCUUUUCCCUUAAUGUUUUGGUCUCUUUUCUUGGUUUGUUUUAGAAUUUUUGUUGGGAGGAACAAUGUUAUAUAGAUAGAGAAUAAAAAUGAAAAGAGUGGAGGUAAAGGGAGGGAAGAGUAGUUAGUCAUGCCUUGCAAGGAAGAGAAACCUAAAACUGGAACUGAAAUUGAGACAAAGCUGCUACCAAAUGGGAUUUUUGGUUUCGUGCAUAGAGCUUCAAAGUAGAUGAAAGAAAGCUUUUUGGUAUUAGACAAAUGUCCAUCAAGAGGCUUCAUUUUUGUGCUAACUGCCCAUCAAGCUUUCAUGACCGUUAUAGACCAUGGUUUUUAAAGUUGUCACAAAGAGGGAGGGGUGAUGUGAUCAGGUUCAAGAAGUUUGGGGCUUACAAGGUUUUUGUUGUUUGUUGCUGAAACGCAAAGUGUAUUGCUUAAAGGCAAGAGGCUUCAUAAGAGGUAUUCUUUACUUUUAUUAUUAUUACUUCUAAAUUUAGAAGUGGAGACCCACACUUCUUUGGUUUUAGGCUUUGCUUUUUAGUUUUUCCUUCAACACAUGAAAGUCCGUAUUGGAUGAGAUAUUAGGCUUCACUUUUAAGGAAUUGGUGUUAAGAUCAUACAUGGUGUCAUAUACUCAUACCUUGCACGUUAUAACUUUAUAAACAGGUGGGAAUUGAAACAGGGAAACCACUGUGCCAUGUGUUGAACUAUUGCUGCCAAAAAGGCCCAUUUUUGCAGGCACUGAUAUGCUGGAGUUUUAAUCCACUCACCUUCUAACCAAAAUCUUGCAAUACAUCUGCUUUGUCCCUUUGUUUUUUUUUUGUCUUUUUUGAUACCAACAGUAGUAUAAGCGACUUUAAACUAAUCUAACUUACGAGGAGAAUGACUCGAACUUAAGUGCAAAGGGAUGGACUCACUGCUCUGACCAAGUAGUCUAACUCACAUCUGCGCUUUGUCCAUUCACAUAGUUAAAACAAAUUCAACCCACCUCAUAUUUUUCAGAUCUGAAGCCCAUGUAUCAAAUUGGACACGUGUGUGGUGAGCCUAAAUGCACAGGCCCGUCUAUUUAAAAAGGACCAGGCAUACACGAAUAACCCAUUUGCUCUUGCUGGGCUCAAGAGAAGAUACCAAAUAGGCCUUUUUGUUUUGCUGUGUCCUUGUUUUUAAGCAAUUUGAAGAUAGGAAAACAAAGUCAAAAAAAAGAUGUCCUUUGAGAGCUAAAGGUCAUAGUUAUGGGGAAGAGAGACGUCCCAUUCAAAGAGUUUGACAAAUUAUGUGCCCUCUUCGCGUUGGACCAUGCAUAAUGCAUUGCCUGCCAAAGGGGUCACGAGGCUGAAGCAUAUAGAUAGACGCUAUAGGCAGAGACUUUUCAUCACUUUUUCCCAAGGCAGAAUUGUAGCUUCUACUUCUGCUUUAGCAUCCGUUACAAACUUUAACCAUAACGUACAUUUCAUUCAGUCACAGUAUCUUAAUCCUAAAGGAAUGAGAAUCUCGCUCUUGGUUUAGUGGGUACGAACUUAAAGCUUAAUGUUGAAAAAGGUUUUAAAUUCAACUCCUCGUGUCUUAAUAAAAAGAAAGACUUCAAAUCAAUAAGUGUUGCAUGUACUGUGGUCCUUUUCUGCAACUGCAACAUCACAAUGCUGGUGUAAAUUUUAUCAUUGUUACGAUUCCCUUCCUUUGUUAUUUUAAUUUUCUGAUAACUGAGAAGAAUCUUUGAACUAUUAGAUUACAGAAUCUGGUCCAAAUGGUUAGGUAACUGUCUACCAGCUACAACAGUGAAGUUGCUUUCAUUCUAAAAACAACUAUUUUUUUCAACUUUUGUUAUAUAGAUUUCUGGGUCUAAUUUGUAACUGUAAUUACCAAAAAACUGACAUAUCUUUGUUAAUUAGCCUUUGAUACUAGCAUGGCAUCUAGAGCAGACCCAAAAACAGAAAUUGUAGCAUCUAGGGAGGGAGGGAGGGAGGGAGGAAGGGAAGGAGGGUAUCUACAGUUUACCUUCAUUCAUGAUGACCACCAACCCCUACUUCCUACUCCUUAAAUGAUUUAAAACAUUGUGAAAUAAUGACACCAUCAAACUGGACCCAUAUAUUAUAAUUUUGUUUCUUUAGGGCAUUCAUCAAGAAAUCAUGAAAGAAAAAAAAAUUUAUGGCAUCUGAAUUAAUAAUUAUAAAGGUUUUUCCCAGUACAUUUUAAAGUUGACCCCAUCUUUUUUUUUUUUUUUUUAAAAGACCCUACAAAAUGCACAAGCAAAUGAUCAUUUGGAGAGAGGUGGGAGAGGGGAGGGGGUGUGGUGUUCUGAAUGAUGUGCUGGGUGUGAUGAUGAAUUGUGUCAUGUAGCCUAUUGGCACAAACAAGCAUGUAGACGAUCAUAGAGUGCGAACCUUAAAAGAAGUCAAGGGAAAAUGUUUUUUUUCUUUUUCUGGCUUGGUUGUUCACCUUUCAGUUUCUUUCUAGUACCAAUUGAUUUGUUGCUUGCUGCUUUUCCCUCAUUUUAUGGACUGGUUCAGAAAGCCAAAAAAAAAUUCAAUGAUGCCAUAUGGCCACGAGAAUGCUUUUCUGCAUAUGCACCCAUAUGAAAACUGUGAAUGAAUUAUGAAUAUGACUUUGUUGAUUUUAUGUUCUAACCAUCAAGGCUUUGUUAUUACCGUUAGAAUGAAUUUGUAACACGAGUGAGUAUUAUCUCUGUAUUCGAGGUUUUGUGUUUAAAUUCUACUCUUUCAAUAUCAAUUGUAUUAAAAAUAAUAAAUAAAGACUUUGUUACCGUUUUAAUAUAUGUGUAAAUUCAAUAUCAUUGUCCAUCUAAAUCUUCUUAGCAAUUAACAACUUGAUUUCUUUCCUAUAUUUGUGAGAAAUCAAAUUUUAUACGUUUGGCUUGGAUUCUCAGAUUCUUGCCUGGAAACGACUAUGCGCCAAGGAGGAAACAAAGAAGAAUAUGCAGGGCAGUUUCCUGAUAAAUUAUGCAUACGUAUAAAAUUGAAAUUUUUUAAAUAAAAAAAAAAAGAGUACAGAAAAUGAUUCAGGGUCACGGGUUCUGCAAGAGAAGAUAAGGAUGGAUGUGUGAUGUGCCACAUCUGUUCCUGGGUUAUUCGGUACUCCGUUCAUUGGAUUACGUACUAAUUUUGAAUUAGAAAAAUAUUUAAGUAUUAAUUUAGAAGAUGAUUUUGCCCUUCUCAAACCUCCUGCACUCAUUUAACACUUGAGGAGUGCAUAAAAUUGUUUUUAGAGUCCAAAAUCAAUCUAAAUUUUCAGAUAAGUAUAGCUAGGGUUGGAUAUGGUUCGGUUCAGUCUUGUUUAGGGCCAAAACCAGUACUCUUUUUGUUGUUUUCAUGUCCAAAAUUAAUAGGCGAAAACUACCAAAACCUUAGGCGAUUAGGGUUUUAGCAUAUUGGAGAGGUCAGUUUUCUGAGACAUGUCAUGCCUUUGAAUUUUAUAUAUAUGAUGCUCAUGCGGGUCAGUUUCUGUCUUGUAUGAUUCUAUCCAGGACAAUGCAUGCCAUAUAGUAGAUACUCAAUCGAGAUUGCAAGGCCAGUCAUGCAUCAAUCCCACCUUUUUCCACAUCAGUUUUGGCUUCUUUUUCUUUGAUAUUUCUUCAACUUCAAGAGUCUCUCAAGUGGGUCGUACUCCAUUUGACUAUCGAAUGGCUAUAACUUAAGGCAGCCUUUCAGGGAAAAAAGGAAAAAGAACAAAGACUUAUGAUUUCAUUGACUUGAUUAAGAGUCGUUUCUACAAUAGAUCCAAAAUCAUUUUUGGCAUCAUCUCUUAGUGUCUGGAAUAGAUUGAUGAUAAUGAUAUAAUCAAUAUUCGAACCCCCCUCAUUUAUGAGACGGCUAAUUAGUCUAGAAGAAGAGCAUCAACCCCUUCAAUCAAAUGGGUUUUCUUAAUUACACUUCAAGCAAUCUUUCACCCUACAGAUUGUGAUAAAUUUUUAUAACCAACCUUCAAAUGUCGCUUUUUACAAUAAAUUAAAACUUGUUUAUCUUUAUAAUAUUGAAAUAUGCCCUAAAAUUCGUAUCCAAAUGAUGAAAUCACAGAAUUACAAAGUAGCCAACGUUGCAAAUCAGUUUCUUUUUAAAUAAAAAGAAAUGGGCAGAGUGAAUCUAAUUAUAAAAACCUAGAAUACUUAAGCUUUACUUAGUAUGAGGUCUCAAGUUCAUAUUAGUCAAAGAUUCGCAAGCGUGUAUGCUCCAUUUGGGACUAAUAAGUCAAAAAACGUCACCUAACGCAGUCAGUUGCUGCUCCAACAAAUACCACUCUUUACAUUAUUUUUCUUGAACUCACUUGUUUAGGGACUAAUUAGGCGACUAGUUCAACAUAAUCAUAAAUUAAGCAAGCGUAUUACCGUGGCGAUGCAACUUCUGUUUCCAAACACAUGAAAUCUUCUAAACUUUCGACCCCAAUGUCUUGACCAAUUAGCCGUUUUCCAGAUUAUCAUACAUUUUAAUGAUUGCUAGACGCUAAAGAGAGAAUAAAGUUUUAUUCCUCCUCUUAGACUCCAGUGGGGUUUAAACACAUAACAUAAUCCUAUUCAGAUUGAUUAAUCUCUGUUAAUUAAUUAGUCCUGUUUUGUUUAAAGCUUCCCAAAACCUUUUCAAUGGUGCUAGGAUGGCCAGUUUAUAAACUUUAUAUAUUAUAUGACAUAUGUACAUACAGCUGGGCAUGCAUUUGGUGUUGGUUUCCCAUUAAAGCAUGACCUCUGCCAAAAAAAAUGUGUAAAGAAAGUGAAAAGAGUUGCCUUUGCCAUGACCUUUCUCUCAUUUAAAUCCUUGGGGAGGAAAAGGAAGGGGUGCAUGCUUUCAGAAUAUGCAUCUUUUGAAUUAGUCUUGUAAACCCUAUUAAACAAUAAUCCUCUGCGUACCACAUCCAUAUGGUAUAGAAAAUAAAAAUAAAACCCAGAGGAAUAAAAUCUCAUGGGAUCUUCCCAAGUGUACCACUAAUGAUUUCAGAAGAGCAGGAAAGUGAGGGAGGCCUGUUGAGAAAAGAAGAUAAAGCGGAACACUCCAAAUGGGAGAAAAUUUUGCCACAUACUGUUCAGAUGCAUCUUUUUCUCACAUCAGAUAAAGUGGAAGGUGAUGGUGGCAUUGAGGGAGAAAGGUGGAAAUGAAGCAUAAGAGGACAAUUAUGAUUAUGGUUAGGAACAGACUCAACUCAAAUGGGUUGGAUCCACCAUAUCCUUUUUUCCCCCCCUCAAAGUUUGUAAAAAAGCCAUUGAUCUUGGCCCUACAUAUCUUGCCUUGUAGGUUCCACAAAAUACCUCUCAAUCUUUCAAGGGUGCUGCUGGAUCUGCUUCUUCUUCUUGUUUUUUUUAAUUUUAUUUUUAAGGGUCGGAAUAGGUCUGCUUCUUUUGUGUUAGAAAAGUGAUGGCACUGAGGCUUUUUGUACCAAUUCUUUUUAUAUUUUGGGUUUCUGGAAACCAAUUGUUUUUUUGCAAAAUUUAUUGCAAUAAAGAUAAAAUCAUGAUUGAGUUAGGAAUUUAGGAAGGUGUGCUUAAGUUGGGCCACUGCUUCAACCUUUUUCUUUUUAGACCAGAAAUCUGAGUUUAAUUAAAUCAUCAUAGAAUUUUUAUUAGCAGGCCACCAAGAAAUCUUUUUUGUUAAUUAAACUUGAAGCAAAGCUCAAGCACGACCCCUCAAGCAUCAUGUAAUUAUAUCUCGAAACAGUAAAAAUUUCAGAAAGUUCUAAGCAAAACUAAUAAUCACACUUAAUUUCAACAUUUGGUAAUUAGCUUUUUCAUCAAUCAAAAGUUACCCUUUUUUGCUUUCUAAUGUGGAAAUGGAAAUCAUAAAACGUAUGCGUCUCUUGCAAACAAACAGCAAUAAUUUUGUUGUACCAUUAGCUUUGCCAACAGAAGAGACACACAGACACAUGGUUCUUCUGUUCAUGUUUGAGUUGAGAUUGAUGUAAGGCCAACCUCAUGCAAACGUUAUCAUAACUCGGGGCAAAAAAAAAAAGGGAAGAAGAGAAUCGUAAAGCUUUGUGUUUUACUUGCCUGAAUAAUUUGGUAAAGCUUUCAAGUUGAUUUUGCCCUUUUGUCUGCAUGCACAGAUAGUGAGCCUCCUCUUUUCUCGCGGGUGACAAGCCCCAUCAUAUCUUCUACAACAAUGUCUUUACCUAACCAAUUUACUGUGCAUGUUCCCCUCCUGAAACUAUCUGUUGUGUAUUAGGGCUUCAGCUAUGCACUCUCUAAGAUUCUGUGUCUUAUGUUAUCACUCCGUGACUUUAAACUAUUGAUUAGGUUGAUUGAUAGGGUUUAUAUAUUGAUUAUGUUGAUUCUUGUUUGAAUGUGUAUUUCGAAUUCAUAGUUUAUCAAAAAUAAAUAAAAUCAUAUGCACUGUAAUCAAGCUUAUUGAUCGGGUAGGUUAAUACUCGUCUAAACCUAGAAUUCAGACUCACAAUUGACCAAUUGUGGGACAAGAACAUUAUGUACCCUAGAAUUAUAAUAGAAGUAGGUAGCAAUUAACUUGGAAGGCUUAAAAACAUUUGCAUUGGGGGAACAGAUAAGUAAAAGCGUUGUGUCUAUCAGUGUGACGUUUAUCGAGUAAGAAUUGAAGUUGAAGGAGAUGGCAAUUGGGUGAGGAUUAAAUAAAGAACAGGGUAGGUGGUCCAGGUGGAUGUUAUAACAUUCAGUAUAGGUUAGGUGGCAUACGUUGAAUGCUGAGAUUAAACCAAAGUUGAUAAGUUAGAGGCUCAAUUUAAAUACAGUGCCACUAUGCCAGACACCAGUCAUGAUACUUGUUCCCGACCUAAAAAAUCAGCACUACUGUGUACAUUUACUCGAAAAGAGAAAGGAAAAUAAAACCCACACCAGAAUUUACAAAAUUUUUGAAUAGUUUUUCUAAGCAGUUUUGUAUGCCAUUAUACAUAUAGAGGAGACUCGAACUCGUAAUCUCUUAUAAUAUUAAAAGAAAUUUAUUAGACUAAGAGCUAGUUGAUCCGAGUUUUUAAGUUAUUUUAAGUUAUUUCUUUCACUGUUCAAACAUCAAAACAUUUAUCCAAAGGUUUUUUUGUAAGUUUAUGCAUUCCAAUUUGGAUUCUGGCAGCAGCCAACUUGGAAAAUGUUCAGCACAUGUGACGUGCCUUUGUGUUCAAUCAAUUUCUACUUCCGGUCUACUCGAAGUCCCAAAAGCUUCUUGGUGGUUUCAAAUCAUCUUCCUGGAAUUUUACCCAUUAUUCAAGCUUUGAGGCAAUCUAUCAACAUCAGACAAAACCUUUAACAUAUCCAAUUUACAAAGAGACACCACUCGCACAGCCUUUUAUUUUUUAUAUUUUUUUUAUAAAAAAAUUACAAAAAUAUUUGCUUGGGCGGAACAUGCAUGUACAUUGUACUGUGUACAGUACGGUUUAUAAAUGUGCUGCCAAGUCCCAGAUUUACCACCAAACAAAUUAAAAUUUAUUUUAAUUUCCUUCACCAACCCUUGCAAUUUAAAUUUGAAUUUUUAUUCUUCUGUAUAUAUAUAUAUAUAUAUAUUUUAUCAAAAUAAAACCUUGACUUUGAAUUUCAAAUUUGACUAUCGACAGGUACAAAUCAAGUUGGUGGAACCUUAUUGCAAACCCAACAACUUAUACAAUGCGAAUUCACAAACAUCUGGGUGUCCAGAAAGACAAGCAAAUAACGGCAUUGCAUUCACCAUCCCCAAUAACUUCAAAACCAUCCAAUUACAAUCAUUUAAGAAAGUCCAAGAAGCUAAGAACACUUUAUAUAUGUUGGGUUGAUUCCCUUUUAACUGCCACAUAAUGUAGUUUUAAUAUGUUGUGUUCUUAAAUUAUCAAUAUAAAUUACGCAAAUUUCUUAUUUAAUUAUAUUAUUUGAUAACGUUAUGAUAGAUGCACAUAAAUGUACUUCAGGCGAAACACUCUCAUGCAAUUGAGAUAAUAUUUUUUGAUAUAUUCGAUUAAUAACACAAGAGCAAGUGGAUUAACUUUUUUUAUGUAUUAUUACGUUAUUAAUCAAAAAUAAUAAAAUAGUAUUAUCUUCGUCACAAUAAAGAUUUUUUUAUUACCGAAUAGCAGGUAUGCUCGACAAAGUGUGUGUCAUACUUGUCGAAUUGUCAGGGGGGGGAAACUCUGGCGCGCACGGGGUUAAAAUGUCCUGGGUUUGGCAGCAAAAGCAAAGGCCUCGUGUGGGCCACCCCCAGGAAGAGUAGGACCCAAAGAACAGCUAGACCAUUUUACCAUGGCCGGUGUCUGAGUACCCGCUUUGUGGCCUAAACUCAUCCACUUUUGGGGAAAAGAAAACGACGGUGAUUAAUGAAGAAUGCCAAGAAAUUGGUGGGGGAGCGUGCCAAAAUUAAACAGUAGAAGAAAGUUGUAGACAAAAAUGGAAAAUUUUGGAACUACCCCAAUAUAUUUUACACUAUUUAUGGUUUGGUGUAAUUUUAUUCGUUCCAUUCUUAUUUAAUCCUUCCCCUUCUGCAUCUCACUAACCUUCUCCAAUGGAACAAAAUCUGUCUCCCUUAGAUGUAGAGUUGUAAAUUUACAUGCUUAUCCCUUGAUAGUUUGGGCUUUUCUUUUUCCCAAACUUUUUUUUUCCUUACUAUCUACCCAGCAAUUUUACACAAUUGUUUGUUGCACGGGAAAAGUUUCCUUAUAUAAAUAUGUAUUUGAUUUUGUUCAUUUUUUUCAUUCGAGACGUGGAGUUUCAAAACAGACUUGCUUAUUGUAAAUGCGAGAUAAUUGCUAUAUGACUAAAAGUUAUGAGGUCCUACAGUUUCACUUAUAUUUUGACAAACACAUAAUACAACUAACUAUGAAUUACGUGUAUUUAUUAUGUAAUUUGAGUAGCAUUUCUACGCAUGAAUAUUAGAAUUCAGACGUUCAAAUUCACAAUUUGUUUUAUGUUCCAAAAAACUCACUUUAUAUGUUAUUUGCGAGUUCAGGAGAAGUGUACGUAUUAUUAAAUACAUUAAUAAUAUUUAUAAGAAAUUAAAAAGAAGGUGGAAGUGGAGAGUUUGAAAAUAAGCGUAAAAGUAAGUAAGGGUCAUUUUGCAAAUCCCAUGACCCAAAAAUUGGGAAGUUUGAAAAUUCCCUCCUUGAAGAACCGUUGAAAACUUGUAAGUAACAUUGUCUUGACUGUUGUGUGUGGAGAGAGCACAUAUUCCCAAAAGCUUGGACAUUGGGCAGCACAGAAAGGUCAAUUGGAGUUUCCAUUUUCUACCGCUGGUUCUUCAAGUCAUGCAAACUGUUCCUCUGCCUCUGGCCCUGUGAUGAAAUCUCCACCGAAUCUUGGGCGUCAGAUUGAUCGGAUGGUUUGGUAAGCUACUGUAAUAGAUACGAUUUUUGCCUGCUUUGUAGUCUUACCCUUUUGGACACUACCAAUGGCUAAGCAUAAUAACGAAUAUACGGACUGAUCUCCACCGUGCACGGCACCUAACCCCAACAAAAUCUUCCUUUCUAGACUGAUUUCUUAACCCCUACCUAAACCCUUUUUUUCUGUGGUCAAAUUUAGCAAUAAAUUUGGACGUUAAACUAUAAUUAAUUAAAACCAACUUUCAACUUUGCCAUUGGUAAUUGCACUUCAAUCCCAAAUUUCUUGCGUUGUUAAUUGGUUUUCCUAAAACAUGCCCUUUAUUAUAUUUUUAAUGGAAGUUUGAAAAAUGAGGACAUAUACAUUGGGGACACCAUAUCUCAACUCUGGGAGAAAAACUUACUUAUUUCUUGUUUCAUAUAUAUUUCUCCACGUCUAUCAUCUUAUGAUGUGCAAUAGGAGAGAUGAGAAAAAAAAGGCUAUAAAACAUGUUACAUGGAAGUUUUACUCAACUCGAAAGUAGUAUAUGAUAAAAACAUAUAAUCCGACAAGAUAUAUGUGUGUAAAACGUUCUUCUUUUUUUUUUUAAGUGCCCAAGUAAAAAUAUUAACAAAUAAAGUGAAUGUGAUCCCGAGUUCUCUCUAGCUACGAGAGAGAGGGAAGCCAAUUCCAUGACGCUUGGUGGGGAACAGGACAAACAACAAGCUGCACACAACAGCAAUUCCGACAGGGAACGCCGCUAAAAGCUGCUUGCCCUCCUCCGACGGCUUGGGGUAGAAACAGUUGACAAUAUUCUGAUCAACCAAAGCCAGUGCAGCAAAUACAAAUAUGGACAUCAAGGCAUGGAAGAAAUCAAUGAAUCUCAGCCUGUACUUGGCCACCUCCUCCGGUGCAAUGGGGACUUUCGACCCGUCGAUGACCCACAACCCUUUAAAAGUCGCCAACCCGUAUCGAACCUUGCCCCGUUCGUCCCUCAAGCUGUCGGUGAAGCACAAGAGGAAGCAGGUAAGGCUGCAGACUAUUAGAAGUCCUAGCGUCAUGGUUUUGUUGAUGGGGGUAGGGCACUGCCCUUGGCGUGUGAAACCCGGGGAGAACAUUUGGAAAACGAGGACCGUUCCGGUGGGAAGAAGAUUUGACAGAUGGGCUGUGCCUUUAAAGGUCUUUCUAAUGGCCUUUUGUGCAGGGGUUUUUGGCGGUUUUGGCGCAAUUGAUGCUGCAUUAUUUUCCAACAGUGGUUGCUCAUAUGUUUCUUGAAGUGCAGGUGCAGCCAUGUAGAUAUAUAUAUAUAUAUAUAUGUAUGUAUGUAUAUAUGAGUUCUAUUUCUGUAUGAGAUUGGCUCAAGAUUGAUUCUUCAUUAGCUAGGGUUUGUGUGUUCUUCUUAAACUUUGAUUCACCGUGUGCUUUGUUAUUAUGGAAGAUUGGAAUAUAUAUGGUUAAGGAAAAUUUGUUUUUCUGUUUGGUGUUAGCGAGCAAAUGGUUAAUUUUUAGAGAUGGAUGGAUGAAGUGUUGAUCAACUGCUCUUUUUCAUAACUCUGGCCUUCUAGUAACUGUUGUACAAAUUAAUUUUCGUUAGGGAGUUUCAUUUGAUUGGUUGUUGUGGGAUCUAGGUAGGAAGGGUUAGGGUUAGGGUUUACUGAGAUUGAAUGGACGGGAUGGAGUAUGAAUUACGUUCGCAUUACUAAAUGAACAUGGAAAACAAAUUUAAUUUAUACCAGCCUAAUGCUUCAUGGUACUUAUUUUUUAUAAUUAAGUAAAAUAUGUAUCCAUUCUACAUAAAUGAAUAAUAAAAAAACACACACACAUUUGAAUUAACAAUAAUGUCUUACCACAUUUUAUGCCAUAGUUCUUUUUGAGAAAAAAACGAUAGUUAUUAUUGAUGAAACAUAUCAAAGUGCAAAGUCAUAAAAGAGUUUGAUCUGGAGAGAAUUAAGCCUAAACCAACAAAUACUCAACCCUUGAUUCAACAUCUAGAAGGACUCUUACUCAGACUAACAAUACAUCUUCACCGUGCAACGACAAAAAUGGCAUACCUGUAUUGCAGCCGAAAACUAUAAUGCAAAGCACAACAAACUCUUAAAGAGUUCAUGAAAAUUAAAAUAAAAAAUGCAGCAAACUCCUAAAGAAUAAUAGAAUUAAAACAAGAAACAUGAACAAGCAACAUGCCAUUGUUCUAUUUGGCUGAGAUGGCGAGAUCACAUAACCUAUAGUUAUGUUGUUUCAUGCCUUCAAUUAAUCAGUUCUGAUUUCUUGAACUACAGAGAUCCAAGAAAUUUGUGGUUACUCACUGUUGAAUUUGUUCACUAACUCUUGCACUUUUUAUAAGAAAUUUUUUUGAAUCAUUGGAUUAAUAUCCAAUGGUAAGUGACCACAAUCAGGAUUGUCAAUUAAUAGCUGAAAAUGUAUUUUUAAUAUUAAAAUAAUAAUAAUAAUAAUAAUAAAGAAAGAGGUUUCUCACACACACGUUAUAAAAUGUCAUGGAAAUUCGAAUAUGAAACCUUAAUCUACAAGUUCAUGCCUUUUCCGCUAGUUAGAUUCUGUUUGUAUUAUACCUUGUGAUUUGUUUGCCAUGAGUGAACCCUUAAAUUAUUAUAGAGGGGCAACGACUUUGUUUUUUUUAUUGAACAAGAAGAACAAAGAUUGAUAUGGGUCUAGAAAAAGGAAAAAGAAAUAAUUUUAACAUAAAUGAGAUGAAGUGAGUUGGGCUUAUCCUCACUAUGGGAAUGUCGUUUUCUCUCAUGUACUACAAACUGACGGUCGGCUUUUCUUUGCAAAGCCAAGCCUCCGCCCGCCACGGUGGCUGCCUCCAUCCAUAAACCGUCAGCCAAGACGACCACGAACUGCAAGCCUCAAGCGUUAGAAACCUGACUGAGAAAAUCCAAGUAGAGACUCCAGAUCCGAAGCGUUAACCCAGACACACCACCAACCACACCCUGAUCACGCUAAUCUUGUGCGAGCUUCCUCUUUUCAGACUUGCAGUGUUAAAUUUAAAAAUUUUUUUUAAAAAAACAAAGAUUCAAAAAACGUGAAUUUUCGUAACUGCAUGUCUCAUUCUACUAAUUAAACUGUAUUAGUCUAAUCCAGGGCCAUUAAUCUCAGACCUCCAACACCGUCAAUCCCCAUCGCACCUCGGAGAGACCGACGUGGUCGACCUCCACCUCCAGAUUUAUAGCCGUUGACCGUUCAACCUUAUCACUAAUAUCAUUCGGAACGUACUUAAAUAUUUUAUUAUUUUCUUUAAAUGAAUAAUAAGUUUUGUAUUUUGCAUACAAAUUCAUAUUUUUUUUAGUGAGUUCUUAUGUUACAUUGUUAUAAUAAAAAUCUUGGUUAGGGGCAAUGACGCACCUCCUCUCCUUGGAUUUAAGUUCGAAUUCGAACUUACGUUGUUAUAAAUUAGAUUAAUUAGAUCAAUAAAAAGAAAAUCUCACAUAUUUAUUUGUAGAAAUUAUGCAAAAUUAUUUUGUCUCUAAAAGUUAGAAAAAGAAAAGAGAAAGUUGGAGAUGAAUUAUGUUUUACUACACAAGAAAACAUUUUUCAUAAAAUGUUUCAUAGACAAGAAGAAAGUAAAAAUGUAGUCAUCAAUUGAGAGCCUUCCGUCAUAAUUUUUCUACCAAGUUCCCAACACAAUCAAUUACUUUUCCCUCUUUACUCAAAAACCACUUCACAUAUAUGAACACACCCACCCAAUAUUCACCCCACAAACACAAACACAAACACAAACAGAAACACACACCCUUCCCUCCUCCGCCUCGCUCCUCACUCCCAUUUCUUUCUAGAAGCAAACAACAGCACCGAAAAUGCUUCUCUUCCUCCCUCUCCUUCUGUCCCUCCUCUUCCCCCCACUCCCAACCCUCUCUGUCAACCAAGAAGGCCUCUACCUCCAGCACUUCAAAAACUCCCUAGACGACCCAGACUCCACCCUCUCUUCAUGGAACGACCACGACGUCACGCCGUGCUCCUGGUCUGGCGUCAAAUGCGACGCCACCUCCAACGUCGUUCACUCCAUCGACCUCUCCAGCAAAAACCUCGCCGGCCCUUUCCCCACCGUCCUCUGCCGCCUCCCCAACCUCACCUUCCUCUCUCUCUACAACAACUCCAUCAACUCCACCCUCCCCCCCUCCCUCUCCACGUGUCAGCAUCUCGAGCACCUCGACCUCGCUCAGAACCUCCUCACCGGUGCCCUCCCCAGCACCCUACCAGACCUCCCCAACCUCAAGUACCUCGACCUCACCGGCAACAAUUUCUCCGGAGAAAUUCCCGACACUUUCGGCCGCUUCCAAAAACUCGAGGUCCUCUCUCUGGUCUAUAAUCUCUUCGACAGCACCAUCCCGCCGUUCCUCGGCAACAUUUCCACCCUCAAAAUGCUCAACCUCUCUUACAACCCGUUUCAUCCGGGUCGGAUCCCGCAGGAGCUCGGCAACUUGACGAACCUCGAGGUCCUCUGGCUCACCGAGUGUAACUUACUCGGCGAGAUUCCCGACUCGCUGGGUCGCCUCAAGAAGCUCACCGAUUUGGACCUGGCCAUCAACGACUUGAACGGCACGAUUCCGGCUUCGCUCAGUGAGCUGACCAGCGUUGUUCAGAUUGAGCUCUACAACAACUCGUUGACCGGAGAGUUGCCUCCCGGAAUGUCGAACUUGACCCGGCUGAGGCUGCUCGACGCGUCCAUGAACCAGCUGAGUGGGCAGAUUCCGGACGAGUUGUGUCGGUUGCAGCUCGAAAGUCUCAACCUUUACGAGAACAAUUUCGACGGGAGCUUGCCCGAGAGCAUUGCGAACUCGCCCAAUUUGUACGAGCUUAGACUCUUCCGAAACAAACUCACCGGCGAGUUGCCCCAAAAUCUCGGGAAAAACUCGCCGCUGAAAUGGCUUGAUGUUUCGAGUAACCAGUUCUCGGGUAGCAUCCCGCCGACUCUUUGCGAGAAGGGACAAACAGAAGAGAUUCUGAUGAUACACAAUUAUUUUUCCGGCGAGAUUCCGGCAAGUUUGGGUGAGUGUCAUAGCUUGACCCGGGUCCGAUUGGGUCACAAUCGGUUAAAUGGGGAAGUUCCUGUGGGUUUUUGGGGGCUGCCUCACGUGUAUUUGAUGGAGCUCGUUGAGAAUGAGCUUUCUGGGCCGAUAGCGAAGACCAUUGCCGGAGCGGCGAACCUCUCGCUUUUAAUUAUAGCGAAGAACAAGUUCACGGGUUCGAUACCGGAGGAGAUUGGAGGGGUCGAGAGUCUUAUGGCGUUUUCUGGUGCCGACAAUGGGUUCAGUGGGCCUUUGCCACAGAGCAUAGUGAGACUUGGGCAGCUUGGAACUCUGGACCUCCACAAUAACGAACUGUCUGGUGAGCUCCCAAAUGGGAUCCAAUCUUGGACGAAGCUCAACGAGCUCAAUUUGGCAAAUAACCAGCUUUCUGGGAAAAUCGCAGAUGGGAUUGGGAACUUAACGGGGCUUAAUUACCUUGAUCUUUCCGGGAAUCGACUUUCCGGGAGAAUCCCAGUUGGGUUGCAGAAUAUGAGACUCAAUGUGUUCAAUUUGUCCAACAAUCGGCUUUCGGGUGAGCUCCCGCCUCUUUUUGCUAAGGAAAUUUACAAAAAUAGCUUUUUGGGAAACCCUGGUCUUUGUGGAGAUUUGGAAGGGUUAUGUGAUUGCAGAGCCGAGGUGAAAAGCCAGGGGUAUAUAUGGUUGCUGAGGUGCAUCUUCAUUCUAGCUGGUUUAGUCUUUGUUGUGGGUGUGGUUUGGUUUUACUUGAAGUACAAGAACUUCAAAAAGGCUAACAGAGCUAUCGACAAGUCGAAAUGGACAUUGAUGUCGUUUCACAAACUGGGCUUUAGUGAGUAUGAGAUAUUGGAUUGCCUUGAUGAAGAUAAUGUGAUUGGCACUGGGGCAUCUGGUAAAGUGUACAAGGUUGUUCUAACCAGUGGAGAGGUUGUUGCGGUGAAGAAGCUAUGGAGAGGGAAAGUAAAGGAGUGCGAGAAUGACGAUGUUGAGAAAGGUUGGGUCCAAGACGAUGGCUUUGAGGCAGAGGUUGACACUUUGGGGAGGAUUAGGCACAAAAACAUUGUGAAGCUUUGGUGUUGUUGCACUGCUAGGGACUGCAAGCUCUUGGUUUACGAGUACAUGCCAAAUGGUAGUCUUGGUGAUUUGCUGCAUAGCAGUAAAGGAGGGUUGCUGGAUUGGCCUACAAGGUAUAAGAUAGGUCUUGAUGCUGCGGAGGGGCUUUCUUAUCUGCACCAUGAUUGUGCUCCUGCAAUUGUUCAUAGAGAUGUGAAAUCAAACAACAUCUUGUUGGAUGGAGAUUUCGGAGCACGAGUGGCGGAUUUUGGAGUAGCCAGGGUGGUUGAUGCAACUGGGAAAGGACCUAAAUCUAUGUCGGUCAUUGCAGGUUCUUGUGGUUACAUUGCUCCAGGUCAGUGAGUAAAUUUCUAUUCAAAUUGCAGAUAAAAUUCCCUCGAAUUUAUGUUGUAUUCAUGUUCUUGUAGAAAGUUUAGAUUUUGAUGCUGAAAUUUGAUUGUGUUGUGCUCCAUCAUUCUUGAAGAGGAAUGUGCGGUGCACGAUAUUUGUUCAAAACUCUUGCCAAUAUCUCUCCAAUUACUUUCAUAUUGUCUAGUUAAAAAUAUUAUUCUAGUAUUCUAAUCCUGUAAAUGUAAUCUUGCUGCAGAGUAUGCUUACACCCUCAGAGUGAAUGAGAAGAGUGAUAUCUACAGUUUCGGUGUGGUUAUUCUGGAAUUGGUUACUGGAAGACUCCCAGUUGAUCCAGAGUUUGGAGAAAAGGACUUGGUGAAGUGGGUCUGCACCACUUUGGAUCAGAAAGGAGUGGACCAUGUAAUUGACCCCAAAAUUGAGUCUUGUUAUAAGGAAGAAGUUUGCAAGGUCCUCAAUAUUGGCCUCCUCUGCACCAGUCCUCUCCCAAUUAAUCGUCCAUCUAUGAGAAGAGUUGUGAAAUUGCUGCAAGAAGUGGGCACAGAGAAACAUCCCCAGACUGCCAAAAAAGAGGGGAAAUUGUCACCCUACUACUAUGAAGAUACCUCAGAUCAUGGAAGUGUAGCUUGAGAAGUUUCAUAUAUGGCCUGUUGCAAAGCAAUGGUUAUGGGGGAAGUUUUAUAUCUAAGCUUUAUUUUAUCAGUUUUUGAAGCUUUUUUGAAAGCUAACUUCCCAAAUCGUUUUCACCCCCUCUUGGGUUUUGAUCUCAUAGCAAGCAAGGAGGGAAGAGAAUAUUGAGAGGAAUUUCUUUUUGAGAAAGGGGAAAGUUAUGAGGGGGGGUGGGGUUAAUAUUCUAUACUGUAAAAAUUGAUUAACCACCAAAGUUUUUCAUCUGCUAAGUUUAAGUAGCUACCUGCAAGUUGCAAUGGCAGACCUCCUUGACAGUGAUGUAUACACUGUUUAGUGAUUGUGAUUUGUCUCUGAAAUCUCACUCGGGAUGUAUGAAAUGAAAUGGGAAUUCUGGCAUUUAUGAGCAACCCUUGUAGCUAGUUAUAUACUUUUAUGAAUUGUGACAAUGUUUUGCGAUUGUACACCUGGUUUGGUUUGCUGUGUGAGCCUAAGACAAUGUUCCAGAUUUAAAUGUUUUUUACUAUUCUCUGCAGUGACUUUUUUUAAUUUAAAAAACCUCCUUUAUUAUUUGAUUAUUUUGAUUCAUUCAUAUAAGCAGAGGACAGCAAUAAGCCUGUCUAUUAGUAUUAAUAAGGUAGUUAGGUAAGAGUUGGCCCUCCUUCCUGGGUCCAAUUCCAACUAAGUGAAAAGUGACCCUUGUCUGUGCUGCCUCUCAUUUUGCUGUGCUUGACUCUAAUAGGAAAAUGACUUAGGAGGACAUAACACAGACAGAGAGAGAGAGAGAGAGAGAGAGAACUACUCAAAGUUAUGAUUUUGUUUGGUAGUUGGUGGUGGUUUUGAUUGCCCAGCAGAGGAAGAUUUAGUUAAAGCUUAACAUGCAAGGAUGGCCAAAGAGGAAAAUUUACAGAGGUCUGCUCCUACAGUGAGCUAUUAUAAGUAGUAGAUGCCCACAUUGGCCUGGCCAGUCUAUUUAAUAUGGCCCGCGAAUAUUUGACAUUGCAAGCAAACCCUAUAUCUCUAUCUAUAUACUUGAGUAGCUUUGAGGGUACACUGCCCAAACUGUGUGUUCCCAGCAAAUGCGUAGUAAAUUGUGAGUUGUUCAUCUUGUGAAGAACUUCCAAAUCUGUGUUUUACAUCAAUGCGAGACACUGCCAAGUCUGUGCCGUUAUUAGAGUAUAUAACUGAUCACAUCCCUUCCUAACUUUAUUCGUCACAUUUAGUUACUGCAUCAAUGCGCACCCCACCUCCAUUCAGUAAAUUUUGCUCUUUUUUACUACUAGCUUGUAGCUUUGGCAAUCCAACUUUAAACCUAUAUUAUAUUACUAUCUAUUAUUAGUCAAGCGACAUUUCUCUUUCUCAAGUUCGAUUCCGUCCUUUCCCGAUCCAACUUGAGAAAAAUGCAGUAGGCAUAAUAAACUGACGAGGACAUUUACUGAGGUAGGUGUGGUGUGGACCGAGUAGUUGGGGCAGGCUUUGUGAGUGGACUGGCUCUGAGUUUGGGUUAAUUUUAGAUAUAGGUUAGCAUUUACAGGUUAGUUAGUACUUAAUUAGUGAGUUGACGAGCUAAUACUUUGUUUUAAUCAUUUAUGAACGAUCAAUUUCAAUGUGCAGUUGUGCAUGUUGUGCAUGGUUUUACCUGUUACCUUAUUAUUUAGUUUUAAUGGUUGCUUGCUUAGUCAAAUUUUUAACAAAUUCCUACACCUAACAUCUACUUAUCAGUUCCAACAUAAACCCAUCAAAUUAACACACUUUUCAAUCUUAUAAAGAAAAUUACGAAUUUCCGAAAAACAAAACAUUAUUUAUAAAUCCGCAAUGGUUAGCCAAUAUUUAUAAAUCCGUAAUGAUUAUUCUUUUAUUCAUCUUAAAAUGGGCCUGAUUGAGCCCAUAAAAUAUAUCAUAUUUAUUGGACCAUUGGGCCUUCUCAAAAUGAGAGUUGAUAAGAACAUUUGUCUAGCAAAGUAUUUCUUAAAUAAAAAAAAUAUUUUCAGAGAUCUCUUUAAAUAAAUAAAAAAUAUUAAGAAAAAGCUGACCUCCACCAUGUAAAUAAUUGUGUUUUGAUUGUUUUAUGGUCCAUUAUAUUUCUGCUGUCCUAGCAAGAUAUCUAAUUAUUCAGUCUUGAAUUAACUCUUGGUUAGGUUCUCCUCUUUUAGGAAGGGGUUCACGAAUUGUUUGGUAAAAUCAAGAAAACAGGGGGAUAAAAUAAAAACGAAAGAAGGAAAAGCUUCUUGACAAGACUGACUUAUCCAAGCAUUAUUCUCAGUUGAAAUAAUAUUAAAAUGGCGUUAUGGAUCAAAAUCAACGAUCUCUUUCAAUAUGAACACAUACUCACUACAACUAGUGACAAAUGACCAUUCAAAUGGUGUGUAUUAGACGUAGAUGUGGUUCUACACUACUCAAUGAGAUUAAAAGCGGUUUUUGACAAUCAAAAGCACUUCUAACUUCGUUUAGUCAAAAAAUUUAGAAGUAUUCUAGGCCAUAGAAGCGCUUUCUGAAGAAGCAGUUCCAAACAAGCCUAAAUAAGUCAUGAUGAUUCAACAAGUUUGGUAUUAUUUUUAUUGUUAAGUUAAUUGUAAUCGUCACAUGUAAUUGAAUUUACUAAAAUUUCAUUUAACAUAAACAAAUCAUCAUAGGCACAAUCUAAUCCUGCUCAAGUUCUGAUUGAGAAUUCCACUUUCAAAAGCUUUACUUCUCGGUAAGCAUUUGAUACAAAUAUUCAACUGAUUAUGGGCAAGGAACCAUAUAGCCCUUCCUUUCUCACCCGUGCUGCUAUCUUUUAACUUUUCACUUGUUUAUUUAUGCCAAACAAGACAAGAACAAAUGAAAAAUAAUGGAUUAGUGGAUUACCCAAACCAAAUGGAUUGGUGAACUUUGCAAAUUUGCAACCACUCACUUAGUGUUUUAGAAAGUUUGAGAUAUUUAAUUCUCUCAGCUCUUGACAUGGCUAAAUGUCUGUGUUCUUAACAGAGAUUAAGGAAGCAAGGAAGGAACCCCAAUCAUAAAGAGCUAAGCAUGACAAAGCAACAGAAUAUUUAAUUAAAUCCCAUAAUUUAUACUUUAGUUUUCCAAAAAUCUGUACUUGCAAUAAGCUUUGUUUGAAAAAUUAGAGGAGGCGGCCAACCAUGAACCAACAUAACUAAACAAGACCAAGACUUCCAAGUUUCUUACCAAUCCACCACAAUUUUCAAAGAAGAUGCUAUCUUUUUCUUUCUCAUCUCUUUUCAAAAUCUAGUUUAUCUAGUUUGUGAUCUUUCCAGCUUUCAAAGCCAUAUAUAUACAUAUGUAAGCCUAUUUCCACACUCCACCUUUAUAAGCUAGCCAACCUCUUCCUCUCUCUUCCCUUUUUUCCCACUCAAUUUGAUCAGACCAGAUCAGAGCAGAGCAGAGCAGCCAUUUAUAAACAUGAAUCACAGUGAACAUAUUGCCUAUCUUUUUGUCAUAGCCCUCCUUUCCACAUCUGUUGUUGUUCUUGGUGUUGUCCUUGGUCUCCUCCUCCUUUGCAAGAAAAAGCCAGUUCAAUCCCAAGAAACAGUGACACCAAUCAAGCCUAGUGCUCAGGUGUAUCCACUAACCAAUAUAGAUGCUGCCACAGAUGGUUUCAAUCAUCAUAGGAUCGUCGGCGAGGGCCGGUUGGGAACUGUCUAUGCUGCUAUAUUUGAGAAAGGGGAGAUAGCAGCAGUGAAAAGAAUCCAUUCUAGGCAUGGCUUACAUAUGUAUAUAUAUGGCUUUGAAAGCUGGAAAGAUCAAUUUCUUCAGCUCAGCACCCCAAUGUGGUACCAAUAAUUGGCUACUCAGAGGGGCCAGGUGAGAGAAUCAUAGUGAUGGAGUUUGUAGGUAUGGUGUGCUUAGAUUUCUAUCUGCAUCAAAACCCAGAGGGGGCAUCUUUGUUAGAUUGGAACCACAGAUUGAAAAUUGCAGCAGGGGCAGCUAAAGGGCUUGAGUAUUUGCAUGAAGGAGUGGCACCAAAUAUAGUACAUGGGUGUGUAAAGGCUUCAAACAUUUUGAUAGAUGUAAAUUUUUGUGCAAGGAUUUGUGAUUAUGGGCUUUCAUUUUUGGCACUCCAAGAGAAGAGAGGUCUAGUUGGGUAUGUGGAUGAUGAGUAUUGGAGAGGAAGUGGUGCUUGCAAGGAAAGUGAUGUCUAUGGAUUUGGGAUUGUUUUGUUAGAGCUUUUGAGUGGGAGAUUAUGCGAGGAGGGGAGGCUUGUGAAUUGGGCAUCGCCACUGAUUAAGGAAAUGAGAAUUAGUGAGCUUUUGGACCCCAGACUUGUCCUUCCUGAUGAUAUUGGGGCUCUUGUCAGAUUGGCAAAAGUUGCUUCUGCUUGUGUUGGAAAUUCCAGAAAAAGCAGGCCUUCAAUUUGUCAAGUGGCAACUAUCUUGAGCAACUUGGAGAUGGAUUGAGAUGGGAUUUUCAUAAAAGUCAAAAGUGGAAAGCCAUGAAUUUCUGUUCUAAAAAAGUUGCUGUGAUUAGUAAAUGAUGAGAAUUGGGCACCACACCAACCAAGAAUUGGAAAUUUGGGUUUACACUUAUUUUUCUUCAUGUAAUGUAUAAUGUGUACAUUCACAUCAGAGUUGCAACAUAUAGUUUUCACACGUGUGAGUUCUAGCUUGCAUUGCAUAUAUGAAGGUGGGGUUCGUGGAAAGAAAUGUUUGAAAUGAGCGGUGGGAGGGACGGUGGGUUUUGUUUGUCUCGUGGGCUGUGAAUUUGAUCUUUUUUCCGUGUUGAUUGAGAUCUUUUGGUGCCGAAAGGGACCCAAUUUUUUGUUCUCUCUCUUUCAAUCAAUUUCUCUGUCCAGUGUUUUUUUGCUUGUCAUUGCUUCAUCAUUUGACUAAACAUCAUAGGUAAAUAAAUAAAUAAAUAUUUUUUUCAAUAAUCAAGUGGUCACAUUUGUAUAUUCAUGGUAUGGUGGUUGGGUGUUCUCAACUGUCACGCUGAAAACUUUAUGUCCAUUCCAUAAAUUUAUUUUAUGUAACAUAUACUCUGUCUUUUGGCAGCAUCUGAGGGGUGAAAAACAAAAAAAUUUAAUCCCCAAUUCCCUCUUUUUAUAGUUGAGGUUUAUCCACAAAUUAUAUGAUUAGAUAAUUAAUGUCAACAUCUCGCUACAACUACCGACAAUGAAUGAUGGGUAGAAUGUGACAGAACGCGCGUAAAAAAAAAAACAAAUUUGAAUGUGAGUAAAAUGUAUCAAUUUAUUUUUCAAAUAUUAAACAAGGGAAAACAAUAGUCUUAAACCUUAAGAUAUCAUCGCGUGAACCUUAAGACAUUGCAUCUUGAAUCUCAAAUUGUCGCGAUGUCGAUCUCUUAAGACAUCGCUUUCAUUUUAUGGACUUGGUUGUCUUUUGGGCUAGUUGUUUCCUUGACUUACCCAAAAGAAAAAACGCAUCGAUAUCUUGGGCUGACGGCCCAUGCUGCAUGUGAAAGGUGGACUCAGAGCUGAAGUAUUGGGCCUGAGUUGGGCUUUGCAAACUCCUAAGCUAGGGUUCAUGGCCAGUGAGCUCGAUGUGUCUGGACUGAGAAGCCUUUCCUGGAGCUCCUUGUGGUAAUGCAGCUCAAAGGGAAGGGAAAACAAUAACAAUUCGACAAACAAUCCAAAGGAAAAGCCAAAAAAAAAAGUUUGAUUAUUUUUAUUGUUCGAUGAUAAAUUAAUGAUUUAUAAGAAUGUUUCUCACGAUCAACAUUUAUUAUUUAAUUCCUCCUUAACAACCGUAUCAUCAACGCUCCUAGAAAAUAAGAAGAAGAAGAAGGAAAAAAACUAUUAGUCUUAAUCCAAGUCAAGUCUCGUUGUCAUCUUCAAUUGACGAAUUGGUGAUUUACAUUGACAAUUGUGUACCUUUUCAAUGUAUUUUCAUCAUGUAAUAGUUAAAAGCAAUUGCUUCCCAAAAGUAACCCAGAUGGUGCAAAAGUCGUUGAUUCCUGUGCAAUUGUUCUCAUUAUGAACAGUUUUCACUGUAUUUUCUUAUCCAAAAAAAAAUAUAUAUUCACAGACUUGACUAUGAACUUAAUGUCAGUAGAGAUUAAGCAACAACUUGAUUUAUCCGGACUAUAAAGUUCCACACGAGAAAUUUUUGAAUCAAUAAAUCGUUUAUAUCGUGAUGUUAUCAAUUCACGUGUUAUAAUAUAAGACACGCAAUUAUUGACACGUAAAAAUAGAAUAUAUUAAAGGCGAUGUCUAAACAAGACGACGGACAAGUAGAAGAGGAGAGCCCUUUCCACAUCGGGAAACAACUUGACAAAGUCCCAAAUCCCUAACCCAUACGUUACAGAUAACAAAAACAAAAUAUACCAAAGGGUAAAGCUUCAUGCUUAAGCUUUCUGUUGCGUGGCUUCUCUAAGAAGCUCAGAUAUGUACAUGUCGGCUGGUACAAGAAAUAUAUACGCGGGGCAAAGCAAUUACCCUCUACAAUCAUGUCCUUCUAUUCUAGUUGCAACGGCCAGUAAGACAAGUCCAUUCGGCAAAGAGCCUCACGUGGCACAUGGGGAUUGGCAUGGUUAAGUUGCAGCAGUUGGCAAUGGAGACGGAUGUAGUGGAUUGUUUGCUAAAAUCGAAUAAAUAUAUAUAUGACGAUGAAAAGCGUAGACUCGUAGUCGUGCAGCCUAAGCCAAAAGUGACAUGUCCGCAUACCAAAUUCUCUGAUUUAUUUGUUGUUACAUACAUUGAAAAGGAUCUGCAUAAUUAAUUUUUCAAAAUUAAUAAGAGUGAUUACGAAAUGAUUUGCAGCGCGCUUGACAUAACACAUCAUCGCAAUAUAUGUAAACAUUGAUUAAUUACUGCAGAGACAGAAGGCAUUUUUAUCGAAAGCUCCAACCACCUCUCCAUCUGAAAAUGUCUUGUUUUCUUUUUCUUAAAUAUUUGUUUUCUUUGAGAGAGAGAGAGAGAGAGAGAGAGAGAGAGAGAGAGAGAGAGAGAGGAGAGGGAGACAGUGAUUCUUUGCUUGACAUAAGAAGUCUACGUGAAGAAAAGGAGAAAUGGGAAAUAUAUACAACAUAACAGAGGUUGGUAUUUUGUAUAAGUAUAUGUAGUUGAUUUUGAGUUGGUUCGUAUGUAGGUGUCUCUGUGAAAUGAAAUGUAUAAAUUUAUAUAUCUUUAGGGACACUCUAGGUUGACACUGCAGCUAAAGUCCCAACCCCAACCCCAAACCCAAACCCUAUCUCUCUCUCUCUCUCUCUCUCUCUCUCUCUCUCUCUCUCUCUCUCUCUCUAUAGAGAGGUAAAACGACAUAGAAUCAUGUUGCCCCCUCUCACUCUAGCCACCUUUUUUUGUUUUGUUUUCUUGGUGUUUUAACAAUUAAUAGGUUUGUUAUUUACUUAUAACUUCCUUAAAUAAUUUGGUAAUUUAUAAUUUGAACACUUGUUUUAGACAGGAAGAUUGAUACCCCGUGGGAAGAAAGACACACAAAAAAUAAAUUAAAAAAGGCGACCAAUUAGCUAUAAGACUACAUGGAUUCUAUUGUGCAAGCGUAUAUACAGAAGCAAAACCAAACUUGACGUCCAAGCAACCUUUGCUAUUUCUAGAAAAUUCAUUCCUCUCUCCGUUCUUUAUUUUAUAGCUUGGCUAGCUUGCUAACCUUUGUUCUACUUCUCUCUCUUCUCUCUCUCUCUCUCCCUCUCCCUAUCUCAUUUUUUAUGGAGACGGUUCUUUGCAAAGAGAUAAUAAUAUCAUAGUAGAAGGAGAAAAAAGAUCAAAUGGGACAAAGAUCAAAUUCCAAUACUAUUAUUCCGUCUCAAACAUCAAUAUUCAAGAAGAAGAUGAGCAAAAAAGUGGUUAAGGAAAACGUGGUUUAAAAGUGACAAGCUUGGUUUGCUUGUCUGCUUUGCUUGCUUUAAGUGUUUUCAGUUUUUGUUUUUGGGUUUGCUUAAUUUUGUGAGAGAGAGAAAGAGAGGGAGAGAGAGAGAGAGAGAGUUGUGUGUAUUUGGAAGAGGUGGAGGAAAUUACAAGAAAGCUUGGGGUUUGGGAUGAGCCUCAGAGCAAAAACGGCAGAGAGAUCAUGACAUGGUGCAAUGACUCAGACGACGAGAGGGCCAUUCAGAUUAUCACCCCUCCUCCUCCUCCUCCUCCUCCUUCUCAUAACAAUAACGAAUUUCGGAACAUAACAUGCCCUUCUUGUGGCCACCACAUAGAAUUCCAAGACCAGGUAUUUAAACUUAUAACUUAUUUUAGUUCUUUGUUGAACUAAAUUUUAAUUUAUAUGAUUUUUAAUUAAUUACAUGAAUUAAUUGUUUGGUAUAAAGUUUUGAUUUUUUUGUUUUUGUUUAUGUGAUGUUUUAGGCAGGGAUUCAUGAUUUGCCUGGACUACCAGCAGGGGUGAAAUUUGAUCCAACUGACCAAGAAAUUCUUCAACACUUGGAGGCAAAAGUGCUGUCUGAUACCAGAAAGCUUCAUCCUCUCAUUGAUGAAUUCAUACCAACCCUUGAGGGGGAGAAUGGGAUUUGCUAUACUCACCCAGAAAAGCUACCAGGUAAUUUGUUUUUUAUUCAUUUUUUGUAAAUUUUUUAUUUUUAACCCUAUCUAGAAACAAUAAUGAAGACACUAAUUAUCACGGGCGUCUCUCAUUCAUUUGAUUCCAAACUUGACAGUUUUAAUUUCUUGGUAUUCAUAUCGUAAUUGUAUGGAUUGGGACUUAACCAAAGAUACUCACAGAUACUCUUUUUUUUUUUUUUUUUUUUAAAGAUACUUGAGAUUUUAUAUUUUCCCAAAGAAUAUUGUUAUUUUUUUUGGGAGGUAUAUACGUCUCUAUUUUUAGAUGUCACAAUUGAAACAAACAUAUAACCAGCACAUGGGUUUGCUUGCUUCUCCUUAUUAAAUCAUUCAAAUUUGGUAUGCUUGUGUUUCUUACUUUUUUCUUUUCAAGCAUGUUAUUUGCAUGUGAAUGCACAGAGGUUGGCUAUGCAUAUAUGGAUCCUAACACCAAACGCAAUCGCAUAUAUAGAUAUAGAUAUAGAGCCUCGGUUCUCUUAUAUAUAUAGACCAUGUAAACCUCCAUGUUAAAAUUCCUUCGGCUCAAUUUGCAUGUUAAAUCUUUUCUUUCCAUCUGUUGGUGACACCAUUUUAUGGACUAAUUUGUUCGACUUUCCCUUCAAAUAUAUCAAUAUCUUCAAUUUUUCUCAAUGUGUAUGUGCCUUUACAAGUUAUAAUUACAAUUCUCUCCAAGUGAUAAAAAUGCAACACAUUUUGUUUGGACAUCCUGUCUGACGUCCAUGCAGGAGUGAACAAAGAUGGACAAAUCCGGCACUUCUUUCACCGGCCCUCCAAGGCAUACACAACCGGGACUCGAAAGCGAAGGAAGGUUCACACCGAAGAAGAUGGAAGCGAGACGAGGUGGCACAAGACAGGGAAGACAAGGCCAGUCCUUCUUGGUGGAGCAGUUAAGGGUUUCAAGAAGAUCCUGGUCCUCUACACCAACUACGGAAGGCAAAGGAAGCCUGAAAAGACCAAUUGGGUGAUGCACCAAUACCACCUUGGCAACAACGAAGAAGAGAAAGAUGGGGAGCUGGUGGUCUCAAAAGUCUUUUACCAAACACAGCCCAGGCAAUGUGGUUCAAGCGUCAAAGAUGUUCCAAUGUUUGAUCACCACAAAGGUGUGAAUAUAAGAAGUGGGCAUGGGCAUGAUCCUCUUCCUAUAGCAAAGAAGGCUGGCCUUGUGGAGUAUUAUAAUCCUGGAGGAGGUUUUAUUAAUUAUGAUCACCAUAAUCUUCAUAACCAGGGGGGACAUAAUAGAGAAAGCCCACCUCAACUAAUCCCGAAUUUAGUUGUCCAAGGUGACGGGUCUUCGUUUAUUCGAUUAACUGCAGAUGCAAGCAAAGGAAAGCUUGAGAGAAAAUAGUCCAUGGGUGGCCAUGGAUGUUGGAUAUUGGACAUUGGAUAUGGACGGAAGAGCUUUUUCAGUUGAGGUAGCUUUAUAUAUAGCUAGGGCAGCAAUGACAAUGACUCUCUCAUGGUGGUGGUGGUUGGUGUUGCUGUGUAAAAGUUUUACUACUCAUGAUGAUCAAAUAAGUUAUUACAAGAUUGAGAUUUUUUAUAACCCCCAAAAAAAAAAAAAACAAGAAUAUUAUAUAUACACACAAAAUUAUAUUGGAUAUGUUUAACUACUUAUAUUAAUAUUAUACUGUGAUCUUAAGUUUAUGAUGACCAGUUGAUCGGGGAUUAGAUAGGAUAAUGAUGUUUUUCUUUUGUUUUGGAACUGUACAGACAUGAUUAUACAAACUUGUAUAUCUGAUUUGUCUGAUAUGACAUUUGAGUUUUAUCAUUAGGUUUAUGAUUUGCUCUGUGGAUUAAGUAAUAUUCUCUUAAACUUGUAGAUUAAAGUACAUAUACUUUGUAGUAAAACUCCGUUGUUAUUGCGGUUGGAGUUCAUGGUUGCCACUCAUCUUGCAGACUCUAUAAUAAAGAUAUUUAUAAAAAUAAAAUAAAAAACUAGACAGAUUUUACAUGAAGAAGAAAACCGUAAGGGGAAAUACAACUUAGACUCAUUGGCCAAUAUUCUUAUAAUGGGAAAUAUUUUCUAUAAAAUAAUAUAUGUUGCUAGACACGUUGUGACUGGGAAUUUGAAUUGCACAUUCAACUAAGCCUAUACCUAAUUAAAGAAUCUGAUAGGAAAGCAUUUUUCAUGUUUGGUUCAUGGUAAAAGAGGCUUAGGGAUGAGAAAUUAAUUGCUUUUUCAUGUUUAGUAAGUCCAAGUAGGCCUGGGCACGAAUCAGUUUGGAACAGUAGAGGGCUCUUCUGUUAACCAAAUCAAAGACUUCGGUAGACUUCAGAUCAGUUAACCUAAUAUUUAGUUCGGAUUGGUUCGGUACGCCGGUAGUACUGUAAUAAAAACAUACUAAUAAAAAUACAAUUUAUAAUACUUUCACAUAACAUAAGUUCUUGAACAAAUACAUCAAAUUAUCCUUGUAAAAUAUAAAAAUUCAAUAAUUCAUCCAAGUAUGAAAUCAAAUAACUUAGUCACUAUAUUAUUCAAGAUGUACCGGGAGCUACUUGUGUUUGUUGUUUGAACCUUUGAGUGUUCUUUUUACUAAAUUCUCUACAUUUAUGGAAAUGAUUUUGACAUUUGUUCUGCGUAAGGUUCUUUAGUUUUUCAUGCUGAAUCCAACCAUAUGAAGAACAUAAAAUUUGGAUCAACGGUUGGAAAGUUACAGGUAAAAAAGAGACAAAUGUCAAAAUUGGAAAAUAUAGAAAGUGCAUAAAUUCCUCUGUGUCCAAAAGUGCUACAGUACCCAGGUGAUAAAAAAGUGAUGCAAUGGUGAUAAAGCAGUGAUACAAUGGGGAUAAAAAAGUGAUACAUCAGUGAUAAAGGAGUGAUGCAAAAUGCUGAUUGUAUUUACCUUUGGUUUAUUGUUUUGAAUUUAAAUAAUAAAAUAAGUAUAAAUAUUGGAUCGGUACGGGUUUCUGUCGAGUUAAGGAUAUUGUUUCUGUUAAUCAAACCAAACAUUUCGAUACGGAUCAGAUCAGAACAAUGAAAAUUAAAAAAUAAUUAUUUAACCAAACCAAACCGUAGGUACGCAGAUAAUUCAGAUGAAAUGCCCAAUCCUAAGUCUAGACAUAGAAAAUCAUUGCCUUGCACGUGAGAAAGUGAAGUCAUCCUCACCCCUUAGGUUUUGUUUUACUCCUUAUGGGAAAGUUUAGGAAAAUGAGCUAACAUUAAAUACACAUUUUUCAUGAUCAUAUUGUCCCCAUUAACAUUUUGGAAUUACAAUAGAGCAUUAAAUGCAAAUAUUUUUUUUUUAUAUGGGUAUAAUUGAAAAUUUAAACAAACGUUGUUUUACAUUCCUACACAAACCAAACAUGUGAAAAAUGAAAUAAAGUAAUAUUUCUUUUUUAUUUCCCAAGAUUACCAAACAUGGGAAAAGAAUAUUCAUUUCUCAUUUCUUGAUAAAUGACAUGGAAAGUGAUUUUUUUGCAAAUUCAUUCUAUGAACCAAAACGGGGCCUAGGAAGGUAUAGCAGGUCAUGGAAUACCACGGGGACAGACAGGGCAAGGCUGUAUACGAGUAAUAUCUAUGACAAUGGACGUGCCAAAUAUUUCAUCAUACAUGCAGCCAUUGAGAGAAAGCAGUUGGAAAUUUCUCAAGUAUUUCAUCAUUCAUUUUGGUUGACAGGAAUUUUCAAAAGUUGAAUAAAAUUGGUUUGAUCAUGACUCGGUUCUAUAAUUCCAUUAGUCAAAAGUAUUUCUGCUUUAAUGAAAUUAGGAGGAAAUAAAUCAUAUUAUCUGUUUCUGGACUGCUUUUCAAUAUGAGUUUGCAAAAUACUGACUUGAGUUGUUGAACACUCGAUAUUCAAUAACAAAUAAAAAUAACACUGUUGUUCAAAAAAUAAUUGUAUGCGAAGCAGCAAGAGCACCAAAAGAAACUAAAAAUUAUCAUGAAACAACACACAGAGCACAAAAUGAAACUAAACCUACCCGGCACCUGGACUUACAAUUCAUUCUUCAAACAGCAAUACACUACCAAGUUUUUGCCCACAAAACACAAAGAAGUUAGCUGACAAACACAUAAUAGAUCGCCAUACAGGCGCAUGAUAGACCACUGCAAGCAACACCAAAACAACAUGCCCACACGUGGAAUACUUGGAGGGAGACGAAAAUUAAAAAGAAAACAUAAAUUUAGGCAAAUUACCCAUAGGUCACCUAACGAGCAGCUGAUGUCAGUAGCCUAAAACACUAACAUUUCAACCAUUUUGUAGUUACACUAGAAUAACAGAUAGUUUUUGCACCAAUUCUGGUGAGAUCUAUCAUAAAACCAAACCAUCGAGAACUUGAAGCUCUUGCUAGCCAGGUCCUGGACUAAUUCAGGGCAACGACUACCUGUGUAGAUUAUACAUUACCCUCCUGCACAAGAGCUUCAACUGGUCACGACUUCUGAAGUAUACAGCUCUCAUACAGUUCAAGCCAUUCUCUUUUGCUAGCACCAGUUCUCAUAUCCAGCACUUGGGCACCAAAAUUAUGUUUUGUGAGUUCCUGCUUAAUUUUCGUGACAGUGAACUUUCUAUAGUCUUCCGAGUUAGUUUGCUGACUGCGGGUAUCCUCAUCUCCCUUGAAUACGGAACCACCAUCUUCAGCUUGUGUGCGCUUUAGAGGGCUAGUAGUACUUCUAGACCUCUUAUUUACUCUUACAAUCCGGUCACUCAUCUCCAUGUCUUGAACGGAGUCCAUGCCCAUUUCAUAGUCAUCUACCCUCGAGCGUUUCCCGUGGGAAGCAGUCUUUAGCUUGCUAUCCAGUGCUGUUUCAUUCAGCCGAACAGAAGUCAAUUCUUGCUGGAGUGAAUCAAGCUUUGCCUGUGCAGCUUGUAGCUGAAGAGACAGGGAGUCUGCCCUAUUGUUUGCAUCUGCAUGUGCUGCACGCUCACUGUCCAGGAGGCCUUGAAGGACGUGAACAGUACUAGUUCUCUGCUCGUUAUUUGAUUUUAAUAGUGAUUCUAUUUCCUUCUCUCUUUCUUCAACUCUUGCCUCCAGCAGAGCAACUUUCGAAUGAGCUCCCAUCUCUGAUACACGAAUUCUCUCUAACUCAUCAUCCAAGUCUCUUUUUUCCCUUUGUAAAGUUUCAAUAUGCCUCUCAGCCCUCUCAAUUUGGGCCAAUCUUUCCAUUGCCAACUUCUGCAUCUCACUCUUUUCCUUUUGAGCAAUAUCUGCUUGCGCUCGUGCUUUAUCAGCAAUAUCAGUCGCUCUUGUGGCUUCUUUUUCAGCAAUUUUACACCUUUCUUGGACUUCAUCAAGUCUUUUUAUUUCAGAUUCGUACUUCUGCCCCAGAUAGAUCUUCUCCUGCUCCAGUAUCUUUUUUUCUCUCUCAAAUGAGUGGGCCUUUGCAUUUGCAGCUUCUAAUUUUUGACUUAACUCCUUGAUUUCAAGCUUCAUCGAUGAUAUUUCAGCGUCAUAACUAUCUACUUUCGAUUUGGCAGUCUGCAAAGAAUGUGUAAUAGUCAAGUACCACACCAUUGAUAAAUACAUACGUUGAAAAGAGACCGCAAAAGAAAAGCAAACAUGUGCAAAAUAAGGAUUCUUCUUUAUCCAAAUUUCAAUGAUUUCCAUAGGGCUGUAUCUACUUCGGAUAAUUGAUGUUUUACAUAAUGCCUAUGAGCUUUAGCUCAACUGGCAUUGGGAUGGGUGGCUAAAAGGUAUAGCAGACAGAUGAUAUGUGUUAUCUAUACCAAAAAAGCUUGUAGAUAAUCAAAUUAUAAACAAGUGGAAAACACAGACCAUGAAAAACUUCAAGACAAAAAAUGAGGCUCCUGAUAUAGUAAAAUUUAACCCUCCAGAGCUACUCCAUUGAACAUGUAAGAGCAGUUUCCCAGGCCAAAUGUAUUUUUCUGACUGAAUCACAUGCCAUUAACCCAACUGCUAACCUCCCAACAGUGUGUAUCAAUAAGCAUACACACAACACUGCAUAACCAUUUGAUGUGGCAAUUUAUGACACAAGUACAAGAUCCUAACCAAAUGAUGCGGCAAUUUAUGACACGUGUGUUUUCCACUUGCAAAUGAAGAGGGGAGAGAGAGAGAGAGAGAGAGAGAGAGAGAGAGAGAGAGAGAGAGAGAGAGAGAGAGAGAGGGAAGAGAGGGGAGGGGGGGAAGGGUACAUAAAAGAUUCUAACAAAGUGUGAAGAUUCAAACUCACCUUCAGUUCUAGUCUUAGAGUUGUCAAGCACUGCUCAGCAUAUUCAAUCUUGGCCGUCUUAUCCUUUAUUUCCUCCUCCUAAAUAUUUAUCGACAAGAGAAACAAAUCAAAAAUCCAUAGGAAACUAGAGAAUUGGAGUAUGCAUUUAGGUGCCUCUGUGUGUGUGUGUGUGUGUGUGUGUGUGUGAGAGAGAGAGAGAGAGAGAGAGAGAGAGAGAGAGAGAAAG
Molecule: long non-coding RNA, 96609 nt
Filed under: Prunus persica (peach)
Lineage: Eukaryota; Viridiplantae; Streptophyta; Magnoliopsida; Rosales; Rosaceae
Description: long non-coding RNA (PPER_LNC003982)
Source: RNAcentral